This 136245-nucleotide long non-coding RNA is filed under the name Setaria italica (foxtail millet). RNAcentral describes it as "long non-coding RNA (SITA_LNC001612)". Lineage: Eukaryota; Viridiplantae; Streptophyta; Magnoliopsida; Poales; Poaceae. The record is from RNAcentral.
UUGUCCGAGGUUAUCUCCCUAAACUAGAGUGCCUUUGUGCCUGGCCAGCUCAUAACAGAUAAUGUACUUUUAGCUUAUGAAUUUACUCACUUCCUACAAACAAAAAGAUCUGGUGUAGAUGGUUAUGCAGAAGUGAAAUUAGACAUGAAUAAAGCAUAUGGCCGAGUGGAAUGGUCUUUUUUGGAAAAAAAAUGACGAUGAAAUUGGGUUUUGCAAGAAGAUGGGUGGAUAUUAUAAUGAGAUGUAUUUCUACAGUUUCUUACCGCAUCAUCAUAAAUGGUUAGCUUACUAAGGAAAUUUCACCAAAACGUUGUUUGAGACAAGGUGACCUCUAUCUCCUUAUUUAUUCCUAAUUUGUGCUGAGGGUUUUUCUGCCUUGUUGAAUGCAGCUAAAGCUAAUUGUUUCUUAACUGGUAUAAGGGUUUGUUAAGAGCCACCGAGCAUCAACCACCUUCUGUUUGCAGAUGACUCACUGCUACUUCUGAAAACUGAUGAUCAAAGUGCACAUCAUCUGCAAAAUAUUCUCACCUUGUAUGAGGAUUGCUCAGGGCAAACUAUCAACAAAGAUAAAUCAUUGGUGAUGUUUAGCAAGAAUACUAAGGCAACUGACAAGCUUUAGUUAAUGGCAGUCCUGGGCAUUGCAACAGAGGCAAGAAAUGAUAAGUAUUUGGAUCUUCCAGUUUAUAUGGAAAAGCAAUAGCAAAAACUUUUGCAUAUUUGAAAGAAAGGGUCCAGCAAAGAAUUCAAGGCUGGAAGGAAAAGCUGCUUUUAAAAGCUGGCAAAGAGAUCCUAAUCAAGGCCAUAGCGCAGGCGAUCCCCACAUACACAACGUCCUAUUUUGACCUCACCAAAACCUUACGUGAUGAAAUCAGUAUGAUGAUUUGUAGAUAUUGGUGGGCACAACAAGAUAAAGAAAAUAAGAUGCAUUGGUUGUCCCGGGAUUUUGUAUCAAGGAAAAAAGAAAGGGGGUUUGGGAUAUAGAGAUCUCCACCUUUUUAAUUUGGCAAUGUUAGCAAGGGAAGCAUGGAGAUUACUGAUGAAUCCCAUAUUCUUUAUGUGCCCAGGUCCCGCGAGCAAAGUAUUUUGAGAAUGGCAAAUCACUUGACGUGACAGAAGCUCAAGGCAUCUCAUACUCCUGGAGAAGCAUUGUUCGCGGCAUACAAGCACUAAAGGAAGGCUUAAUUUGGAGGGUUAGUGAUGGAUCACAAAUAAAUAUUUGGUUAGAUCCUUGGUACCGACAGGUGUGAUGAGAAGGCCAAUCACUCCUCGAGGGCAUAACAUCUUGGCAAAGGUUUCAAAACUUAUUGAUCCAUUAACAGGGGACUAGGAUAAAAUUCUAAUCAAAGAUGUGUUCUGGGAAGAGGAUGUGAAGCAUAUCCUUGCAACCCAAGUAAAUAAUAAUAUGGAGGAUUUUCUUGCAUGGCACUAUGACUCAAAAGGGCUAUUUUCAGUAAAAUCGAUGUAUCACACUUUGGAGGAGAAGCGGGAGCGGCAGGCCACAAGACAGAGAGGUGAGUCAUCGUCACCUUCGGCAACUGCAAAUCAGAUAGAGUGGGGAAGAAUAUGGAAAAUGGAAUGUCCUCACAAGAUCAAACAUUUUUUAUGGCACCUAACGCAUAAUAGUCUGCCUCUGCGGAUGAAUAUUAAAAGAAGAGGCAUUGAUGAUGUUGACACCCGCUGUCCAGUGUGUUUGAGGAUGGAUGAAGAUGGUAGCCAUUGUUUUUUUUUAAAUGCAAAUUCGUGCGCAAAUGUUGGCAGAUGAUGAACCUAGAAGGUGUGAUGCUGAAAUUAGUAGACAUAAAAGAUGCCAAGGAGGUAACAAAUUGUAUCCUAUCUAUGGAGGACGAAAACAAAUAUGAGAUCAUGAUCCUAAUGCGGUUAUGGUGAGAUCCAAGAAACAAAGUUAAUGCUGGUGAACAAAGAAGAAUAGUGGAAGAAGUAGUGCACCAAGCAAGAAACAAGACAUAGGAGGUUUGUACUAUGCUAAACAAAAUAGUUGAGAAGCAUCAUAAAAAAGUGCAGAGAUGAAAUCCACCUCUGGAGGAAGUUCUCAAAGUUAACAUUGAUGAAGCUUUCCUCAUGGAGCAAAAAUCGGGAGGAUGGGGCUUCAUUGUUAGAGAUGUUGAUGGCAAUGCAGUAAUGGCGAGAGCAAGGGGAUUAGAAUCAAUUCAUGAUUCUUUUUGUGCAAAGGCUCAAGCUUGCCUUAAGCUCUAACGGCCAUCUCAGCUCAAGGUAUGACGAGAAUUCAGUUGGAAAGCGAUUCUUCAAACCUAUUCACCGCUUUGGAGUCAAGGGUUUGAUCAAUACGUUGCUUAUGGAGGCACGUCAAUUUAUUCAACUAGAUUUUGUGUCUGUUGAAAUUUCUUUUACCCCACGAUCUUCUAAUCUGUGUGCAGAUGAAUUAGCUCAUUCUAGUCUGAGUUGGGAUCCGGAUCAGUCAUGUGUUUGACUUGAUCCCCCGGAUUUUCUAAAGUUUUUAGCAGUUCGUGAUUGUACUGAACCUCGGACAGAUGAAUAAAUAAAGAGAGAAUUUCUUAUUUGACACUAGAAAAAGUAUUCCUUCCUUUCAUGGCCCUCAGAAAAUUUUCGUUCCCUAUUUGAUACCGAGUUCAACUUUCAUUCCUUAUAUAACACUCUGUUGGAUUUUCCAUCCGUGAACCGUUAAAUGCCCUGUGAAAAGACGACCUGUGAGCCCUACCACCCUUCUCCCUCCUUUCCUCUCCUUCUCCCUCUGCUCUACACCGGCUUGCCGGCUGUCGUGCCCCCGCGGGAGGUCGAGCCCCGUCAGCCACCAGGCCCCUUGGGAGGCCGCGCGCCGCCGGCCGCCGUGCCCCGCGGGAGGCUAAGCCCUGCACUGCGCCUUGUGCACGCGCUUCUAGUCCAGCGCCUGGCACGCGUGGGACCAGUAGUUGGCGGCGCCGCACACAGAGCACCGCUGGAACUCGUGCCGCCAGGUGUCGCGCCGCCCGCACCGGACGUGCGAGCAUAGCCGGAGCUUCGCGCCGUCGCCCGUGCCAGCGCCAGGCUUCUUCGCGGCCGCCACCUGGGCACCGUGGGAGGCCCACCAGUUGACCAUGAACUGGUUCGCCACGUGGGGCUCCGCCUCAGGGAUGCUCCAACCGAAGUCCAAGAGGAGCGAGCAGCUGCCGGCGCCCACGGCCGUUGCUGCCGCGGCACCGAGCAGGACCGUGGCGGUGAAGGGGUGGCGCGAUGCGGCGGCCACAGCAAGCGCGAGCGCUGGCGGCCACCAGGAGGCGUCGGCCCUCGGCGGGGUCGCGCCGCACUUCGUAGUCAUCCUGGAAGCGCGCGCACAAGGCGCAGUGCGGGGCUCAGCCUCUCGCGGGGCACGACGGCCUCCCAAAGGGCCCGGUGGCUGACGGGGCUCGACCUCCCGUGGGGGCACGGCAGCCGGCAGGCCGGUGUGGAGCAGAGGGAGAAAGAGAGUUGAGGAGGGCGAAGGGUGGUGGGGCUCACAGGAGCAAAAUCGUCUUAACGGUUUAUGGAUGGAAAAUCCAUCAGUAUUAUAUGAGGAAUGAAAGUUGAACUCGGUGUCAGCUAGGGAAAAAAAAUUUAGAGCCACGAAACAGGUAAUUUUUCUAGUCUUUCUCUCGUAAAUAAAAAAAUAUUUUCAGAAAAAAAAACACAGUCCAUUGCAUUCAGCAACCCGUACAGUUUCCUAUCCUAUCACUACAAGCAAUCAAUCCAUCUCUCAAAAAAAAAAAGCAAUCAAUCCUCCUCCGACGAGGACGUCGACGAAGACGAGAAGGACGACGAGGACGAGGAGACCGAGAGCGACCUCCGGUAGCGAUAGCGGUAGCGGUGGUACAGCGCCGCGUCGGGCGCCCGCGCCACCCACCCGCCGCCGCGGCCGGACCCCGGCACGUAGUACUCCGGCAGCGGCAGGCAGAAGAAGGCGAAGAGGGAGUCCCCCAGGCGCCCGAGCUCCCGCGCGGGCGGCACGAGCAGCGCGCGCAGGACCUCGUCCGCGCGCACCCGGCGACGCCCCGGGGGCUGGCACAGCUCCGCCGGCGCGCGCGCCGCCGCUGCCAGGAGCGCGGCGCUGAACACCAUGAACCCCUUUGGUUCUGUCCCUCGCGCCCCCGGCUGGUCGGAUGUUUCGGAUUGGUUUUUUCCGUCGCGUUGUCGCGUGUGGUGUGUGAUUUGGGCGCGGGUUUUUAUUAAUUUUGGUGGCGUGGAGUGCGCGGGUGGAACCGUGGAAGGAAGCGCGCGGGAAGUUUUUACGGCCGCGGCCGUGGGGGGUGCCGUGCGGCGAGGAAACACAAGGGCCAGGACCCAGGACUCCAGGAGCCCUACCGGUCGUCGCUCCCGCCGCCGCGCGGGCUGGCCGCUUUGGUCGUUUUCCCGUGCGACGUGUGCAGCGCCUCCCAAAUUGUAAGUUAUUUUAAUUUUUUAAUUCAAAAUAUCUUAAGUUUGAUCAAAUUUAUAUAAUAAAAUACUAAUAUUUAUGAUACCAAGUAAGUACUAUUUAAUUCUUCAUUAAAUAUAUUUUCAUAGUAUAUCUGUUCGGUACCAUAAAUUUGUAUAAUUCUCUCUAUACUUUUGAUCAAGCAUAAAAUAGUUUGAACCUCCAAGAAAUUUAGAAUGACCUGCAAUUUGGAACGGAGGAACAAUUUAGAAUGGAGCGACAAUUUAAAAUGGAGGGAGUAGCAUGUGACAGACGGUAAAUUUGUAUAAUUCUCUUUAUACUUUUGAUCAAGCAUAAAAUAGUUUGAACCUCCAAGAAAUUUAGAAUGAUCUGCAAUUUGAAACGGAGGAACAAUUUAGAAUGGAGGAAGUAGCAUGUGACAGACGGCAGAAUGGAGUCCUGGCAGCCUGCCACAUACAACACGCGGAUGUUUCAGUUUCAUCGUGCAGAUACUGAAAUCCUCGCACGGUGUCCAGCUCGGCACUGCAGAACACCGAGUAUCGGAAGAUAACUUCUCUUAGCAUUAGUUGCACCUUCCCCGACAAUAAUUGCCACAUCCAUACUACCCAAGUGGCUAUCAGCAUUGCAUUACACGUAAACUACUCAAGUCAAAAGAGAUUAGGAACAAUAUAGGCUCAUCUGAAUGCCAUUGCACAGAACUAGUGCCAGAGGAAGUAAUCAAAAGAGAUUAGGAACAAUCUAGGCUCAUCUGAAUGCCAUUGCACAGAAUGACAGAACUUGUGCCAGAGGGAAGUAACGAAAGAAAAUAAGAUGGCAUUGGAAUCAAUCUACAUAAGACAUAACUAUGGGAACACCACUGCCAGCGCCUUUGACUUAUUCUGUGCUAGCCUUAUAUAAAUCUUCCCCAAAGAUUGCUUCACGGAUUCAGCUACUCGUGCAGGAAGCCUUUCUCCUCAAGGUAAGUAACCACCUGCCCCGCCAUGUCACAAAGUGGGGGGCAUACACCGUCCACUUCCUUGAUCUCAAUCUGCAAGAAAACCAAGAAAGUCAAACAAUUGUAGUUGUUGACCACAAACAAACAAUAGGAACUUGAUGUCAACAUAGAAAAGAAUCAAAUCUGGUUUCCUUCUAAUACCAGGAUGAACAAUUUUUCAAUUUGAUGCUUCUAGAACACCUUAUAGUAAAAAUCAUUUUUAUGCUUUCGACUUGUGUUGGGGAGUAGACACGAUAAUAACCUUAACAUCUAACAUUUCCUAGACACAACUGUCCUAUAAUAACAAACUACAUAGCCCGUUGCACCUACACAGUUGAUUUAUUUUGCAUAAAAGGAAAUGAUGAACAUGCACUUCUCUUCCUAAUCCAAUCAAUUUCCUAUGACAUUCAAUCUUCAUAGUUUCAGUAAGGCAACCAAUUUGAUAUGGACCAGAAGGAACAACUACAUUAAUGCCUUAAUAAUACACACUUCAACAUGUGAAGAAUGGCAAGAAAUCUGAACCAUUGUGUACCUCGCAAUUCAGGGGAGCUUCGUAGGGGUCAUCGAUUCCAGUAAAACCUGCAGUAAACCAUGAUUAAGCAAUAACAAACUCUAUACGAGUUAACAAAACAGGUUAAAUAGAAUGUCAUGAAGACAGUUGACAUAAUAAAUGGUGAACUAGAACCAGCAAAAUAAAGAUAAGUCUGCACAUAAACAAAGUUGCAGUGAAAACAUAGAUUCUUAAGCUUACAGAAGACAAGGCUUACUCAUUUUCCUUUUUUUUCCAUUUCUCAACUAGAGAACUCCUCCUAAACUUACAAAUGGACAUAUAGACACCUGAAAAGAAAACCUUUAGAGGCUGGGGCCCUAGCAUGCCCUGACGGUUGACCUAUAACUCCACGGUCCAGGUCAGGGACUAGAAUCCACUCCCAAAAUAAAACAGCUCAACUGAUUUUGGUUCAGCAUUUAGAAAUACGCAACAUGACCCAUGUGCAGCCAAAUGUGAAAUAACAGCAUAGUGGUAGAAUAUAACCUAAAAAGAAUGCUUAAACACAUGCUAGGUGUACCAUCGCUACACAGUGUGACCAAGGAAUCAAAUGGAAGAAUCUAAACACUGUAGAUGGUAAAAUAAAAUAUCCAUCCUCGCAGUAUAUGCAACAUCUAAAUUUGUGCUUUGUUGUGAAAUCAUAUUGUUAUUAAGGUGCUGCUUUCUCAAAACAAGCAUAAUUUGACUCGAGUAGUAUUUUUAAUUCUUCAAAUCAGGCUGUGCUUCUAACCUUACAAACAAGCCAGAAAUGUGAUUUAUAAUGUAAAGCAUUAAGUAUGAUCAAAUUUUGCUCAGCAGGACAUGCUAAAUUGAAGCAUUAAACUCUCCAAAUUAUUUCCAUUCUGGACACCAAGCAUUAUAUGAACCUCACCCUUUAUUUUUCCUGCACGAGCAAGCUUAUAAAGACCCUUUGAAUCCCUUGCUUCACACAAUUCCAAGGACAUGUUCAAGAAAACCUGCAAAAGUUCACAGGUGUUUGGUGGUAAAACUCAUGGGAUAGCUAAGUUCACUAAAGACAAAACAAAUAAAAUGGAUCCCUUACUUCCACAAAGCUACCAUCAGACAACAAAGCACGGCAAGCUUCACGGUCUCUCCUAUACGGAGAUAUCAAACUUGCAAUACAUACAAGGCCCGCAUCUGCAAAUAACUUUGCCACUUCACCUGUCCAAAAUAGUUGAAACUGUCAAUUACACAAGGCUAGAAAGUAUUAAAUAAUGGCACAAGAAGGACUCUGUUCACCAUUGUUUCCUCAUGGGAGUUUCAUUAAGUUCAAUGCAAACAUUUCUGUGUUCAGGAGACACUUACCAACUCUCCUUAUAUUUUCAGCACGAUCUUCAGCUUUAAAGCCAAGAUCCUUGUUUAGUCCAUGUCUUAAGUUAUCACCAUCAAGAACGUAUGCAAGCUUCCCUCUUGUAUGGAGCUCUCGGCCUAAUGUACAUGCCAAGGUACUUUUACCUUGACAAAGGUAAUGCAGAAAAAAAAACAAAAUUAGAUUAAAAAUACAGGACGCCAUUUUUUUAAAAAAAGGCAAAGUUUCAAUUGAAAAAAAAUAGUGAUUAUUGGAAAUCUAUCAUUUACAAGUUGUCAUUCUUCGUAAGAACAGAAAUAGUUUCUGAUAUAGUGCCCAUUUGUUAAUCUAAGUCCAGAAGAUAGUGUGAACAGAAAAUAGGAUAAUAUCAGCAAACAUAAUGGAUGUCCACCAUACAAAUAGUAAAAUUUUACAUUACAGUGCUAUUUGAAACAUUGUAGGUUUGCCGUUUAACAACCUUGAAGAUAUUUGGUCAAAUGCAUGGCAACUAAAGAAAGGUCAUGAGCAAUUUGUCCAAGCCAAAAUACAUGGUCAUUUUUAAUUACAACAAUAACAACUUGACCAUCUAUCCAGUCAAAACAGGUUGACCAUCUAGAUUUGAGAACAGAGCUGAGAGCUGAACUAAAUUUCCAUAAAACUAGCAAUUCUUGACCAGAUUUUUACUAGCAUAGAAUGCACAGAAGCAAGAGAGAAAAGGUUCAAAAAUUACCUAAGAGGCAAUAACAGUGUGAUCCGUUCAAUUACUUAAAAACCAUGAAGGCAUCAGGAAUUUUACUCUAAAGUCUACAAUGAAACCAAGAGUGGUUACAGCUUUUGGCCUAAACUGAUUUUAAUAGAAUCCGAUGAUAUAUAAAACAGUUCAUGUGAUAGUACAGAAAUCUAAGUCCAUGCAGGCGACAGUAUACAGCAACAAAGCCCAACAAGAGACAAACAAAGAGGACAUAAUAAUAUAUAAUGUAGGAACUAGGAAGAGUCACUGACUGCAGUUGAUAUUAUCCACACUUCAAGAAUUUAAAGAUUGAUUGACAAAGCAAGAAGCAGACAACAAACCAGAUUGAGAGAAAGGGAGCCUUAGUUACCUGAACCACUAAGGCCUGUAAUCCAGACAACACAACCUUUCUGCUUGAGUAGCUUCUGACGAUCAGCCUUGCCAACUGCGCAAUCAUGCCAGAAGAUAUUUGAUGACUUUGGCACAGUGGAUGACAUUUUUGAAGCUUUCUCCUCAACUACUGUGUACAAAUACAAUCAUUUAGACAACAAGAAAGGCUCCAAUUCUUUUCAAGCAAAUUAAAAAACAUGCAAUCUGAUUACCAGCGAAAUUACUAUAUUCUUUUCUUAAUUAGUAGAAGCUCUUUAUUGCGUGUUUCAUAAACAAUUACAGAAUUGGUUGCCACUGAGCAUUUUUGUACAAAUCAAUCGUGCUGUUCUUUCGAAUUCCUGAGUCAAAAAUUGCAAUAGUAAAUAGGACGCAUGGGGGAUCAUGUUGGUUAUAAGCUGGACAAACCCUAAACAAAUUGCAACAGUGUGGCUGACCACCUAUCCUCACUCCCGUCGCAUUUGAAUUGUCUUAAACCCCCUGUCCUUCUCUUCCUAUAGACUUGACUCACCCACCUCAAUCCCCACUCAGCCCCUCACCUCCCCUCACCGCCUCACUGUCACCCUUUAGCUCUGCUACUGAAUCCCUUUCGGACUUCUCUACCAAGCUAGCGGCCUGGAGACCACGGCAGCGAUAGACCACCUCCUCGGUCCUCACAGCCGCGUAAAAAUGUCCGCCACAGUCGCGCUCGAGAUAGAGGCCGAUACCGGAAAGACGCCUUUCGGCCCCAACUCGAAACGAUCAAGUGUAAAAAAAAAUCGCGGGAAGAAAAGGAAAUAUGAUCAUGGGUUCUACUAGUCCGUCGAAAUGGAACAAAAUCUGGAAUUUCGCCUAAUUCACACGCACCCGAGUCCCCCGAUCGGGCGAGUGGCGCCCACAUUGGAUCGAAACAGCGAAGAGGAAACAGGGGAGGAGAGGCGGCUACGUGCCUAGACUGACCUCCUGCGUGCUCCUGAAUCGAUCGGUCGCCGGUGCAUUCGACGAGGGGGCGUCUGUCGAAGCCUCCGUCGCCUGUUACCCUCGUCCCAGUCCCGGCGGCUUGGGACCUCGGAAGGCGGGGGCGGGGCGGAGGCAACCCUAGAUUCGCGACGGGGCUCUGGUUCCGGUGCGCGGCCGCGAGGCGCGAGCAGCGGCCAGGGGAGGGAAAGGUACACCCACCAGGCCACCACCGCUGGAAUUGGCACGCGGAUCGCGAGGGCACCACCACCACCCCGCGCGCCGCGGUGCGGUGGAGGAGGCUGCUAACGGGAGGCGGGCCGGGUGGGCGCGCCGCGAGGCGUGCCGCUCGUGGGGCGUCCAUGGGGCGGUGGUGGGGCUCAGUGGCUGACUGACUGACUGGUGGCGCCGGCGUGUCCUCAAAAGAAAGGGGCCUUUUGUUGCUGACGCCGUGGCCACGUAGGCUCCAAGGCCCGCCCGCACUAUUUUUUCGGCUCAGUUCGGCAAAUUUCAGAUAUUGAUUUUUCAAUUGCUGUAUUGAUCCAAUAUCAAACCAAAGAGCUAUUGCAGUAUCAUUAAAAAGCGUUGAUAAAACCAAGUAAGUGUAAAGUAUUUUAGGCAGAAAUAUUUUGAAAAAUAUUUUUCCAACCUUCUCUUUCCUGUAUACCUGCAAACUUUAGUGCAAAUGCAACUUCGGAAUGCACAAUAUCAAUAGCAUCUCUGAAAUUUUAUCACUCGCAUGGCACUUUGAAUUGUGGACUUGUUAUCUCAGUCUCAGCCCAUUCAGGAGGCAUAGGCAUUUUUUUAAGCAACGAUGAUGGAACGUACUAAUAAAACAAUUAGUACAUAGCAAUACUAAAUUAUGAUGCAGUCCUAGGAUCUUUUGGAUAGUCCAGGUAGCUCCAGCACAAAUUGAAUCAGCCGACCAUCUUGCCACCACCAUUAUGCUAGCGCUUGGCCAUCACAAUAUCUCUACAAAUAUCACUUUGGUCCUAGAAACAGUAUGAAAAUCACCGUAUCCUAAUUCCAAAUCUGUAAAUAAUGGUUUUAUCCAAAACAAUGAAAAUUUGGUACUUGAGGACCUAUUUGGUAUGCUGCUCCACUCUAAAACUCCAGGUGGAGACAGCUUCACUCCAUAAUUCCAAAACUAAAAUGGGAUGUUUAACUAGAUGGGUGCCUCCAGCUCCAAAAGGAGGGUCUUUUUGGAUGGAUUGUCGCUGUUACCCCAAUCCAUGACCCCACUUGUCAUUCGGUCACACAUUAUCUUUUCUUCGGGACGCUCGCCGUCGCGGCGUUGCUCGUGCUCGUCUCCUUCGACGCGUGCGCGUGGCAGAGCCGUCUACUCCGCGUCCUCGACCUUAGCUCGUUGCUCCAUGGCCCCCACCUCCUGCUCACCUUCUUCACGGGGCUCCUACCACCGCCGCCGAGGCGCUCCGCCUCCCGUUCUUUGGCCGAGCCGCCAUGCUCCCGCCGCGCCACCGCACCAUGCUAUGCCUCGCGUACCCGCUUGUCGCGUAUGGCAUCGUCGAGCCGGGGAUGCUCGCCACGCCGGCCGCCGUCGUGGCGUACCCGGGCCACCUCGCGCACGCCGCGGAUGGCCUCGUUGGAUAGGGGCAGCGGCCGGCCGGCGGCGCGCCCGACGGGGCCCACGAGGGAGCUCGCGCAGCCGGGAGGGGCUCCGGCGGCCGGCGGGGCUCGAAUUGACGACGGCAGGGAGGGGCUAGGCGGCCAGGAGGGGGCAGGCGACCGGUGGCGGGGAGCAGUCGCGCGUGAAGGCAGGCGCAAAACAGAGCAGUCACGUGUGAAGGAAAUAGGCGGGGGGUCUGGUGGAAUAGAAUCGAACUUUUUCUCUGUAACCAGUGGCAUUGGUAGGUAAUUACCCACCAACUCCACGAGGAGGUUGAAAAGAGGGGGUUUUGGAGCUGCAAAAGAGGUGCUCCAAAACUCCACCCCAAUUUGCACCACAGUUUCAUGAAGUUGUCAGCUUCAUGGAAUUUUGGAGCUGGGGUGUUUGGCUGGAACUUUUGGGGGAGUUCUAGAGUGGAACCAUGCCAAACAGGCCAUUAAGAUCCACUUAAUACCUCAUUUGCGAAGAAAGUCAAAUGUCAGUUGUCCGAACUCCGAAGGAAAAGCCUAGUGUCUUCGAUAAAUCCAUAAUAUCGAGAGAGUGAAUUUCAAGAAAUGAAUCCAGUAGAAAACUUGGGUGUAGGUGGAAUGAUGGUUUUAUAAAUAUGUAUAUAUAUUGUUUUAUANNNNNNNNNNNNNNNNNNNNNNNNNNNNNNNNNNNNNNNNNNNNNNNNNNNNNNNNNNNNNNNNNNNNNNNNNNNNNNNNNNNNNNNNNNNNNNNNNNNNGACUCUUGACACGUUGCAAAUGUUGAAUGUUCAAACUUUACCCAAAAUCAUAUCAUGUCACAGCAGGUUCCAAUAAUAAACUCUCCAAUACUUCAAAACUGACCAUGUCAACACGUAUGGGCCCAUACCAUCAGCUUUCCCCCUCGUAAUUUCUUUUGCGUCGGUCAUGAAUACGUAUGAGUGCCUUGACCGAUCGUCCUUAUCCUGACUUUUUCCAGCCAUGGGAUGUUGUAUCCUGCCGACUGCCACGUAGCUUCCUCCAUCUCCUAGCGCUGCUACUAGAUUGCUGCCUCGUCGCCGCCGCUGCCUAGCCGCUACGCCGCCACGCUAGGGACUAGCGCAUCGGAAGCCCGCCAUCCCCAUGACUCCUCGCUCGUGCGCCGCUCGAGCGCCUUGCUCAUGCUGGCAUCGUUGCCCGACCCCGCCCUGAAGGCUGCUCCGGAGGCAGCCAAGGUGGAAGGGUGGCGGCGUGCGGCCGAGCCUCGCCAAGCGGCUGCUGCUGGGGAGCCUCCUGGAGGACACGCUCACCGCGGCGCUCGCCGACGCGAUCCCCAACUGCCUUCCCAUCACCAUGAGCCCCUACCACCUACUCCCCGGCACCGUCGCGCCAGCCGCCGAAGACCCCACGGCUGCCUCGGCUUGCUCGCUCACCGCCCUGCUGGUGCCGUCACGUACGUCAGCUUUGGCACGGUCGUUGCGGCGCCGCCUGAUGAGCUCCGCGAGCUUGCCUACAGGCUCGAGGCCAGCGGCGCUCCCUUCCUGUGGUCGCUGCAUGAGGACAUGUGGCCGCUGCUCCCGCCGGGUUCCUGGACUGUGUCAAGGCGACCAAUAACUCCGGCCGAAUCCUCGUGCCGUGGGCGCCGUAGGGCGCCGUGCUGCGGCACCCAUCGGUGGGCACGUUCGUCACGCACUCUGGCUGGGGAUCCAUCGUCGAGGGGAUGUCCGGCGGCAUGCCCAUGCCGAUGAUGGCCUGUCGCACUACCGCCCCUUCUUCGGGGACCAGCAGAUGAACGCGCGUGAUGUGGUGCAGGAAAGGAGUGCGGUGGGCGAUUGGGGGAGGAGAGACCGCACGCAAAUAAGCGGGGUGACGGGAUUGCGAUUGGGGUGGGCGAAAAUAUGCGGACGGUUUGGGUGAGCUGUUGGAGCGCAGUUUUUUUUCUCCCAAAUUAAGUUAUUAGGGGUAGUUUAGAGUGACUUUUGGAGUUGCUCUUAGUCACCAAGUAACGGCUGAGAAAAAAAUUUCCUGCUCCUUGACAAAUCUCACAGGACAGCCUGCAAAUAUGUGUAAACAAAGAAAUAGUCGCAUGACUAUUUCAUAUUUAAAAAAUGACAUAUUUGUGUUGUUGUUCUUAUUUUCUCUAUCAUUUCAACACUGGCAACGAAAUAGCCAUUUCUCUGCAACAAUAUUCCCAUGACCAAAAUAAUUUACAAACACCCCCAACGAGAAACCUUAUAUAGUAGUUGACAACAACAUCACAGUGAUGCUUUUGGGAUGGCUGAAAAAGUUAAUGCUUACAAUGCCGGUAUGAGAGGAACAAAGUGAGGAACAUAAUUGAUCAAGACACACCUGCAAGUAAUCGGUGCGUGCCAAUCUGAAGUUGAUGGACCAAGUUCUUGUGGUGCAAGCAUGUCAGCUCCUGCAUUAGUACAAAAGUCUAAAUUAGUGUAAGACAUCGGAUAUUACAUGAGAGGUUCACAAAAUCACAAGGACAGAGGCAUCAUGCGAAGAACUUCAAGACAAUUAUCGUGUAGUAGUUUCCAUUUUUCUAGAUAUCUGAGUAUAGCUUCCUACCUAAGUUGUUUGCAAAUCUAAUUCAUGAAAUGGAAAUUAACUAAAGAUCCUAUAUUCUCAAAAUACAACUGCCAUUGAUUUGUUAUUACUUUAUAAAAACCACAUAAUAUAUCAAUAUCGAGAAAGUAAAUGAUCGACUUGACGAUUUUUGAUAGAAAUCAUCAUCUAUAUAAACUGGAUCGGGGAUGCACACAUGAUUUCAGAAAGUUGCUACUUAAUAAAAUUGCUAGAAGCUUUGGCUUGCAGUGUCAAAAUAUCAUAGUUAGAGAUAUGCACCUUUCUUCUUCUCACACCAAUCAUUGUCUCAACAUCACAACAGGUGUGUUCAAGUAAUCCAAUUAUAUGGAGAUUUCCAUGAUUUUGUUACUAUUGGCAUGCACAAAAUUGCUCUGUGUAUGUAAACACUAUGCUGAUGUACAAAUUAGCAGCGCAACAAUACUCCUCCAUAUAAAUCCAUACUCUCUGUUAGUUUUCAGCUACAGCUAUAGAUUAUCUAGAAUUGUCAAGGAGAAGCAAAACAAAAUGGAAUUUUAUGGCACAGUUAUAAACUAAUGCGGAGUAACUAAAGAUCAAGCUAAGCCACACUGGGUAAAUUUAGGAAUGAGCUACAAAAAGGAUGUCUUACAAACUGGGAAGACCAUGGGUCAAAACACAUCGAUGCCUCACCAUCCCAUGUACAAUUUUCUCUGAUAUCCAUUUUCUCGUAGUUCACUGACUCGAUUCUCAGUGCCUAUAGCGGUUCUCUCUCCACCGCUAACUUGCAAAUAAAAAAACAUUAUCAUAACCCAUAUAGCUUUCACAUAAAAAAAUCAAGUAAGCUAGCUAAUGUUAUUAAGGAAGUUCUGAUCGGUACAAUAAGAACUUUGGAUUGCUGCACAUGAAUGGCAUAAAAGGAGUUGAUGUUGUCAAUCAUUCUAAGCUGAUCUAGGGCCCAGGCUGGCAAGCUGGGGGUGCUGCAGCACGGGUCUAGCUCAUGUAUUUGCCUACUAUAUAUAUGCUGUUGUGCGGCCUAUUCAGCUGGUUCUUAACUCUCUCUUGCAUACAGAGGAACAGAUUGUGGUUUAGCCCGAGGUCUAGCACAUUUCUGGGACCGCCCCUGGGCAUAUAUGCUAUGACAAAGAGCUCUAAGAUACCUGUAAUCUCAUUUUAGGACUAGCAAUUAUGCAAUGCUUCUUAUCCUGGAAAUAAACACCAAAUAUGUGUAAAAUGCAUGAUGCUGACAGAAUCCUAAAGUUUCAUGCUAACAUAUGGUUAAAUGCAGAUAAAUGAUUCAGAGUUUUUGCCUUCUCGAUAUAAAGAAUGCAAAUACAUCACUUUUUUUUGUUUUUUCAAUUGUGUUUUCUUGAAAGGAAAGUUACUUCCUGUUAGCUAUGCAUAUAUCUGUUCCAUGCAUAUAGCUUGCAGUUCUUCAUUGAUUAAAGAACUGUUUGGUGAACUUUUGACCCUACAAAGCCUUGUACUUUGAGAUGAUGUUUGCAGAAUAAGUAGCCCAGAGGAAAAUAAAACAAGAAAAGAUAAUACUUGUAAAUGUUGUGAUUGUAAAUCUAAAUGUUUGCUUUAUCAACAAAGAAAGCAGAGGCGGCUCUAGAGGGGGGCUGCUAGUUUGUGGAUUAGUGAUAAGAAUAUUCUGCUAGGACUUGUGGUUUUCAUUUUUAUUUAAUCACAAAAUAAAAUAAAGUUUGUUUUUAUUUGUUUGCAGACGCGUCAAACACAUAAACCUUUUUGGAUCCUGAAGAAAUUACAUCAAGGAGCAUACCAUUCACAAGAGACGUAAAGGUAAAUACGGCAGUUUGUAUAUUUCAGUAGAUGGGAAGGCGUGUCUAACUUUAUUAAUUAUGUUUGCAAUAUAAUAUACUUAAAAUUCAAUUUUUUUGGUUUACUGCUAUAAAAUUUUGGAAUUGGCCAAAAACAUUAUGCAAAAGGAACAAGGAUCAUAGAUCUGACUCCUGUAAUUCUUUUCAAUACUUUUUGGUUUUCGUGACGCACAGGGUGGAAGAAAAGCCUAUCUUUUGUUAGCCAAGAAACUGGAUGCGAUACUUUGUAUAUAGACUACUUCUUCCUUUCCCAGCAUUUGCUCCCUGACUUAAGACAUGGAUAGUCGUUACAAUACUUGUGUAUAGGGUGGUUGUACUUCUUGCACCAAUGCAUUCCGAGUUACGGGCUGUUAGUAUCAUUCCUACAUAUGUGGUCAUGUGGAGUAUGUAGGCUCAAGAAACAGAAAGUGGAUUUUUGCCCUUGUUCCUGAAAACCUGGAUACCGUAAAGCAUCCAAGAUGAUUGUAAGGUUUUUUGUUAGGGUAAUAACUGCUACAUGAGUUGAUUGCGUGGGUAAACCUGUUGACUUGUCCCGUGUUUGUUUCAACUCUUCCGUACUCGAGCGAAUACCGUGUUUGGUCUACCCACUGUCACUGCCUGUUUGCCCAUUUCACACCCGUCCCCAACUGCGAACUGGUGGUGGUGAGUAGGAACAGCUCGCCCCCUCACCAACUGGUGGUGCCCUCCAUCUCCUGCAGUCCUGCCUAUGCCUAGUAAACAGUACCAAGACCAAAAGCUUAGGAGGUGUUUGGAUACCCAGGCAUGUUUGGUGCUAAUUAGAAGUAUUAAAACGUAGGCUAAUGAUAAAAAUAAUUGCAUAAAUGAGGGCUAAUUCACGAGACGAAUCCAUUAAGUCUGAUUAGUCCAUAAUUAGCGCAUAUGAUGCUACAGUAAACGUGUGCUAAUCAUGAAUUAAUUAGGUUUGAUAGAUUCGUCUCCUGAAUUAGCCAUGACUUAUGCAAUUAGUUUUGUAAUUAGUUUAUAUUUAGUUCUCUUAAUUGACAUCUAAACAUGCGAUGCGAUCCGGGCUAAACUUUAGCCCAAGGAUCCAAACACCCUGUAUCAUGUACUCGGAGGAUGACGAACAUAAUUGAGAGUUGUGUGGGUGUUCACAGAUGUAUCACCAUCCAUGUGGCCGCCAUUCAUGAACGGUCCCAGCAACGUUGCAUCCAAACUCAGGAGUACUUCUGAAUUACUGGAUGUAUGUGGCGAAUACAGAUACUCCCUCCUCCCUUUUUAUCUGUCGCUUGGGAGGCUCACAGACAAAAAGGGACGGAGUAGAAUAUAAUUGUUGGUGAAUACUGAAGAUGGGUCAGAUUUGAGAUCUAUCUUACAUCUGCUUCGCUAAUUUUUAUGUCGUGCCUUUUUUUUUCUUUCUUCUCGUAGCUUCGUUCGCCUUCAUGCGGCCAUUCUUCAUGGCCCGCGUAACAUGAAACUCCAAAACCUUGAGGUGUUGAUUGUGCUCAGGUUUGCGACUUCUCCAAGAUCGGCCAAGACCCAGUAUAAUUGUAGGGCAAAUACGGUCGGUUUUUUGUAGGAGCCAAAACCUGAGAUCGUAGAUAAACUGGGCCAAGUCGAAGCUGCAUGUCGCACGAUCAAGGACACAAAACCAAAAAUUUCAACUGAUACAUCAUUCCUCUCGAACCGGCAUUCCUCCUGAGUCCUGACAGACAAAACAGGGUUCAGAAAAAAGGGGCAUCAAAUGAUCAAAGCCCAAAGCAGCUACACUAUACAUUCUCUGCACACCCUUGUGCCUGUGGCCGGUGCCACUAGCCCGAAGAGCUCCUUCGUUCCGUCGAGGCAAGCAAGAUCGCAGCACGGAGGAAGGGCAGGACCUAGCAUCAUCAUCCGUGGAUGGGCCCAGCAAAGCUGCAUCCUCUGCCGUAGGCUGUAGCCUUUAUCUGCGAGAAUCAUACACCGAUACACACAUGCGUACGCGCGCGCCACACCGCCCACACGUUAUCCUGGCCGGGGAACGCCCGCGACCGCGUCUACUCUACACGCCGCCAUGCCGGGGAGCGGUCACGGCAUGUUGCUGGAAUGAUUGGUCGCCCUGGGGCCUGGAAAGAAGCGUCCAUCGCGCCUGCCUCGUGUACGCCGCGGGCACAAGCGCCAUCAUUCUGCUCCUGAAAGCGUUUCGAUCAUGGAGCAUGCGGCAUGCCUGCGGAAACCAAGCACGGAGUAGCAGUCCGCCAGUCCGUGCAGGUACCAUACCAUACCGGGAGAGAAGCACACAGGCUCGACUCGACAGCGAAUGACAAGUGCAUUCCCAUUGCUAAAGAAAGCCUAGGCGCGAUGCAGAAACCGGAGCAAGCUCUAGCUCGCUCUAGAGGCGGCGUGCACCGACGUGAUCCGAUGAGUGCGUGCAAGCUGCUGCGUGCGGCGGCUGCCGGCCGACCGGGCGCCCGGGCGGGCUGAUCCGGCAUGGCAGCGGCGUCAGCCUGACGGAUGUCCAUGUCGCGGAAGCAGAGGUGCUUGAGUUUCUGCAGCUGGGAUGGAUCGGGAGCAGAGCUGCUUACCUUUUAUGCAUCUUGUGCAGGUGAAUGCAGUAGCUUUUGGGCGUAGCGUCCUGUGCAAAUUUGACGGCCGGGGGCGUAGCGUUGCUGUGCGUUCAAUCGCGGGCGUUCGUUUCAUGUGGGGAUCCGUGUGAUUCUGUGGAUGUAUUUGUAGGGUAUAUGAAAUUUUUUUGGCAUCCUGUCCGACCAGGCAAGCACUAAAAAAAAUAUCGACCCUAUUCAAAUCUUGCAUGCAUAUAAUAUAGUAUUAUUUUUAUUUGGUGUUUUCAUGCUAAUGAUACGUACCAUUUAGGACCACUCAUGUAUACCGUUCAAAAUGUACCAGUACACUAAAUUGUAUAUUCAAAUUUUGCAUGAAUAUAAUGUAUUAUUAUUAACUAAGAGCGAGCUCCGGUGACCGGUCGCCCGCGAGAGCGCCAGCAAUAUAUAUUAUAUUUUAUUUGAUGUUUUCUUGCUAAUGAUAUGUACCAUCCACGUACCACUCAUGUAUAUCCCCAGCCAAAAACACGUGUGUCAGUAUAUAAAUUGUUUAUUUCUUGCUGAAUGGUACCACCAUGUAUACCGCCCAAAAAAACACGCUAUCUAAUUGUUUGUUUUUUUUACUUCAUUGAAAAUAGUUUUGAUAACAUUUAUAAUAUUUAUUAGACAUUAUAUGUACCAUCCAUGUAUGCAUAUUUUACCACGUAAUACAAACUGUGUGAAUACACUGUAAAGUAAUAUUUUGCACAGUUUAUAAAAAUAAUUUUGAAAUUAUUACUGAAACUUAUCCGCAUACCACUGUACAUAGAUGCACAAGAACACAUUUUUUUGAGAAGAAUCUAACAUGCUAGUUAAUUGUGUUUUUUUAAGGGUCAACAAAUAUAAAUUUCUUAGCACAAUACUUUUGGUCUCAUCCAUGUCUGUAAAUUUCCAACUCUUGAUCAGCAUGAGCUCCUUAUCGUGAACAGGUCUUUACUUGAACAAUUAAAAGUGAAAUUCCAAAACAUAUUCGAACGCAAAGGCUACAAUACACAAUUUUCCAAAUUCGUCUGAUGCAUACAUCAUAAUUGAGAACCUAGGCAAAGAAUUGUUUCCAGGUCAUGGGAUCUGACUGAAAAAGAUCAUGAUAUGCGGAAUCUCAAUAGUUGUGCAGAAUCAAUCCUAGUACCAGAUCAAUUAAGCAUGCAUCGAAACCAUGUGGCAAUGUUCUUAAAUUCCUAAAAAAAAAGAGACCAGACUGCUCAAUUCGAUUUUGCAUGCAACCAACUGAAUAAAGAUACACAACAAAUGGCUCACUUUUGGAGAUAGGAGAGCCAAUCUACAUUCAGAGCUAGCAAAAAUAACUGCCUCUUCGCACUACAAAUCAGUUUAUAAACGAGCAGAAAUUCAAAGUGUAUCUGGCGGCCACUCUUACAACAAAAUCCAAGACUCUUACUCCAACCACUCCACCACCCAAAGAAGAAAGGAAACAAAAACCUUUCCCCAACCAAUUCGUCGCCAUUUCCUCCACCAGCAGGAACUAAGGGCCUGUUUGGAUCCAUGGACUAAAUUUUAGUCUUGCACUUUUAGUUUAAAAUUUAGCUCUUGGGAUCCAAACAGGAGGGCUAAAAGUGACAAAUAGCUAAACUUUGGGAGCUAAAUUUUAGCCCCCAAAGAGGUCCUAAAAGGGGCUAAAAGUGCUCCCCAAGACCCCCUUUCCACCCCUGCCCCCUUUCCUCUCUCCUCUGCGUGGUCCUCUGCUCCUCCCGCACUCCCUCUCUCCUCCAACGCCCGCCGCCUCCGCCCGACCCCCGCCGCCUCCGCCCGGCCCCCCGCCUCCAGCCAGCCCCGCUGCCUCCGCCCGGGCCGCCGCCUCCGCUCGGCCCCCCGCCUACAGCCAGCCCCACCGCCUCCGCCUCCUUCGCCCGCCGCCGCCGCCUCGCCGGCCCCGCCACCUCCGCCUCACCUCGCCGCCUCGCCACGCCGAGGAGGUGCGAAGGGAAGAGGAGAGAGAGAGAGGGAAAGGAGGGGGAGGGAGAGAGGGAAAGGAGGGGGAGGGAGAGAGGGAAAGAGAGGGCAAAUCAGUCAUUGUUUGAUGAGGGACUAAAAUUUAGCCCAUGGAUCCAAACACCCCAGCAGAACUAAAUUUUAGGAGCUAAAGUUUACCUCAUGAACUAGUGAUCCAAACACCACCUAAGUCAUUAGCAAAAGCAAAGUUUCCUUUCCAUUUUUGGAUUACAGUUGGCACACACUCUGAAAUGGAUAUGAGCAAGGGAAGAAAAAUGAUAGAACAAGAGCUUCCCGCUUUGCAAUGGAAACACAAGAGAUGAACAUCGGAGAAUUGAAUCAGCCCCUACUUACCAAGAAUUGGUACCAUUUGCCCAAAAUCCAGCGCCUAGCCCACAAGAUUGGCGUCCUCCUGGCCAAGAGCAGGCUUUGCUCCGUGAGCUCCUCCAAGGAGACCACCAGCUUCGGUGCUCGGCCGACCUCCUCGACCUCGGCCGCUAGCCCGACGCAGGCGACGGCAGCGAGGGCCGCGCCUGCCGUUAUCUCCCGAGACCCGAGCAGGCUGAUCGUAAUCGAGCGAGCCUGCCAGAGCGCUAGGUUUCCGCUCCUGAUCGGGUCGAUCGAUUGCCAGGUGCCACUGCCGUCUUUUUGACCAGCCGGCAAUUUGACGACGGCAGGACGGUAUGAUCGCUUGCCACCUGACUUUUCUCGUCCUCAGUGACUCAGUGCUAUUCAUUCUGCUUGGUAAGGUAGAUUUUUUGCACAUUUCUUUGCCGGCCCCAGAACAGGCCAUGAAUCUGUGCUCUAGUAUGUGGAAUUUAUACUGGCAGACGUACUGUUCUGACCGUCUACUCCGAAAUCUGAAUAAUCUUGCUGCAAAGGCAUAUGAUGCACCGGUAUGAAUCGAACGUCCCAAUCGCCAUCACGCAACAUUUGGAACCUUUGGUAUUUCGCUCCAUCCCCUAAGCCAAGACCCUGAUCUGUAUGCUGCCAACAGUCAUGAGGUAGGGGAAAGUGAAGCACACCGAGGGAGUUCAUCCCACCGAACUGAAUUUCUCCAGCACUGCAACUAUCUUGUGACAAAUUCCCCCAGUUUAAAAACACCCAAGUUGGCAAACAGGAUUACAGAUUCCAUCUUUCAAGCGCCAUACCGUUGGAUUACAAUCGAAAUGAUAGGCCCCGCCGCUUUCGACCUCCACACAGUGACGUCACAGUGCCUGAAGAAACAGGCCCUAUGCAAUCAUGCAUGUAACCAAACAGUCCAUGCUCUUCACCCGGUCGUUUGACGCUAUCCCUGUCCAAUUAUGCAGCGUCCCCUUGGGUUCCCAGUCCGAUCAAGCGCACGCCAUCUCCUGUCCAGACGAGCAUAUUUGUAUUCUUGCAUGGACAGCCACCAGCGGCGCAUGGCCGGUUAGCUCGAACUCGCCUGUCAGGCCAUCAGUCUCAGCUGUCGUCCCAGCACGUACGCUCUCGUAGCUAGGCACCACGAGAGAGGGGGCGGUGGGGAGGCUGCAGAACAGUCGAUAGGCCGGGUAGGGCUGCGCGGAUAAUGCAUGGAUGGUGGUUGCGAUGGGGACGCUAAGAAUUGUUGCGGCGGCCGGCGUCGCUGCUCUCUAGGCUGCGGCCGCCCCAGCCCGGCAGCCCGGCCGGGCGGUUGCGCCCUGCCGCCGUCAGCAUCGGCCACGAUUGAAAGUUGAAACCCUGCCUUAUCCUCGCGGUCGUGCAGUGCUAGUUCAGGUAAAGCCGGGAAACUGAUACGCGGAAAUCGUUCAAGACGACGGCCGGUCCUCCAAACAACUGAGACGUCUGAAAGCGCCUUGUGGGUUGUUCGCCUAAAUUCUCUCUCAAAACCGGCCAAAAAACCCAGCUGGUUUUGGAAAGGUUCUUGUGGCUUGUGAAUUGUGGUGACGCUGACAAGCGUCGCGCUGCUGCUUGUGAUUGGAUCAUUCGCUAGUUGCCAAACAACAGCUUCGAUUGAUUUGAUUUCUACGAAAUUCGUCCGCUUCCAAACUCGCAAAUUUCUACGGCAGUCACAGCGACGCGGAUUUAUCACGGAUGGGAAGGAAGGCGGGAUGGCGAGUUGGCGACCGGCACAUUCCAAAGCAAUCCCAAACUCAUACUAUUCCACGUGGGUUGUGCACGAGUCCAGGCUCGGAGGGCGACCGCCACGGAUGCGUGCAGCACAGCCCGUUUCCACCAAACCAAUCAGAGCGAUACGGCACGACGCACGCAGCGUCGUCGGCGUUGCUUGCAACGACGAGAACCACCGAACCGCCGCUGACCUGCGGCCGUGCGGGUGCCGGCAGCACGCACGAUCGCGGCACGAGUCACGGCCCGCCCAACUCCGAGCGCAUCGCAUCGCGGCGCAGCGCAGGGCCCCGUCUCGUCUCCCCGCCAGCCUUUAAACGCCACGACGCCCGGCAUUCCCUCUCACAAUCUCUCUCCAUUCCAAGAAGAGAGAGAGAGAGGGAGAGAGAGAGAGCGAGAGAGAGAGAGAGCAGCGGGCGCGGCGGCCGAAGCAAAAACGACACCCAACGGGCGGAUUUUUAAGUGCUCAUCGCACCGCACCCGUCCGCUUCCGGCUUCCCUUCCUUCCCGUGCCCGCCCGCCCGCCUUCCCCCGCUUUUCUUUUACCCGUCGGCCAAAAGGAAGCGCCAGCGGCCAGCGCGCCGUCCUUGCGGUUGCCCAGCGAGCAGCAGCUGGUACUGCCUGCUCGGUCUCCAUGGCGGCGGCGCGGGCGUGCUUGGUUGCGCUGGCCGUGGCGGCGGCGCUCUUUUUGGAGGAGGGAGCGGCGGCGGUGGGGGCGGGGGAUGCCGGGGCGGCGUCGAUGAGGCAGCGGCGGCGGCAGCUGCUGCGGCAGCGGCAGGUGCGCAGCCACCUCAAGCGCCUCAACAAGGCGCCGCUCGCCACCAUCGAGGUACUGGCCACCUACCCAUCCCCGCCAUCUGUCUCCGCCACACGGCGAGCGCCGAGCGCACAGUUCGUUCGAUGGGUUUCGCAUUCCAUUGCCACAAAUUUCGUUUCGUUUCCUUCGGAUUAUGGAAGGGAAUCCAACUGAAUCCCCAUGGGGGCGGGAAAAGGAAGGAGGUCCUGCAUUUUGCAUGGAAGUAGUAGAAGAAAGCCGCCCCUUUCGAGGCAGGGGUUCUUGUGCUCCAUGCUCUUGCUGCUUUGCCUGGUCCACCUCGUCGCUUUGGAAGGGUUGAAUGGCUGUUCCUCAUGGACCAUCCAUGCAUUGGGCUCGGUUUCCUUUCGUCGCGGGAGGAAAAAGUCGCGCUUUUUGGAGGAAUUUAUGGGCGCCCGUGCUCCUUUGGUUCAUUGGAGCUGAAGCGAAAGAUGCUUGCUUUUGAUUGCUUUGCUUUCUUUGCUGGAGAACUCGAGUCAUUUCUGAACCUUGUUACAUUUUCCCUACUGUUUUUGUUCAAUCAAACUAGUGACUUCAGCUUGUUUACUCCCACUUCUUUCGAAUGCAGAUAUACAUACUAGCAUGCGCAAUCUUUGUACAAUCUACAUUUUGUGUUCCUUUCCUCUUUCAACAGCUUGGGCAAUUGCAGACGUUUUUUACAUUUGUUCAGAGAAAAAGAAAAUUAUGUUGACAAAAUUCACAUAUCCUUCACAUCAUUCCUGCACUAAUUUUAGCACAUCCUCUCCUUUUUCUGCAUUUUUGCAACUACUGAUUCUUCGACACCAACUUACAGAGCCCAGACGGUGACAUCAUAGACUGCGUGCCCAUCUCCAACCAGCCUGCCUUCGAUCACCCGUUCCUCAAGAACCACACCAUCCAGGUUCCUCUCUCUGCAGCACCAUUGCACUUUUAAUUUCACUGUUUCAGUGUACACCAUCUGCAGACCACAUGACAUGCAUCAUGAUAUCGCUCAACGGUGCUCAAUCAACGGUGCUCCAUCAUCACCUUUCAGAUGCGGCCUGCGUACCACCCGGAAGGCCUGUAUGAUGAGUCCAAGGUCGCCUCCCAGCAGCAGACCCAGACUAUCACCCAAAUGUGGCAUCAGAAUGGCAAGUGCCCCGAGGACACGAUACCUAUCAGGAGGACCAAGAAGGAGGACGUCCUGAGAGCAAGCUCUGUGAGGAGGUAUGGCAAGAAGAGGCACCGGAGCACCCCCAACCCCAUGUCUGUUGACCCUGACAUGCUCAAUGAGAGUGGCCACCAGGUACAAUAACAGUAGCAAUGCUAAUCUUUUCAUAGAUUAUGAUAUUCUCAGCAAGAAUUUCUCAGUUGACCUUGUUUGCUCUAUCUCCCAUGGAGCAGCACGCCAUAGCUUAUGUUGAGGGGGACAAGUACUAUGGCGCCAAGGCCACCAUCAAUGUGUGGCAACCGAAAAUCGAGCAGGCCAAUGAGUUCAGCCUGUCCCAGCUCUGGAUCUUGGGGGGCUCCUUCGGCCAGGACCUCAACAGCAUCGAAGCAGGAUGGCAGGUGAGACAUGGGAGCGGGAUGGAAAGAGAAACUCAGUUCAUGGAAAGUUCUAUUAAAUGCUGCCUAGCAGCUUCCAUUUCUGUUCUUCAUCUUCCUCUUCAAUGCUAUCAAUAAUUUCUCUGCUGCAUGCCUCAAUAAUCUCUGUGUGCUGCAAUGAUGAUAUGAGCACUGCUGCUGAAAGAGCCAUUAAAUGUGUAGGAGCUAUACUAGAUUCUCCAUUGACACAGAUUUUCUCUUUCAUGAUCUCUACUGGCAGUGUUGUCUUUAGGAGCUAAGCAUGCUGUAAUGGUGGACUAACAUGGGCAGUCUCUUUCAUUAAGGCUAAUGGCUCUGCUCUCCACGAAAUUUGCAGGUUAGCCCAGACUUGUACGGGGACAACAACACUAGGCUCUUCACCUACUGGACUGUAAGAUAAACAUCACAUUCCUUUCAAUCCUCAUGAGCAAUUUGUUUGUAGUUUAUCUUUGUCUUCUGCCUAGAUCUACAUCCCUAUCAAUUGAUUAAACAAAUUGGAGAAUGGCCUAAUGAUACUGAUUUUGUAUUGCUUUGGAUACUGCAGAGUGAUGCAUAUCAAGCAACAGGAUGCUACAACCUAUUGUGCUCGGGGUUCAUCCAGAUAAACAAUCAGAUCGCCAUGGGCGCCAGCAUCUCCCCCAUCUCCAACUAUGGUGGCUCCCAAUAUGACAUCAAUAUUUUGGUCUGGAAGGUAAAUUCCAAAAAGCCCUCACAUGCUGAGCAUACAAAAUCAAAUUUGCGGAUGGGCCCGGAGAGAAUCCGUGCCCACCUGUCUCUUGUUCUAUCUCAAGGGGCCUUCGGGCUUGAGUCAAGGCUACAACUGUGGCUCUGGCCCUGUAUGUGGACGCACUCGACAGAGUCACAGUUGUCCCCAUGCAUGAACUGGAUUUGUCUGCUAAUGCAACCACUGAUAAUGAUUGCUAUUUUUAACAAAUUUCCACAAGAAUAUUCACCUUGAGCUCACGUUUCUUCUGUAAGAAAAUCUUACCCUUUUCUGCCAGCAGAUAGUGCAAAUCCUGGCUCUUUCCUAAGCAUGAUGGCAUUGCCAUGUGCCAUUAUCUUAUUUUCCGUGCAUUUCUGAAAUUUGGCUGAAAAUAAAUAGUUUGCAGGUUGUUUUUAUCAAAGGGCGGCACCUUUCCCUAGUGCAUAUGAGGAACACAUAAUAAACUUUCUUCUGCGCAUGCAUGAUUGUAGCACUAAGGACCCUACUUCAAUAUUAUCUGAUCAUGGUCCUAUCUGCUGAUUUCGUCCGAAAAUUGCGGUUUUCUGCAGGACCCAAAGGAGGGAAAUUGGUGGUUGCAGUUCGGUAACAAUUACGUUCUGGGCUACUGGCCGUCCUUCCUCUUCUCCUACCUGGCUGACAGUGCCUCCAUGAUCGAGUGGGGAGGCGAGGUGGUGAACUCGGAGCCUGAUGGCAGCCACACCUCCACACAGAUGGGUAGCGGCCACUUCCCGGAGGAAGGGUUUGGCAAGGCCAGCUACUUCAGGAACAUACAGUUGGUGGACUCGUCCAACAACCUCAAGGCGCCGAGGGGCGUGGGCUCCUUCACCGAGCAGUCCAACUGCUACGACGUGCAGAACGGCAACAAUGGCGACUGGGGUGCCUACUUCUACUAUGGUGGCCCCGGGAAGAACUCUAACUGUCCAUAGUGAAGAUUGAGCUUGCUAUCAGAGCCCUAACACCCUCUGUAUCAUCCAGUAAAUUAGCUUAUAUACCUCAUUUUCUUAAUUUUUUUUCUUGUUCUUGGUUUGGGUUUUGUUUUACUUCUACCCCUAGUUUAUUAACUUCUAGGUGAGUGUGUGUGUGUGUUGACAUGUGAAUUUGUUCUCUGCCUCAGAGAUGUUGGUCGUCUGGUUCUAGGGAGGAGCGUGGUCAAGUUUCUGAAGAGAAACAGGCCUGUAUGGUUUGGUUGUGCCUUGUGUCUGUCAAAUAAUUUUGUUCCACCCCAUGCCUUUUCAACCUGUUGGCGAGUUGAAUUGAAUUGAUUAAUUGUUGGUGCCCGUGAGCCUGGCUAAUCCUUGUACCACCCAUGUGUGUUUUCUAUUCUGAAAAGUGGGUAAUCGAGCGCUUAGCUGUUGGAAGAUGUGCAAAGAUGCGAACUUUUUUGUGCGCCGAGUUAGGUGGCCACUCAAUCACCUGGAAAAGAGUAAUCUGGGUGAUUACUUACAAAUAUAUAAAUAGAUUUGCAGUAUGGUGCUAGACCCUGAGUCUUACCUUACAGCAGCAAUUUGAAGGUGCUGCCACUGUAGGCUGGUGGAGUUCACAUUGCAAGCAACAAUGCAGGCACCAUCGCUUCAACAAAAUGGUGAGUGCAUCUUGGUUGCUGCCGAUUGGUACAUGAGCAUGUGUGAGGUGCCUAACUUUUGACGUUUUGGUAGUGGUCUUGGGCUGGAUACGUACUGACCCAUGGUCUAGUGAGAUGUUCGCUAGUGCUUUGGUGGUGACUUCCAGUGAUCAACUCCUCAUGCAGAGGUCAACCAUAUUGUCUUCAGUGGAACAUUCCGAGUGGGUACUACAAUAAAAUAAAAUGUGCUUGGAAAGACAACUACUUGCACAACUGUCAUACACAAACGAGUCAUUGGUCAGAAUUAGUCAUGGCCAGUAUUUGGUCUACAAACAUUUCUCCAGCAAGAAUAUCUUGCAAGUUCAGGCUUUUCAAACACAGGUUAAGAAAAUAACUGAGAGUACAAAUGCUGUAUUAGUCUUUUCCCUGUCUUUUUUUACUACACUAGGAAUCCAUCAGCCUCAGCCCGUCAGUAGCAGUGGUCGGUUGGAACGUCGUCGGUACGUGCCCGGAGCUCACGGGCACGCACCAAACUCUCACGUCUCACCAAAGGGGCCUUGCCUUGGCUUGCCUUCACAUGGGAAACAGGAAGCCCUGCCUCCUUUUUGGUUGGAUUCGACGCGGAAAUAAUUACACCGGCAAAAUCCAGGACGUGCAUGCAUGUCUGAUGGCUGCAUGCCUGCAUGGCGCGCAUGGAAUCAUAUGGAUGGAUGCUGCCAUGGCUUUCACUGCGCUGCAGGCCUCUGUGCCUCCUCACUGAGUCACUGCAGGGGCCCUGCCUCUCCUCUCCCUUGUUGCUGACUGCUAGGUGCUAGCUCGGCGGCUAGGGCUUGGAGAUGGAGAGGAGGGUGCAUGGGUGGAUGUGGAUUGGAUCGUUGGAUGGGUGGCUUUGACAGCUUUCAUGGUCCGUGUUCUUGCCCGGCGGACAGAGGCCCGGUGGCUUUCAUCAGUUGCCGGCCUUGUUUGCGAGCCCUUUUCUUACAUCCACAUGUGUGAGAUUCUUCGAAAUGUGACUUUUCCUCCUCCAAGUAUCCCCACCUACCAACCUGUGCCUAUGCUCACCAAUACAGUUAGUUACUGUAUUUUACUGCACUUUGCUGGGGCGGUAUACAAGUCUAAAGAUUCAGUCCCAUUUGAAUGAUAGGUUCUUUUUUCUUCUAGGAAAUGGAGGUUUAAAUGAUUUCAAAGCAUUGCAUUUCUGACCUCUGAACUAUGUAGGAUGAUGAUCAUUAUCCCUAGCUGUGCGCGCCUAAUUGGUCAGGUAGGCUGUCCAGCUGCUUUUGCAGAAAAGGCCAUAAUAAGCUGAACAAAAUGCAGCACGUCGCAGAAGCGGAGUGUACUGUAUACGCUGGUCGCCCUGCGAUUACCAGCAAUGCAUGGUGCACUGUCUGCAGAGAGGCAGCGGACGGUGUAAAGUUCGCCGGCGCGUCUGCCGACUUGACACAGGUGUUUCUGAACGUCGUUGUACAUACUUUUCCUUGCCCUUUCCCCGUCCAGGCGCCCACAGCCUUUCAAUGGACUUGACACAGGCAUGGAGAUUUUGAGCACGAUCGAGGAGCUCGUGAAAUUACUACUGUACUGUACAACUUAAUUAUAAUCUGGAUGGACCAUCCUCAAGUGUCGAUGCCACACUAUGAAAAACAAAUGUUCUAAUUACGAAUUUAAAUGUAUGCUAUCCUCUCUUUUGGAGGGCUUCAGACAUUUUGAAAAAUAGGUCUAUAUCCUCUGUUCACAUUUCCAAGUUUGACAUUCAUAAAUUUCCAGUACAGCGUACCUUUCUUACAAAUAUUUGCAUUUUGAUUCCUCAACUCACAUUACUUGGAUGACUUUAUUUGUGUGAUUGCACCUGCAGGAGCGACUACUGAGGGGGAUCUGGAGUUGUCAGAUUGUUGAUGCCAUCAAAAUGCAAAUAUGUCUUUGGCAAAUAUGCAAAUCACCUGUCUAUGUCUUCCUGGCCAUCCGCCGCCGGCCGCCGCCGCCGCGGCGCUCCCGGCCGGAAGCGGAAGCUCAGUCAUCACCCUCUCAAACCCUAGCAUCAGCGCUCCGGCCCAUUCCUCUUUGGCACCCUCAGCAAAGACCGGAGGCGCUCGCUUCGCCGGCGGCAGCCGAGGACCCGAGACGAGCGAGCAGCCGCGGCUUGAGCUCGCGCGGAGGCCGGGAAUGUCCUUCGCGGGCCGCAGGUGCCCACUGCAUCUCCUCCCGCACGGCGGCAACCCAACCCACACGGCUCCGCGGCAGUCGUUGUCAGGAUCAGUGGAUCACCAAUGUCUGAAUGAGGAUGGCCAUUCAGUUUCGUCAGUAACCCUGCCAUUCAGUUUCGUCAAAACUAGCAUGAAGAGGAAACCUGUUCAAGUCGUUCAAUCAUGGCCCGUCCAUUGUCACUUCAAAUGGCUACCAUUCAGUGUUUUCUUAAGUUAAACUUGCUUAAUGUAAUGCAAUGUAACAGCCCAUCUAGGUAAAUUCCUAGAUUAUAGUAGCUGUGGCCUGUUCGCUUCAGCUUAUUCAGCUGUCUUAUCAGCCACCAAACAGUAUUUUCCUCUCCCAACAAAUCAGCCGUUUCAGCUUUUCAGCCGGCUUAUAAGCUGAAGCGAACGAAUCUCCCUGGCGACAUCUACAUCUGGAGUAGCUGUUGAUUUCGUGAACUAGUUCUCCGAUUCAGUGAUUGCAGCUGCUAUCCGUACCAAUUUCUACUCGUGUCCUUGCUUUUCCAGUUCUUGUUCUUGUGAUUUCGAUUCCCUUUUGCCUGUUCCUCACAGUCGUCCCUCUGCCUUCGUCUUCGUUGACUUCAGCUCUGCGUUUUGUCCAGAAUGACACAUGUUAUUGAAUUGUUGACGAACGCUGAAUACAGAGAUGUCAAUCCCAGUUCUAUUCAGUGCGACUCUCCACACUUGUUAUUGAAUGCAGCUGCAAAAGAAAAUCUGUUUCAUGUGGAGAUUUGUGGGUUUAUCCAUAGUCGUCAAUUGUAUAUCUCGAGAGUACACUCCCUGAUUCUGAAAUACACCUGUUUUUGGCAUAUGACAAGAGGAAUAGAAAUAAAAUUACAUACCAUUGCUAUCCUCUGAACUCUGAUGUUAUGAUGCUGAAUGUAGUGAUGCUUCGUGAUGUUUUCCUCCUGUUUGGAUUCCUCUCGACAUCCAAGAGAGACCAAAUGCCGUAGAAAACAGGAUUUGAAUGGUUGAACCACUAAUUUCAAAUACAAAAGCUGGAUAGUUCUACUGAAAUUCGGAACAUAAACGAUCAGCAACAGUUCACCUUCCCCUUUGUUGCCUCUUGUUAAGGCAAAGCCCAAAGCAGGUGAAGCGCCGAGAGAUCCAAAUCAUGCAGACAAUCGAAGGCGAUGGCGAUGGCCUGAACUUGGAGUUGACAGAGGAAGGGGUUGGCCUGAGAAGAAGAGGAACAGGCGCCAUCAGCGACCUACAGGCUCCGUGGAUCCUCACCGUCUCUGGCCACAGCCCGCGCCACCACCGGCGCCGCCGCUAGAUAUUAACUGCGAAAGGCAGGCCCGUGGCCUAGGGUAGGCGCUGUGGACCGGAGGAAGCUCCUGGGACCGUGCAAUCGGUGGAGGGGAGCGCGGGAUGCACGGCGGCUAGUCCAGCGGUGGUCGGCGGGCAGCAGCGCAGCGUCGCCGGAUGGCAUCGCCGCCGGCGCCGAAUGUUUUGCAGAAUAGUCCCUGGUAGUUGCAAAUACCCCCUAGUUUGGAUCGCGAUUAGCAGUCGCGAUCCGAUAAUUUGCAAAUUGGCCCAGAAUAUUUACAUAAAACCCCCUAUUGGAUCGCGAUGAAUAGUCGCGAUCCGAUUAUUUACAAAUUACCCCCCUAAUAUUUACAGGCCCCUGGUUUGCAAACAGCUCCCUGUCUUGGUAUGACUUCCUGCCCCGUCCACCGCCGGCCGCCGCCGUGCUCGCGGCCGGAAUUGGAAGCUCCGUCGUCACCCUCUCAAACCCUAGCACAAGCGCUCCGUUCCAUUCCUCUUUGGCUCCCUCACCAAAUAUCGGAGGCGCUCGCUUCGUCGGCGGCAGCCGAGGACCCGAGACGAGUGAGCACCGAGCAGCCGCGGCUUGAGCUCGCGCGCGGAGGCCAGGAAUGUCCGCCGCCGCCGUGGCCCGCAGUGCGCACUGCAUCAGACCCUGCACAGCGUCGACGGCUUCUCGAGCGUGAGUUUAAGCUUUCCAUUAGGGCAGCAGGCAGACGCGGCGUCGACCUCGAGCGCGCAGCUGACCAUGAGCUCGACGUUCUGCUUGGUCCCUUUGAGCGUCUCCUUGAUCUCGCCCCUGAUGAGCACGGGUGCCAGCGAAGACCUGAGCUGAGCAUUGCGUAUAGGAGCCGUCUGAGUUCAAGAUUUUAAACUUCGGAUUCUAAUUUCAGACUCCCAAGCAUUCUUUGGAAAACUUGCUAUGUUUGCCUUCAGUUUGCAGCCCUGUUUCCAAAAAUGGCAAAAUGAUCCUAACUACUACUGUAUUUCAAAUCAACAAUCAGCUAUACCAAAAAAAACAUUCACUAAAACUAAGAGGAACAUCAGACUUGUCACUAAAAUGUCACUAAAAACAUUUUUAGUUCGUUUUAACUUUUCUAUAAACAUAUUAUUAUACAUCUAAACAUACUUUUCUAUGUUCUAGACAUACACUAUACUAUCUAUGAACAUAGAAAAGUCAAAAUGACCUACAAUUUGAAACGGAGGAAGUAAUAACCAUUAUAAAAUCAGGUCCAUUGUAAGAAAUGAUUAUCGCAAUUCAAAAAAAAAAACUGCUAAUGAGCAUUGAAGUUUGCCAAAAAGCUACGACGACUCAAUCUUAAAGUCAUAUCAUAUCCAAAGAUUAGAAUCCGGAAGCUGGCAACCAUGAAAUUAAUCUACCUAUGGAGCACUGGCCUAUUUUUAAAUAUUGAGAAAAUUAUUAUUGGAGAUCUACUAUAGGAUGACAUGUUUUUGGAAGAAAAGUUUGGAAGAACUCCCAAUACAUAAUUUUGAAAAGAAUUUUUAGAAAAACUCUUGAAGUUGCUCUAAUAAAAUCUAUGAAUCUAAAAAAAUUAGAACGACCUAUAAUUUGGAACUAAAACUCCAAUUCUGUACGUCGGAUCGAUCAACUACUCCUCCUGGGCACAAGGAGCGGGCGUAGCGGCUUCUUCAUGACGGUGGUGAACUCGCGCUUCUCCUCGAACUCCACCUCGUGGCCGGGCGCCUCCUUCCACUCGAACUCCCUCACCAUGUUGGCGACGAAGUACUCGAGGUGCAGCAUGGCGAUGGACAGCCCGGCGCAGAUCCUCCUCCCCACGCCGAAAGGCAUCAUGCGGAUCCCCUUGGUCCCCGUCAUGUCCACUCCCGCGCCGUCGCCGCCCUCCAUGAACCGCUCCGGCGCGAACUCCAUCGGCCUCUCCCACUCACUCCCGUCCCGGCCCAUCUCCGCCACCAUGAAGUUCACCGUCGCGCCCUUGGGGAUCAGAUACCCGCCGACGUCCAUGUCCUCCGCGGCUUUGUGCGGCAGCACGAAGUGGCCCGGCGGGUGCUUGCGCAGGCCCUCGAGGAUCACAGCCUUGAGGUACGGCAUGUGCUGGACGGCCUCCUCAGAGACCUCCUCGGCGGCGCCGUCGCCGCAGGCGCCCAUGAUCUCGGCGUGGAGGCUCUCCUGGACGGCCGGGUUCUUGACCAGCUCGGCCAUGAUCCACUGCAGCCCGGUGGAGGUGGUGUCGGUGCCGGCGGUGAGGAACUCGGAGCAGAGCGUGACGAUCUCGUCGUCGGUGAGCGGACGGUGGCCCUCCUCGGGGAGCGUGAUGUCCAGCAGGGUGUCCACGUACGAGUGCCGGAACGUGGUCUCGCUCGUCGGCGCCUGACCUUCCUUGAGCUGCCGCUUGUACUCCCGCCUCGCGUUGAUCAGCGGCACGAAGAGCUCCAUCUGGCGCCGGCGCAGGGCGCGGGCGGUCUGGAGGCGCCCGUGGAACACGUGCUUGGUGAUGGACGGGAAGAAGAAGAAGACGUUCAUCUGCCGGGCGAUGUGGAGCAGCCACGCGCGCUCGGAUUCCUCGAUGGCGCGCACGGCGGCCUCGUCCAGCCGCUCGCCGAAGCACAUGAGCACGAGGAGGCAGAACAUGGUGUACCGGAACGCCUCCAUGACGUCGCCGGGCGCGCCGCCGUCGGCACCCCCCUGUCGAAGCUUGUCCAGGAGCACGCCGCGCACCCAGGCGCGCGCGGGCGCGAACAGCCUGACGCGCGACGGGUGCAGCGUCUCGGCGACGAGGUUGCGGCGGAGGAGGCGCCAGACGGGCCCGUAGUCGGCACUGGUGAUGAUGUUGUCGCUGACGCCCAGGAGCGUGCUGGUGGCGGCCUUGGGUCGGUUGGCGAUCGUGACGGCGCCGGCGCCGACGAGCGCGGCGUGCGCGAGGCGGCGGUCGGACACGAAGAUGGCGAGGCGGGAGCCCAUCCGGAGCGUCACCACGGGGCCGUACCGCUUGAAGAGCUCGAGCAGGAGGGGCUCCACGUCGGAGGUGGAGUUCCGCAGCCACAGCAGGUUGCCGAACAGCGGCACGGCGGGCGGGCCCGGCGGGAGGCGGCGGUUCCUGGCGUGGCGGCGCAGGGCGAGGAAAGAGAGCAGGAGGGCGCCGGCGAGGACGAGCCAGCUGGUCUCCAUGGCGAUUGGCGAGGUGUUUUUUUUGCAACGAAACUUGUAAUUGGGAUGUUGAUGUCGUGAGCUGAUGAGACGAACGGGAUUCCAAUUUAUAGCCGGGGUUUUGUACGUGGAAUCCUGCGUUCGUACGACAUGGCAGGAUAAGAGUUUGGACUCGGUUUUCUUCUCGAAGACAAAGGACUCGAAGAAGAGAGACGAUCCUGUUCGUGUUGCACGUGCGCGCUCGUAGUCGAUACGCCUGCCCUGUUGAUUUGGGAUUCAUAUACGUCGCGUUUGCAACAACUCUGGUAAAGAAUCCAUCAUCCAAGGCGUUUUCUUCUCCAAGACAAAGGGACUCGUACGAGAGACGAGCUGUUUGCGUUGUUACCCACGUGCACGCUCUCGUAGUUGAUACCGAAUUGGUCCCCCGUAUAGGUGAGAGUGAUGCGAAAAAUUUCGUAUUCAAUCCAAUCCGAAUACAAAUUUUACAGAUAUGGGAAAAUAUUUGUACGGAUGUAGAUAAUCUGAAUUCGAUUAGGUGCAGUGCGGAUUAUCCGAGAUUUGUAGGAUAUCCGACUACUCUGGCAAAUUAACAUGAUGUAAAGAGAGUCCAGUCUACAAACUAAGACAUACACACAGUUUUGUAGCGGUAAGACAUGAGACACAGGUGCAUUGGUAAAUUCUAACGUUUAGCGGCUAAUCAACAGUCCCCUAAAUCUGUAAUGUUUUUUGUUCGAUAUCAAGUGUGAACUGUUAGCAUCAACUGUUAAGGUCAUUUUAGAUGUAAUUUUCGAAACUUGCCGUGAUUCGUGAACGGUAGAUGUCAGUAUUUUCCGUGUUAUGUUGCUACUUUAUGGUCACCAUAAAAAUUACGCAUAAAUUAAGCUCAUGUCCGCUGUAACAUCGAUCCAUCAUAAAUUAUUAAAGUAUGCCGUUCGCGAGAUUCUUCUUUUUUCUCAAAAAAACCCCUUCCCAAACUGUACCUUUUCCGGGUAGUCGAUGGCUAUUCACGUACGAUUUCUGACGUCAUGAAAAAUCGGCAACCACUCCUCUCCCAUUUGAUAAAAAAAUUUGAAUAAGCAUGAUCAGCUUUCGUCCCUAGACCCUAGUCCCCUACCUUAGUGGAUGGGAUGCGGAGCAGUGAAUGCUGAUCGUACGUCCUUGGCAGCGGUGGAGCUGCGCGUGCGCGCCGUGUCGCAGUCGCCAAAAAAAUCUUGUACGCGCCAGCAUCGGCCCCACAUCUAACACGCGCCGAGUGGCAGUCUGACCACUGCGCCACACACUAGCGGUCAUGGGGCAGGUCCGGCCAGUACUUGCGUUCCCCUGUCCCGCAGCGUGUUCCCACUCCACUCGCCCCGGCUAGUGCUCCGCGUGGACGCACGCCAUUGCGCAUUUGGGCCACCGUUCCUCUGCCUCCCGCUCAACCAGCCCGCGCACAACGGGAAAUCCUAUCCAUCUUUUACCUUUCCAAUGUUUCAGAUUCGUGCGACGAAUGAGGACCGUCAGAUCUGCAUCAGAUCCAAACCCUAGCCUCACUCCCAUGCCUUGCGCUGCUGCCGCCCACGUGGGGCCCACCGUCGCCCCAACCCCGCCGCUGCCCCGACCGGCCCUACCGCGCCGCCAUGGCCGGCCGGCGCACCUCCCUGCACCGCCGCAGCUCUGAUGUGGUGGGCUUGCCAGCCGCUGGAGCCAGAGAAGAGGGCUGGAAAAAUGUUGGAUCAAUUUUUCCUUGAAAAAUGUUGGUGUAACCUUUUUCGAAAAAUGUUGGAUUCAACUUUUUCAAAGAAAUGUUUGGCUCGAAUUUUUUUGAAUAAAUGUUGGUUCAACUUUUUUAAAAAAUGUUGAUCCAACUUAUAUUAAAAAUGUUGACAACAUUUUUUAUCCAAUAUUUUUUUCAGUUAGAUAAUCUUUUUGAUAGGUUGUGCUGUGCUAUAAUGAGCCGGGAUGGGUUGGAAGUUUCAACCCCUAUCUAUCUUCCGCUGAGCCCCCGCGCACAACUGCUUGUCCAGUUGUCCCGUAGCUCUUCAACGACAUGCAGGCGCCGUUGCUCAGGCCGCCCAAGCCAUUUGAAAACAUGAAUCCCGCGCUAUAAAACGGCACCCUGUCCCAUCCCAUCCGUCUCGUCUCCUCAGUCCUCACGACCGCACCAUGGGGACCAGUUGGCUCCUCCUCGCCAGCGCCGCCGCCGCCCUGUUCGCCGCCCUCGUCCUGCUCUAGAACGCCAAGAACCGCCGCCGCCACCGCCUCCCCCUACCACCGGGUCCCUCGGCAGUGCAGCUGUUUGGCAACCUGCUGUGGCUGCGCCUUCAGAGCUCCAGGGCCGACUUGGAGGAGCUGGAGCCCCUCCUCCUGCGGCUCUUCUUGAGGUACAGCCCCAUCAUCACGAUGCGGAUCGGCUUGCCGCCGCCCUUCAUCUUCGUGGCCGACCGGCACCUCGCGCACGCCGCGCUCGUGGGCGCCGGCGGCGUCACCCUCGCCAACAGGCCGCCGGGCGCACCGAACGUGCUCCUCGGCGUGAGCGAUAGCAUCAUCACCCGCACCGAUUACGGGCCCGUCUGGAGCCUCCUGCGGCGCAACCUCGUCGGCGAGGCGCUCCACCCGUCGCGCGUCAGGCGGUUCGCUCCGGCGCGCUCCUGGGUGCGCCGCGUCCUCAUGGAGAAGCUGCGGGAGGCGGGUGACGCGCCCGACAACGUCAUGGACGCGUUCCAGUACACGGUGUUCUGCCUCCUCGUGAUCAUGUGCUUCGGCGAGAGGCUCGACGAGCCGGCGGUGCGCGCCAUGGAGGACGCCGAGCGCGCCUGGCUCGCGUACAUAUCCAGCCCCAGUCAGAUGGGCGUCUUCUUCUUCCUCCCGUCCGUCACCAAGCACGUCUUCCGCGGGCGCCGCGAGACCGGACGCGCCCUGCGGCGGCGCCAGAAGGAGCUCUUCAUGCUCAUGCCGCUGAUCAACGCGCGGCGGGAGUACAAGAGGCAGCUCAUGCAGGAAGGCAAGGCGGCGCCGGCGAACGAGACCACGUUCCGGCACUCGUACGUCGACACCCUGCUCGACAUCAGGCUGCCUGUCCUGAGGAGCGCAACCGCCCGCUCACCGACGACGAGAUCGUCGCGCUCUGCUCCGAGUUCCUCAACGCCGGGACCCGCACCACCUCGACGGCUCUGCAGUGGAUCAUGGCCGAGCUGGUCAAGAACCCGGCGGUCCAGGAGAGGCUCCACGCCGAGAUCGAGGCCGCGUGCGGGGACGGCGAGGUCUCGGAGGGGGCCGUCCAAGGGAUGUCAUACCUCGAGGCGGUCAUCCUUGAAGGCCUGCGCAAGCACCCGCCGGGCCAUUUCGUGCUGCCGCACAAGGCCGCAGAGGACGUGGAGCUCGGUGGGUACCUGAUCCCCAAGGGCGCGACGGUGAACUUCAUGGUGGCGGAGAUGGGCAGUGACGGGAGGGAGUUGGAGAAACCGAUGGAGUUCGUGCCGGAGCGGUUCUUGGAGGGCGGUGACGGCGUGGGCGUGGACAUUGCCGGCACCAAGAGGAUCAGGAUGAUGCCUUUCGGCGCCGGCCGCAGGAUCUGCGCCGGGCUCACCGUCGCCAUGCUGCACCUUGAGUACUUCGUGGCCAGCAUGGUGAGGGAGUUCGAGUGGAAGGAGGCGCCGGGCGACGCGGUGGACUUCGAGAAGUUCCAGUUCACCACCGUCAUGAAGAAGCCGCUGCGCCCACGUCUUGUGGCUACGAAGAGAUGAAUAGUGGACUUUGGAGAUUGCCAGCCAGUUUGGCAUUCUCCUGAUUUCAUACUCGUUUCUACUCUUUUUUGGUACUUUGGAGAUCCACUCAUUUUUCCUUCUAAGUAGUUAAUUUUUCUUAUUUUCUGAUUACUAGGUCGAUGUUGAAUGCAAUUCCAUGUCAACGUUUUCUUUAUUAAAAAAAUACUGGCACAAGACGAUGCAAUUCCACUCAAUACAGAAAAGAGUUGAGACAAAUGCCAUAGCAACACUGAACUUAUGGGCGCUGAUGGUACCUUGUAGUCAUUUUAGUUCUUUUGUUUAUAUCAAUAUUUUGCCUGCCAGGCAUUGUUGCGUUGGGCCUGUGAUAGUGUGAAUUUCUUAUGAUAAAUCUGAGAGGUGGAACGAUAAACAAUUGUGCAUGCCUUUGCUGAGGUUUUGACUAAGACAUUUGCUAAUCAAAGAGAGAAUAACCUGGGAUCUUGAUUUGAUUGUUUUAAACCCCCCACGAGAGAGGGAGAUCGCGACACGAGCAGGGCUGGGUGAAUCAUGAAUCCGGUGGCUAAGCAAUAUUCUGAAUUUUAAUCCCGGAAGAAGUCAAUUUGCUAGCAGUGCCAGAGAAGGCGAAUUUGGGGAAGGAAGCAAUAUUCUGACGUUUUUAUGAUCCGAAAGAGACAGAGAGCCCCUGCUGCAGAUGCCAUUGCUCAGGCCACUCAAGGGGCAAGGGGCUGAAAAUAGUGUGCCUCGCAUUCGUUACAGCCUUACAUGUCACUUUUUUUUUUUUUGAAAUAAUCAGCCUUACAGGUCACAUAGAAGAAAAGCAGACUGCCAUCACGCACAAUAAAAAGUACUGAAGCCGCACCUGCACAUGUGUAGCUUGGCGUCAAUUCAGUACUUCAACGCCACGCCGAUGGUUGGUUACGCUAUCAAAGAUAAUUCCAUCAGAAGUUGAUAGCAGAACAUUGCCGAUCAAGAAUGAGUCCCGUCUCUUUUGUGCAACAGCCUUGCAUCGCUACUCAAAUCAUUCCACGAUGCAUGAUAGUUGGCGCCAAUUGCCGGUUCCUCCACAGAUGAACAAAAUGCUAUUUCUGUUGCACAGGAGGAGAUUCUCUAUUUCUGCUGCUGAGGUUUCCCGACGGAGUGCAGAUACACAGAGACAGAAACCACCCUGAAAAUUAGGCCAAAGUUUAUUAUACUAUGAUGUGAUACUAGGGUCCAAUCAAGAGACGUUGCUGACAUUAAUCAGCACUUACGUCGAUCCGAGGAAGAACGCAAGGGAUAGAUGGAAGCUGAAUAAGAAGACGGAUACGAUUGCUGUAAGAAGCAUUGCAACUGAAGUAGAAUACACCUGUGAGUGUGCAAACGACAAUGGUAAUAAAUGAAUGUGAGUGUGCAAACGACAAUGGCAAACUUUAGUUGCACUCAGGUACUGACAGCUGUUGAACUUUAGAACAACAUUGUUUUCAGCACAUGUAAUCGAAAAAAUAAAUUGUAUAUACCUUGACAAUAUUGUCAGCAUACUUCAUCACCAUUGAUACAGCAAUCCCACUGCAAAGCAAACAGAAACACAAAUCAAAGAUUUUAUUAGAAAAUGGAAGCGUGAAGGGGAGCCCAAAAGGACAACAUUGAAAAAAAAAUAUGAUCCAGCUGUCAGUACCUUAGUGCAUGGUUAAGAAUCAUCGAAACUGUAAUAAAUGAAUAGCCAUGAAAAAAGCCUCUGCAUCAGAUGGUACAUUUGAAGUGAAUGGUCAAUAUCACGAACUGUAAGAGAUAUAUGACAUGGAAUGAACAAAUCAUCAGUACAUACUUAUUUAUGACAGCACCAAAGUCCUGAACACAAAUUGCAACUAAGUUGAAGACCAUCCCAAAAAUGUAUAGCCAAAAAUUCUGCACAUUGAUAUUUCUUGAAGGACGUUUCUUAAUGAUAGACUGUAUUGUUCAAAAGAUCACAAAUGUUACACUCUUGAAGAAAUUCUUUGUGACAGUUCGCAUUAAAUGUAUCGUCUAAAAAUCAGAUACACAUGUACAGUCAACUUACUUCUGUAUAUACACCAGCAAAACCACUUAAAAGAGACAUCACCUGCACAAAAAAGAAUAAUAACAUUCAGCAGGUUGAGCUGAAUACUUCAUGUACUACAUCUAAGUGAAAAGAUUGAUUCUUUUCUCUGCUAUGACUCACAAUUGCCAUCAUCCAACCUUGGAUAGGGGUCUGAAGAACAUGAUCUGAGCUGGAAAAGGACAAGUUAUAAUACUAUCAGUUGAUUACUUCAUUGUGAUGUUUGGACAAAUCAGAAAAGAGUGACUUAAUAAAGCAAGAAACAAUAAAUCAUAUUUUGCUUACGAGGGAUUAAGCUGAGCAGUAGUGCAACCAGCACAUAAAAGAAUAAAUGCAGCCCACUGAAUUUCACUCAACCUGCAUUAGUUUUGACAUGCUAGAUUAAGAAUGGAAAACAGAUGUUGGUGAGGAAAAGGCUUAAAAAGUUCAGAGACAAGGAAGAGAAGUUGUGUUCUGAUGGUCAACUAGGAGCCUAGCAAGGUAACAGAACAUCCGGUAGGCAGUAGGCCAAAGUCAUAUAUUGUAAAAACUCAAUAUGCGACCAUACAAGCUAAACACAGACAGAGUAUCCAUGUUUUAUUAUUUGACUAUGUCUCCAUAGGGAGUUUGGUUCAAGAGACACCAUGUACUAUUUUGGUUUGGUGAUUGCAUUCCGCAUUCUUGUACUAGUUUUGGCUUAUGCAAGAUAAGGUGGCUGUCAAGUGGAUCAGGUUUGGAGUUUCAGCGUUAUGAUGGAUGAUCCAUUGAUCAGUUGGCUCCUUAAAUAAAAAACUUCACUGGAUGAUAGGUUCAUGCCUUAGGAUGGAUAAUUGUCGUGAUUGUGUAAUAGCUCAAUUCUAUGUUCACAAAACUAUAAUGCAGCUACACAAGCUUAGCAUCCAACAACAAACGAAAAAGGAAAAGGCUAGCCCAAUGAUAGUGAUACGAGAAAACUUAAACAAAGAACGCAUUCAUUCAAAGAUUCCGAGUUCCAAUAGUUACAUUGAUUGAAAAAAUUCCAAUGGUAAAAACAAUAAUUCCAGCUUGUUAGGAGAUAAAGUAGUUACCAUGAGCAAGAAAUAAAUAGACUUACUUUUUCUUAAGAAUGAUACGGUACAAGACACCGGUGCUAAUAAUAUUCAGGUUUUUCAGGAUCUGGUAAGCUGGUGCAUCCACAUAUGCAAAGAUAUAAUACUGACAGCCACAGGAAGGAGUAAGAGCAUGGUCAAGUUUGUUUUGUGUUUAUUAUUGUUUUCUUCAACAUGAAGGAAACAGCAACCACAUUAUAUUAUCAACAAAGGACUAGGCAUACCUGCAAUAAGUUCUUCACCAUGUAAAGUAUAGCAGGAAUGGGGUAAACACUAACUUCAUCAAAUGAUGUAGUUAACCUGAAAAUAAUAAACCAGAUGUCUAAAGAGUAGGAAGGAGACUACAAGCACUUAUAAACAAUCACACCAAAAAUAAUAGUAAAAUCAUCACCUAUUAUCUUCGGUAACGCCUUGACUGUUCCAUGUCCUGUACAAGGCUACCAAUGAUAAUAGACAUUUUAAAAAUUCCACCUACGCACAAGGAAAGAAAGACAUAACCAAACCAUGUUAUCAAGAGAACAAACGUGAAAACUUCUGACGAUAUCUGUCACAGAGAGAGAAUCUAUGUUAUUUUGCUCACUGAAAAAUUUGCUGUUGUCACACUAUAUUCAUACUUUCCAGCUCUUUUGGACCAUACAAUCAAUAUUGCCUGGGAACUUGUUAGUAAUGUCAGUGCAAGCGUAACAAUAGACCUGCCAGAACACAUUGCCAGUAAAUCGAUUGAUCCCAGAAAAAAGUAUCAGAUAUAGUGCAAAGAUUGCAAGAAGCUCUUACUUGAGCUUCCAAGUAUUCUUGCCCUUUGGUCCUCCUGUAGCGCUAAGACUUGAAGUUACUGCAGCUGUAAAUGCUCCAGACAUUAAAUAUGCAAACUAUCCAAAUAUAGAACAUUAAAGAAAUCCAUGAUGAAUCAAGAGCUUACUAUUAGACAGAGACCUCAGAUCAAGGCUUUCUACAUCCUUCUGAGAUAUGUCAUCACUCUCCUUUUAGAUGGUACAGAAAACAACAGCUUGUCAGCGCACUGUCUGGUGAUGAAGCAUAUGAUCAUUGUGUUGCUAAUUUUAAACAAAUACAGGAAGCAAGUUAAAUUGAUUAUGUGUGAUCAAUGUCAACUACCAACAUGAUAACAACUAUAGGACAAAAUUUUGAACACUUGAACUAGAUGUUUAAACCAUGCUGGACUGUCCCAGUUCGACUGCUAAUACGUGAUAAUAGUCACACAAAUAGUUUCCCGAAUGAAAUUCACCAAACAAAGAAUGAGAUGCAGGUGGCACAAAAGAUACAGGUGCACAAAUGGCUAGGAAUGCUUCACUAGCCAGCUAUUAGCCAAAUUUGUUGUGAGCAAAAUAAGUUGGUCGAACAAUCAUUCACUGGCCCUUGUUAAUGCAACAUAUCAUCUGCCAGAAUCAACAGUACAGAAAUGGAAACCAAUGUAACAGAUGAGAAACAUGAUGUUGAAUCUUGGAACCAAACAGAAUGAGCAACAAUAUAUUCAUAGACGUAUGUGACAUAUUCUAAAUGUGUAGUUGUGUUUUGCUGAAUUUCUAAGCAAUCAACAGAUUGCCACAGUAAGGAAUUCUUUUUAAAUCCUUGCCAUUCGUGAACACAAGAGCGCACGCCAAUCUCCAAAAGAAAAUUCAAAGCCAGUUUCAAAGGAGCUGAUGCUACCAAUUGAUUAAAAAAUUGUUAACCUAGUUGCGUUUGAACCUAUGAGGUUGUGUGACUAACAUAUAAAGCUCUGCAAGCAGCUAAAACCGGAACACAUAAUACUCUAAAAAAUAAGAUGAUAAAAUUCGUUUCAAAUAACAAAGACAAACCCUUUUAAUCGCGCAAUACAUUUUGCUGUCAAAUUCACCGAAAAUUUUAACUGCGAGUUCAGACAUAACCAAAAUCAAAAAAGUUUAACGGGUAAGAGAAAUUCCACAUUCCACCGACAUUGAUGGCUUGAGGCCCUAAAUCUACGGAAGAUUUUUAAACCCUGCGGAGAGAGGCAUUUGUGUAGACAACAUUUUUAUUAUUAUUAGGAUUGCGGUUGCGGCGCUAUAUGUUUACCUGGUCCUUGGCUCUCCUGUACUCCAUCUCUCCCCCACGAGCAGCGACCUCCGGCUCCUCGCCUCGCCGCCGCCGCUGGCCGCUGCUGCGGAAGCUUUCACAGUGAGGAAGGAAUGGAUGCGGCCUUGCAGUCAGAGGCAAGGUUGGGUGACGGAGUCUGACCGGUGGGUCCUCCUGUGACGAGAACACGAGAAGAAACGCGGCAUGUUGUUUUCCGGGUCCUUUUUGCAUCAGCUUUUAUACCCUUACCAUGAUUAUCUUGCUGCGAGUCUGCGACGAGACAAAAGUCUAGCAGCAAAGAUUUUUAGCUUAAAUUUUGCUAAAGAUAUGGACAGUGACCGUUGCUACUAGUAUACAAAGCACAACUGCACAAGCGACAUGGAGAAUUGGCAGAACACAUGAUCGAAUCACAAGAACAGUAGUUCAUAACGUAGUUAAUAGGACCUUGUAUAUCGUUAAGCCACUCGAGUUGGCCGGCGGUUAAGCCUUCUACAUCAAUAGCAUUCCAGUAAGACAGUUGUUUGUUUGCUGAACAGGCAGUUCGAAAGAGUUGCAUACAAUGAUACAAGCUGCUUUCCGUUGGUUUAUCUGGGAGUGCUUCGCGUGUUGUUGUUUGCUACAUACAGCAAAGCAAUGCACAUUUUUUGUAGCUCCAUCUUCAACUGAUAGAACGGCUGAAUGUAAGCCUGAGCUCUUUGAUCUAGCUAUCUUUCAUUUACAUUCGUGAGAUCCAUCACCUUCCAGAACUAGACAUCAAUCGGCAUGUGAGGAUGCGGCUUUUGCAGCUUGGAGCAUUUCCACAAUUAGUGUCUUGACAUCCCUAAACAAAGAAUAACAAGCCAUUUGAGAGAACCACUCGAGGAAAUAUUCACAAAUGACCACAUCUUAGCCAUCAAUUUUAAAUAAUGUUCAAACUGAAGCAAAAGAUGGCUAUAAAGAAAGCAUCAGAAAGUCACCACUUAACAGGAAAAGAGUAACAAUUUUUCAGGUUAGAAAAGGCUAAGAGAGUCAAGAGUGCAGACUCACUUCCUGUCUUGCGCCUGCCUAGGGAAGGGAAUACGCAACUUCAGAACACUUCCAUCAUAACCGGCCUGGAUAACAGAAAAUCACAUAUUAGAACGUUAUAAAAGGGUUAGGUUUUUCACUACAAGAGAGCAGAGCUCAAUAAAAACGCAAUAGGUCCAGCCAAAUAAGUCUAAAGGUUGCAAUCGAACAUAUUGGUAUUCUGUUAUGAUGCUGUAAUGCUGGACUUAUGGUUACUGAUUCAAACUGAGUAGGUAGCAUUUAAUCUCCAGGUUUUAUUCUUUUGUCAACAUAUGGCAUUAUUAACAAUGCAUCAAGCAGUAUCUGAGUAUAGCAUUGGGUGCGUUGAGAGCAUUUCCAGGAUAAAUUAGAAAAGUAUAAGAACAAGACAGGCUUUAAAGAGUUACCUUCACAUUGAACCCAAGGCUAUCCACAUCCAGCAUAAAAGCAAAAUCCACCUGAAAUAGCUUUGCAUUUGUCAUCUUUCAAGUUCGAAUAUGUUUGAAAAAAAGAGUAGUAUUUGGUCAAAACUGUAAUUACGCAAAAUUGAGAAAUUUUAAGAUGGAGUUGUACAAAGCAUUGAAGAUGAAAUAAUUCCUACUGUAUGACUAUCCCCUGCUCAUGGGUGGUCAAGAGUUCAUGACUGUAUGGUUUGGUAAUACUGAAAAACUACAAUAUGUACAAAUGGUACACAGCUACAGCAAUUAACCCAGUUCUUCAUGUUGCAGAUUCUAAUUUCCAGCAUACAGUAGAAUAAUAUUUCUGGUUGCUAAAUAUGCAGACACAUAACAGCUACACUAUGAAACAGAUUGUUACUUUCUUUUGUAAACUAGUUUGCAAAUUUUCAAUUUGAGGUCUGGAUAAUGUUUGCGCCUUUUAACCUGUGUGUUGGACAAGAAAAUUGCAAUUGUAGGCUUGGAGCAGAGUGCAAUAUUCAUUUUUUUUUCCAAAACAACAAGCACCACAAUGCAUCAAGAUUUUACAAAAAAAAAAUACUGAGUUAUUUAGUUACAGAAAACAAUAUAGAAAACAGACAGCUUCAUCAGGUAAGGAAUACUGAGGCGCAGUUUUCUUUUAAGAUGAUAAGAUUUUGCAGUGAUAUUAUUAAAGUAAAGGCUUUGUUGUUGUAUUAUUAUUGGAAUAAAUUCUUUAUUAUUGUAUUAUUACUGGAACAAAUGCUACAUAAGUAUACAUCAUGUACUUGCCUUAACAUUGGUUGAGUGUUGCACAAUGAGCUUUGUAUCAUCAGCAUGAUCCUUAUUCAUGUGGCUCUGCAGUGUAUAUACACAGGUAUCAGGUAACCAAAUGUUUACAUAUUUAGGUAAAGUCCAAUAAAUAUAUAAUGGGAAAGACCAUAAGGGUAAAGGAAAACAGAACCCAGACAUACUGUAAUAGGAGUCGAGAAUUGAGAUAUUGGGUCAACUUUUGCUUCCCUGUACUCAGCAGCACUGAAUUCUGUGGAAGUAAACAGUAGGUUAGCAUAUCAGGCAACAAUAUCAAAAUAUUUUUUUACAUAUUUACAAAAAUAACUUGGAUCCAAAUCCGUGUCCGAUAUGUAGGUGCUAUUUAUGUAGAGAUGCUAAGACAUGGUUAUUUGAAAUAUAAAUGAAUGCUGUAGUUCUGGUUCAUGGACUACAAGGUUUUUUUAAGUGACUAGAUUUCCUCUAGGUCAUUCUAAAGGCCACAUACCUCCAGAGCCAAGGAGAGCAGUUGCAACACCAGAUACAUAGCGCACAGCUUUCGGUUUAAUGCGCAGGAAACUGAAGUCACCAAAAUCAACCUUAAUUUGGCCAAAAAAAUAUAUAUCAUAAAUCAGUACUCCAUUAAAGUAGGUUUGGUCUUUGGAAGUUGGAAUGGUAACAAAAUUAAGAAAGCAUACCCAAAAGGCAUUAGGAUGUCUUCGUAGGUAAGCACUUCUCACUGAAUCUUUUUGUUCAUCAGAAACCUUCAAAUAAGAAUAAGUCAGUAAACAAGAUUAUUAUCAGGUGACAUGCACAUUAUGAUUUUUGUCCUCUUUUCAGUGGCUCUCUUUGCGUUUCAUCUGUAGCCUACCCUAACUUACUUAAGGUUAAGAGGCUUUAUUGUUGUUUGCACAUUAUGAUUUAGCAAUAUAUCUGUAGAGAAAUGUAACAGGGAAAAGGCAUGAUAUAGAGAGUGGGCAAGCGCAGGAGGGAGGGAUUACAGGGACAGCAUCACCAUAUACAGUGAUUACAGUAUCUGUUCUGUCCUCAGGGUCUUUGGCAACAAGAAGUGAGCAUUUAGGAUUUCCGGAGAGAUUCUGCAAAAUUGGUAGCAAAACAUAAGGGAUGCUGAUAAAAGAAAUAUGCUCUACAAAUGUUGCCUGAAUUUGGUGAAUGUACACUAGAUAGUUAUUCAAUUCGAAUAAAAAUUCCGGCAGUGUUAUAUUUGCACAUCUACGCCUAUUUCUUUGCAUGCCAGCACGUGUGCCAGUAUGCUAUCAUUAUGUAUGUUCCAGUGAUGCUACCAAAUGUCAUAAUGGACACGAAAAGGUAAGACAACUGACUUUACAUGCAUACAUAAUCAUGGAAGCAUAAAACUAUCUUACCUUUGAAUGAACUGCUAAACUACUCACUGCUAAUAUGGGGGAACCAUCCUGAUCACAUGCAAAAUCAACCAUUGAACCAGAAGGAUAACCAUCAUGCUCCUGUAAGCAUAAGAAUAUAUUAUACAAUGCUCGAACAAGCGCCAGUAUGAUUCUGCAAGAUACAUGUAUUGGAGUUCUGGAAUUCCUGUUUGUUUAAUCAAAAAACAUUGCAAUAUGUCUUCACUCCCUUUUCUAGAUUAAUAUUCUUCUCUCCUUACCAAGCAGAAAAAAAACGUAUACUUGGAGGAAGAAUCUGUGCAACCAUGACAUGGUACAAAAUUACAAAUCAUGCUCCAGCGAGUUUAUGAGAAAUACCAAUAAGAGCACCGGGCCCGGUGAAAAAUGGACUUCGUCAAGCAUUUCAAACAACAAAAUAACUUUUGGUAGGCAAGAUUGUUCUUCAUGAACUGUGGGGUUAGUCUCUUCACAUUAUCCUCACUGACUACUACAAAACUUAUAGAAGUAGAUGAAGGAAAAGACUGACAAGAUGUUUGUCCACUUGGAUACCUGAGAAUGGGUGGCAAGAACGCCUCUGACACUUUGAUCGAGAAUUGUCCGUAUUUCCUCAACUGGAGGAAGCCGAGCAGCUUUUGCCUAUAAUUAUGAAAAUCUUGAGUGAAUAAGCAAAAUCUAGAGAAAUAACUCAGAAGAGUUCAGCUACAAGCUCAAACUACUCCAAACUUAUUAAAUAUUCAAACCAGGCCCAACUGUUGCAAAUAUACUCAUUCCACAGGUUAAUGAAAUGCAUUGUAGGAAUUGACAAUGUUCGGUUGAGAAUACGGAAAAUGUUUGACUACAAGUGAUAGUGAAACCUUACAACACUGGGACAUGUAAUUCUGGUUUUUGUAAAGAAAGUCUUUACGCAUCAUUGGCAUCGAAGUCUUUCUCCCUCAUGAUGCUACUUGUUGAAAUGAAAAUCACCAUAGUGAACAAUCCAAGCCUAUUUCAACAACAUAAAUAACAAGGCCUUUUUGGUGAAAAUGUAUUUGACCCCACAUACAGUUCAUCCAGUUCUUUUGUCCCAAAAUUAUGCAGUGACUGUGGUCCUGCACAACACAACAGACCCAAAACAUUCACUUCACUCAAGUCGCGUAGUUACUCCGUCCCUACUAGGUAAUCACACACGCAAUCCCAAGACAACGUGCAAGGCCCAUGGCCGCACCUGGUGAGCGCGGAUCACCUCAAACGCAUCAGCCGAUCCGCCGGGGGCAUCGGCUGGCGCCGCCAUCUGCAACACAGACCAGCAAACAUCAGACCGCUAUCAGCCAAAUCCAAAGCCGCAGCGGAGGCGUUUCAUCGAACACUUGGCCCGCCCGAAAACGGGUUACAUAAAAGGAGGAGCGGCACGCGGCGCCAGGCGGAGGGGCGAGUCGGACCUGGGAGGACGCGAAGAAUCGGCCGCGGCGGUUGCGGAGGCGAGGGUAGACGAGAGGCGAGGGGGUGGAGGAGGCGUGGACGUGGUGACGGUGGUGGUGGUUGUGCCGGCCAUUAAUUUGUAGGUGGAGCGGGAGGAGUAGGCGCGAGAGCGUUGACGGCGAGGGGCAGGGCGCCGAGGCGAUGCGGGCGGCGCCCGGCGUGAGCAGGAAGGGCAUCAUCGCGUGCACGCGUGCGCAACUGAGCGGGGUCCGGUGUGCGCGUGUAGACUGAGAACACAGCGGAGAGCCUCGCGCUGGCAGCUUGGUGGUCGCUCGGCACAGGCAGCCGCAAGCCCGCAACCGCAACCUCGCUCGAGCCACUCUCCUCUCCUCUCCCAGUCUCCACGGUAGCGAUUGGCGUGGGCCGCAGCCAGAUGGAAAGAUCACUCUCGGCUUUGUUUGUUUGCUGGGCUGCCCCAGAAAGCUUAAAUGUUGGCACAGUCAUCGUGGUCCGGCCCAUGAGAGGUGACCUAAAGGACUUGGGGCCUCGCCUGAUUAUUUCGAUGUUCGGCCUCAGCCCAAGAGCAUGAUGGGUCAAAUGAUGAUUUAAGGCCUCAGCUCGUGACACACGCACACACACACAUCAUUAAGGUUUGGGCCUUCAAAGUGCAAGCCGAGUCGUCGUUGCAAGGAGAGCGAAUCCACCAAUGCUCGGAUUCAGAUGUCUCUUCCACUAUGAAUGCCACGAUUUAAGGGAUGCUACUCUUUCUUGGUCAAAAUACCACGACUAUUACUGGUGACGGACGACACCCUCUAAUUGCCACUCAACGACUCUGGUCCUAUUCGGAUCCACCGAAGAUCCAGCUAACUGCAGCUGAAGACCUUUAACCAGUUGAACCUAGCUAAAUAAAAAAAACCAAACUGCUCCUCAUUUAUUCACUCCACCCGCCGGCCAGUCCCUUGCCGGGCUGCCCCUUUCCCCACUUCCUCAUCCUCCGCUCGUCGAGGACACCCACGCCCCCUCCCCAUGCCGUCGCCUCUGAAUUGUGGCCUCCUUCCCACUCCCCUCCGAUACGCCACCACCGAGCCGCAGGCGGAGCCCUGCUCUUCCUCCGUUGCCCUUCGGCAUGCCAUCCCCCGCCUGUUCAUGGCAAGUGUCGGUGUUUAAACUCGGCAACCUACCGAGGGGGUGCCUGAAGUAGCGUUUUGGUUAGUGGGGCUCGUCGAGAUCAGGAACUCAAAGGUAAACGCAGACAUACAAUUUAGACAGGUUCAGGCCGCUAGAUCACGUAAUACCCUACGUCCUGUGUGUUGGUUGGAUUGAAUUGCUUUGGAGGGGAUUCCUACCUCACCUUAUAUUAUCGGGGGCAGGGUUACAGGUCGUUUGGUUAUAAGAAUACUAGUCGGAUAGGACUAGAGGAGUUCUACUUUUAUUACGACGAGUACUUUCCUAAUUCUCUACUAAAUCCUCUCUUUCCAUGUAGACUACACCGUCCUGCACCAUGGUUUCCAUGUCAUAUGUAUCUCGGUGUCCAACCCCAUAUUUAGGACUGUCCAAACCUUCUAGUGGAUCCAUAGAUGUAUGUAUGUAUGUAUGACAACGGGCACCCUUGCGGAGGGCCGCCGUCGUUGGAGCCCUCGCUGCACGAGGAGAAGAUCUGGCGAGGAGGACACGGAUGAGGAAGAUGUCACACCGGGGGUUGCCGCCACGGGUGCCCUCACCGGGGGAGGGGGGCGCCGCAACACACCGGUCCCUACUUUGCUGCUGUAUGCCCGGCCGUGGCUCGCCUUGCUCCGACCUAUCCGCCUCGCCGCCGUGCUACUCCAGCCUCAGCAGCCCCACGCAAGCGCCGCGCGGAUCCGACACGGUGGGCGGCAGCCUGGGGCUGGGUGCGGAGGAGGAGGACGGUGAUGGGGUUGGGGCUAGGUGCGGUGGAGGAGGACGGAGACGGCGACGGUCUAGGGCUGGUGCGACGGUAGCCACGGCUGCAUCCAUAUGCUGGAGGAGGAUAAGGGACGAGGUGGAGCGCUGAGGCACAGGGGUCGGAUGGAGAAAGGCGGAAUAGGGAUCCGAGGGUAGUAUUAUAAUAACUAAUAUUAUGUUUAGCUAACUGAACUUUAGCAAGUUAAAAAUUAGCUUCUAAGGGCUUGUUUGUUUCCACCCUUCUAAAACCUUAGCUCCUAAAAAGUGAGUAAAAACUGCCUAAAGUGCCAAACACUCCUUCUAAAAAGUGACUAAAAUCUUUUAGGAGCCUCGAAAAUUUUAGUCCUCCCACCCCCUCCUAAAGCCUCCUAAAACCAGAUCUGACCCCUACUACCCCUCAUUUAUUACCCUCUCUCUCCCGCCUGACUCCCACCCGCCGCCGUCGCCCAUCUCCCGCCGCCGCCCAGCACCCUCAACACACCCACGCACACAGGCACAAGCCGGCAACGCAUGGCCGGCCGUGGCCUUGGCCGGCGGCGGGGAAUGGCAAGGCGCGGCCGGUGAUGGGCGCAGGAGCACCGGGGCUUCACCACGACCCCGUUUUGGCUGCUUGUUGGGGAUGAGGAGGCCGGGAAGGUGGUGUUCGGCGGCGGCGCCCGAGCUUGGGCCGGCGGCAAUGGCGGCCGUGGGAUCUGACAUCCCCGGCGCCAGGAGCUACGGCGGCGGACAAGGAGUGGUCGAGGGGGAAGAGGAGGGGGUCAGGAAGCCGUGGGAGGCGGCGAUUUGAAGAUGGUGGAGCGGAGGUCGGGGAUUUGGCUGGCGAACGGACUCUGCUCAGCUCGGUGUUUCCUCGGCUGGAGGAGGAAGAAGAGAUGAGUGAGUGAGAGAGAGAGAGAGAGGAACAGGGGUAGCGGGUUGGCCGAGAUUCGAGGGGAGGGGGCGGCGCCAGCGGGAGGAGGGAAGGGGCGGUCCGGGGCCAGCGGCAGGGAUGGCCAGCGCCGGCGGAGGGGCGGUCCGGGGCUGGCGGCGGGCGGGCCAAGCGCCAACAGCAGGGGCAUGGGGAAGGGCAUCUUAAGUAUUUUACCACUUUAUUAUUGCCUUUAGUCACUUUUAGGAGGUGGAACCAAACAUACUUUUAGAAGGUACCUAAAAACUGUCCAAAAUCUUUUAGGAGUUAAAACUUUAGGAGGGUGGAAACAAACAGGCCAGUUUUAGCCCGCUAAAGUUCUGGAUCCGAAAGGGACCCGCACCUCCUCGACCAGUUCACCUCCAUGACGUUUUCAGGACCACGCAAGCAAAGCAAGAGUCCGCUUUCCCACUACGCUCAGAUCCGCACGGCCGGUCACGACCCCGGCGUGGCUCCCGGCAUCGUGACGCGCGAGGAAAGUCGGUUGCGGCCACGCGUACGCAGUGCCUGCCUCGCACACAACGACGACCGAAGCAAAGUCAGUCAGCCCGGCGCUCCCGUCCCGGCCAAGUGGGAGAAAAAACAAGCGGAAUGUUCCAGUAGCAGUGCGGUACCUAACGCGGUUUUACCACUACCCGAGAGGGCGGACAUUUUUCCGUGCAACGCUUCAAUGCUUUGCUCGGUCGAUCACCCGCACACGCCCUUCCGGAUCGAGCUUCUCCAACCGCCCUCCACCCGUCACGAUUCGCCAGCCUAAUACGCCAUCGAUCUCUCGAUCCUGCGAGAGCAGCGUUGCCACUUGGCAGCCACGAUUUUCGUACCAUGCAUCAUCAGCGCGUCCGUCCGCAAGUCCGUUGGCCGGUGGCAAGCCGCGAGCACAUCGACUGAGCUCUCGGCCGGGAAGAAUGAAGAGUCCACGGCGAACGCGGGGGAUACCGCAGAUCCGCCGCCGCAGCUGCCGUGGCGAAACGGUCAGAUGCUCGGUGAAAUGAAAUAUCUGGCCGCCGGCCCAACGGUGGGAGGACGCCGUCGUGGCCUCGUGGGCGUGCGUGGUUGUAGGCAGGGCACGCGCGGACGGGGCCAGAAGGGAAGGGCGCCGAACCGAAGUACCGAACAUCGGUGGUGGGUGGCGUGGCCGCGAUACGGCGGAGUAUUUUACUACGCGGACAGCUAGUGUGUGGGGGCCGUUGGCAACUGUCACGCCAGCUGUGGCCACCAGCUUGGGUCUCGCCCAUGCGCGCAUGACCGUUUCCCGCCGAUCCUCUGGAUCCGCCCCUCCGUGCCACCCCUCGUGGGGCUCAUCAUGCCAAGGCGUGUCCUCUGUCCUGUAGUACUAGCGAAGGGCCAUCACAAAAUCCGUGCGGCAUUUUCCAAACACAGCCAACAUUUUCUCUCUCUUUUUUGAAUCUAAACUAGUACGAGCAAAAUUACCUUACUGAGGAAUCCGAGAUUGGUUUUUAUGCCACGAAGCGUUCCGAAGCAACUUUGUUAUCAAGCGAGUCAGGAUCACACGUUUCAGGAGCGCUAGGAAUAUACCCCACGGAACGAAGUUUCCUUCGCGCGGGCGGCUCGUGCCGUCGUGAAGACGCGCAACGAAAGGCGGCGGCCGGCGACGGACGCGCUCAGGCGCGCGUGCGUGGUCAGGUCAGCAUAGAGGAUCCCAACGGCCCGCGCAACCGCGAGGCAAUGCCAGGCUGCCAGACCGGGCGCGCCACCAAACGCGGCGGAACCCAACAAAUGGCCAGCCAGCCGCGCGCCGUGCGGGCCUACCCUCGCCUCGCCCGGUCGCCCCACAACCUCCUCACGCAACCUACCUGGCCGCGCCCGGCGGCCCUAGGCCUCCUCUAUAAAACCAUCGCCCCUGCGCACCGUCCUCCCCCACCUCCCGAUCAAGCCAUCCAGCCGCCUCUCCUCGCCCUCCUGCCUGCGCGCAUCUCUCUAGAGCUUAAACUCUCCUAGAGAGAUCUCAGGCAGCCCCAAUAACCAACCGCUCGACCCAACUCGUCGUCGUCGUCGUCGCAGAUGGCCGGCCUCAGGAUGAAGCUCGUCGCCGCCGCCGCCGUGGCCGCCGCGCUCGUGGCGUCCGCCGCCGCCCAGGCCCCCGCGCCAGCGCCCACCUCCGACGCCUCGGCCGCGGUGCCCCUCGCGGCGGCGUCCUUCGCCGCCGCCGCCUUCGGCUACCUCUUCUGCUAGAUCCGUCGUCCGGGGAUGCCGUCGUGCUCCCUGGCCGGUCGGGCCUGCUGAUGAUGAUAUGAUUCGUUUUGGCGUGAGUCGAGUCCCCUGUUCGUGGCGCGUGUUGAGGGAUGUCGGUGGGCGUGUGUAUGUACGAGUCGGCGGCGGGUGGAGGUGUGCGCGCGUGGUUGGAUACGUGCGUCGACGCACCACUCUUUGUGGUGGAGAUCAUGUACCCGCUGCGCUUCUGUUUAUCAAUGAGAUGAUUUAUUUGAUUCUUUUCAUCUUAUAUACAAUAUACAUGAGAAUUGCGUAUUCAGUUUGUUGUGUUUUGCUCUGCAAACUUGCGAUGUGCAGAUUGUUGUAAAACACUGUCGAACGAUUCUCCCUCAAUCGAGUUCUUCCGUUACAAAGAAAAAGAAAACGGUGCAUCUCUCUUAAAAAAACGAUUACUAUUCUUACGACCUGAAAAUUAAGGGGUGCAGGCUACAGUUCAAAGAUGUAAUUGGAAUCUGAAAUCGAUUUGACCGACUAAGGAACCCACCAUCUGAAUUCUAAGCAAAACGACCGGCAUAACGACUUUCAUUUAUGACCAACCAAUUCAGAAUUGACAAGCUUUAUUUUUCCUCCCUCCCUCGAAAAGAAUGCUGUGGCACGGAGUCCUCGUGAAGUUCGUUAGGAGAUGCCGGGCCGGGGUUGCUUAAUUAGUUUGGUGAGGGAUCCGAACGUUGAAAUGAUUGAAGCAUGUUGGCGUCGCCACUUGCCAGCCAAGAAGCCAUGUGCUGCUCGUUAAGCACUGGUCCACAGAUGAGUUGUCUUGGUAGGGGCAGCCGUACCCGCUGUAUCAGCGCUGGCAUGCUCCAAGCUGGAAAUGGUGAGCCGUCGCAAUCGCUGCAGUAUUACCCGACUAAUAUGUGCUUUAUGGAAUUGCAGGACUGCUUAAUUUUGACCGUGCUCGUGGAUUUAGAUGCUGGUCGAUGGCUCCAGCUCGAUGCCUUUUCCUACUGUACUGGCUACUGCCGACCGAGAGUCUCAGAGCGUGCAGAAUGCAGGUCGAGUUCCGCAAAGUUGUUGGCGUACACAGCUGGGGAUUGGGCCAGUGCCAGCUCUACACACCACUGGGCCACCUUUGUGUUUUCUCCGGCCUGCUUGAAAAUGUAUUGGGCCAGUUUGUUGGGCCGCUUACUUACAUCUGUGCUCAGCUAAAUCCAGCGAGAACAAUGGAAGAGUUUUUGGCUCUAUACAACAAAUCUUUUGGUUUUUUCCCCCCCUUUCUUUUUCAUCCACAUAAGACACCCACGAUGGCGUUUAUAUUUGUAAGAUAACUGAGUUGCAUUUUUAAGUGCCUCAUUUCUGGAUUAUCGGGCAGCUUCUGAAAGGAAGCUCCAAUUAUAGUAGACGAAGUAGAAGGUUUUUUUUUCGAUUCAAGACCUGGAACGUAGGUAGCUAGAGUCUACGCACUGCAGUUACAUACUGACAAAUUGCAAUGGCGAGUCGGCGACCGACAAGCAGAGGCCAGGCACAGCUGCGUCACAUGAACUCGCUCAUCAUGGCGAGCACCUGCGCCAUCGUGGGCCUCUCCUCCGGCGCCUCGGCGGUGCACAGCACGCCGAUCUUCACCAUCCCCAUCGUCUCCUCCCCUUCGCCGCCUUCCUCGCCGUCGGCGGCCUUGUGGUCCGUCACCACCUCCAGGAGCACCAUCCCGAAGCUGUACACGUCGGACUCCUGCGUCGCCCUCGCGCCCGCGCCCGACGCCAGCUCCGGCGCCGCGUACCCGUGCCACCCGACGCUCGCCGCUGGCGGGGCCGCCGACGACGUCGCGGUCGCCGCCCGGCCCAGGAACAGGUCCGGCGGGCACCGAGCGGCCUGCGGGACGACGGACUGCUGGAUGUUUGUGGCGUAGCGCAUGAGCCCGCACUCGGACACGCACGCGCCGCCGCGCUCGUCCAGGAGGAUGUUGGACGGCUUCACGUUCGCGUGCACAAGCGCCGGCCGCGCCGGGAACGUGUGGAUGUAGUUCAGGCCCUGCGCCGCGCCGAACAGUAUGCUCUUCCUCCCCGCCCAGUCCAGGCUCCUCGCGCCACCACCUGCAGCAACAACAACGGCCCGUCAGGAACACUCGCUUUCUUGCACCGACUGCAAAUUGGCAAUGCAUUUGGGAUUUCAUUAUCUCAUUUCAGCGCGACGACGCACCACUGGCUUGCAGAAGGGACUGGAGGCUCCCGUUGGGGAGGAAGUCGUAGACGAGGAGGCGCUCGCCGUUGGAGUUGCAGUACCCCCUGAGGCUGACGACGUGCCGGUGGCGGAGCCGGCCGACGAGCCGCAUGUGGCGGUCGAACGCCUUGCUCCGGCUGGCGGGGAACUGCAGCGCGCUCAGGCGCUUGACGGCCACCACGAUGCCGUCGUCGAGCACCGCCUUGUAGGUGCUCCCGGACACGCCCUUGCCGAGCACCUCGGCGGACGCCUUGAGGAGGCUCUCCAGCCGCAGCUCCUCGCCGCCCUCGAAGCAGACCAACCCGCCGCUCUUCUGGCACUUGUCGUCCCCGUUCGCCCUCUUCUCUUGCUCCUCGAAGCAGAGUGCCGCGUCGGAGGCGUCCUUCGCCGACCGGAGCUUCCUCCUCAUGUAGACGAACAUGGCCACGGAGAUGGCUAGCGAGACCGUGAUGAGCACUGCGUUGCCAAUGCCGGUGGCCAUGAGUGCAGUCAAGCUAAGCUUACUGAAACCUCCAUUGCUGGAACUGGAAGGCACACUACCACUAACGUUCACUGCAGCACCAGGAGAUUGAGCAGCGAUACUGGUGGUAGCAUUGGAAGAACUAUCCGAUCCUAACGCAUUAUAAGCACGAACACAUCUUGGCAGAGGCGUGCCACAGAGAGCGAGAUUGCCGCCGAAAGCCGACCUCGGGAACCUGGACAGAUCGCCGGAGAUCUCCCCAGCGAGCUUGUUCCCGGACACGUUCAAGCUCCUGAGCGACGGGGCGCGCAGCGCCUCCAGGCCUCCACGGAAGCCAUUGUGCUCCGCUCUAAGCGUGAGCAGAGCACCCAGCGAGAUGUUCAGGCUCCCGGUGAGCCGGUUGCGGGCGACGAGCAGGUGCCGCAGCCACGGGCUCGCCGUGGCGUCGUCCAGCGGGGGGAGGGCGCCGGACAGGGAGUUGUUCCUGACGGCGAGCGCCCUGAUAUGGCUGAGCCGCAGGAGCGGCGCCACCUCGCCGGCCAGCGAGGCGCCGUCGAGGAAGACCCCCACCACCCUGCCCCUGGAGCACCUGAUCCCGAACCACGUGCUGGAGCACGGGUUGGGGCCGUGCCAGGUCGCCAGGGCCGUGGCGUUCGGGUUGUAGGACUUGAAGGAGAGCAGCGCGGGCAGGUCCUGGUGGCCGCCAUUGCCGACCUCUCCGUGCACAGAAGGUACCGAUAGGUGGUAGACGAGGACGGCGAGGAGCAGGAAGGUGGAAUGGUGGAAACGAGGCAUUUUGGUAGCUGUAAGAAUUUUCUUCUGUGUUUGACCGAGAAAUCUAUCCACUCGUUUUAUAGCACGGGCCGGUAACAAUUCAGCGCGGGGAAGUAGAAAAUUUUGAAUGGCGCACGAGCACAAAGGCGUGGAACGACGACGAGCAGAGGGGUCCAAAGAGGAAAGCUGGGUACCUGCGCCGACGUCGUGGGUGGGUGUCGAUGCUGAGGUCGUGGGGAGGAGGGUGGAGGUGAAAAGCGGCGCCAUGGAGGACAGGAGGAGAGGUCCAAGGGGAUGGGGAGCUGACGAGGUGCCCUUUUUCCUCCCUUGGGCAGAAGGAACUUGGACGUAUCUGGUGGGCUGCACGUAGCCGUGAUGGUCGUCGCGCCGGGGAGAUGCUGGUGCUCGCUUCGCUUUACGGAAGCGGCCGAAAGGAAGCAAGAGGGCUCGGGGUUCCACGGCGCGUGGUGGAGUAUCGGGUUCACGAGACGAGACGGGAGUAGCGAGUGGGGACGUUGGCGUCAGGUGGCGCCACGCACCGGUAGGGGAGCAGACAGGAAUGGAUUCCAGCUUCACGUUGCACUAGUCCCCCAGAGUCACAGUGAACCCGGAACACUGAACUGGGUUCAGGUGUCGGGGCAUCUAUUGUUGGGUCCGUUCGUGCUGUGGGCCGAGCCAGGUCUUGCCACCCGAUCCAGCCCAGUAACCGGAGUAGCCAAGAUUUUGUUGGGGCGUCGGGUUCAAACUUCAAAUUGGCAGGUGGAGACGCUUCCAAACGGGUUCAUAGUGAGUCAUUGCUACUGGUACUACGGAGGACUAGGAAGGUUAAUUAUCAUUAUGAACAGUGUUAGUUAGCACCGUCGUCUGAAUGAAAGGUCAUGACAUGCUCGUGAAACCUCGAUUCUAAUGUAUGCGCGCAGUUUUUGGUAUAUCAACUCAGAACUCGACUGGUGGUGUGGUGAGCACAAAAAUGCAUCUUGUUUUUUUUUUCCCACUAAGGGCUACGUCCAAAUUUCAUUACUGUUUAGGCAAUGAAAUUACAGAGUAUGAGAGUUGUCGACACCAUGGUCACACCAGAGAUUACAAAAGCAUCUCCAGGAGGACAGGUGCAGACGGCCUUUCCACCUGGGAGGAAUAAAGCGAGCCUACUUAUUACAUGACACAGAACUAACAGCAUGCUAAACAUCUCACAGCCAACCAAACUAGGAACAUUUCUCAACCAGCCUCCAAAGUUGCUUUGAGCAUCACACUGUAUCCAGACUUCCUGGCUUGAUUUGGGACAGCACUUCUUCUCUUUUUUACUGCAGCAGUACCAUCCCUGUGUCGUCGGUUGUUGCUUCACGGGGGUGAAAGUGCAACGCCGUCGCCUUCAUUGCAUCAGCGCCAGCCUCCAGGAUCGUCCUCCCCUCCGGCUUAUGAAGACCUGCUCAAUAUGAAAUGAAAACAGAUGCUGAACAUAUAAUCUCUGAAGGAGAUUUGACCUAUUUUUUAUCAAAGCAAGCAGCAUUUCUAGCUUUCCAGAGUGCCCAGCAGACCGCUGACAGCCCCACCACAUGGAUGUUUUUGUUUUGUGACAUAUACUAUCUAGUCCAUUCCCAAAAUUGGGCAAAGGUAGUUGGUCUACAUGGAGCACCAAUUACCAUGGCAAUAAGGCUCCAUACAUACCUAGCCAAGGCAUAUCCAAAGAAAAGGUGUUUCGAUGUUUUCUUCCAUAUGACAGAAACAACAGCUUUUGUCCCCCUGCCAGUUGCGUUUUAUAAGGUUGUCUUUAGUCAGAAUAGCAUCUUUUUGGAUUAACCACAUAAAGAUUUUUAUCUUCAAAGGGAUUUUGGCUUUCCAAAUAUUGUCAUGAGGACUGGGUAUAGACUACCGCCUCAUCAUCGACACAUCGAACAACGAUGGCAAGGAUGCCAAGUACGAGGCGGUGGUUCAUGAGAAAAACUGGGGAGACCAAAUCACUCUCUUGUCCUUUAAGCGAGCAGACUCUCAGCAACAAUUGGCAUGAGCAUGUUAAUCACUCUCUUGUCCUUUAAGGAUGCCAAUGAUUUGUAGUAGGGUUGCCACCUUGAUUAAUGCUUAUCACUACUUGCUCUACAACUAUUGCAUUUUGUGUUUACUCCAUUUAGCGUCCUUUCGUUACGCCUUGCUUAAUGCUUAUCACUACUUGCUCUACAACUGCUGCAUUUUGUGUUUACUCCAUUUAGCGUCCUUUUGUUAAUCGUUGAAAUGGCGUGGUAGCUGCUGCGUAAUGCGUAUCAUGUAAUUUGGCAUCUCCAAUAUAAAUGGGAUUUUCAGCCUAAAUAAAAUGUGAUUGGGAAAUUUGGCUUCCCACUUUUGUACAUGAUGCAAACGGUCAUAUACAUGCACACACAAUUACAAAUACACGCACGCUAGUUCGAUCUUCAAGUUUAAUAUAGUUUCAGCUGUUCAAACAUUGGAUUGAACAUGACCGAUCCAUUUGAAAGUAGAUUGCUUUCAAACACAAAACGUGGAUUGCGUUAAAUAUUUUUAUUAGACAUAUUAGGAAUGUAAAAGUCAAAUUUAUAAUAAUUUAACCAAACAUUAGUCAAAUUCUAUAAAUCCUCAGUAUAAAAGUUAUAUGGAUGAAUUCAAAUAUGAAAUAUCUUACUUCUAUACAUCUAAUAGUAUAUUGUAAUAGAAACUAUAUCAGUCAAUAUAUAUCUAUAAAUAUUUUCAAAUCAUCAUGUGCCUACUAAAAACAAACAAAGUUAAUGUUAUGGUUGUGAUUUUAUUGCUACAAAUAUUACUAGUAUUAUAAGAGCAUCUGCAGCAGUCUCCCAAUAAAUAUUUCCCAAUAACUAGUUAAUAGGGAUAUUCCAAUAUCACUUUCAUCGUUAUUGGGAGAGUUGCUUUUGCAGUCUCCCAAUAAUUUCAUCCCAAUCCAACUACCGUAUUGAGAGAGUUACAACUCCUUUAUUUAGGGAGAGUUGGGAUGAAUUAUUGGGUUGUCCCAAUAAUUAUUGGGAAAAGGGAAAGUUAAAGGAAGACUGUUGGAACACUAUUUUCUUAUCAACUCUCUCAAUAUGAUAGUUGGAUUGAGGAAAGGGAGAUUGCUAAAGAUGCUCUAAUAAGCUAUGUAUUCAAAACAAAGUGGUCAUGCGGGUAUUAGAGUUGUGAUCCGAAAUAACGGCAGGAAAAUUCUGUUAUCUGCAUGGCGAGUCAUUUUUUAUGCAGUGAGCGUACAGGAAGUGGAGGCAUUGGCAUGCAAAGAAGGGUGGCCCUUGAAGGGAGCCCGCGAUCUUAGAGUUAGACUGCAGUGCGGUCAUUCACUAAAUCAAGGAAGCGAGUAAGAUGAUACUAGCUAGCAUAAUUUUUCACGGUCUAGAAGGCUAAGCGCCUAGCGGAAAGUCUCCCAUGUCUCGUUUUGAGUCAUGUAAAGAGAUAGCAGAACGUAGUCGCACAUGAGCUUGCGAAGCAAAUCGCAAUGUAGUGUGGUGUGAUCAUCCCCCACUUAUAUGAGCAUUUGAUUGCUCAUGCCUGUAAUUUUUUUUUUGAGCAAUCAAUAAAGCGCUCUCUCUUUUUUUAAAAAAAAUUUGCAAAGAAAGAGACUACGAAUCAAAGUUGGAGAAUGUGACGAGUCAAAGCAUAUUGUGAAAUGGAGGCAGCAAAAUCCUAACGCUUCCUGUCGCAUCGACGUUCGAGCUCUGUGUACUUAAUUGAUUGCCACGUAGAAGCCGAAGAGUGCAGCGUCGAUUCAACUGGCGCGCGUCUAGACCCUAUAAAAGGACGGGGUUUCCAAGGCAGCACUGCACCGAUGCUUGCUCUGCACCAGCAAAGGCAGUCAAACUAACAGUACGCCGGGCACCGGAAGAUCGAUCGACCAGGCAUGUCGCCGCCGCCGGAGCAGGACAGGAGGCUUGGCGUCGUCAAGCCGGAGCCCGAACCCAUGAUCAAGCUCAAGGUGCUGGACAACGAGGGUCGCAGGGUCUUCCACACCAUGAGGAUGUCCGACAAGCUCCAGGCGGUCAUGGAUGCGUACUACGCGAAGGCGCCCGACGUGACCUACGGCUCCGGGACCUUCAUGUUCGAUGGAUCCAUCCGGCUGCGGGGCAGCGAGACGCCGGCGGAGCACGGUCUGCAAGAUGACGACGUGAUCGACUCCUACGAGGACCUGGUGGGCGGCGGACGGGACGACGCCUGAUGCACCGGACCGGCGGCUGAUCGAUCGAUGGCCGCGCGAGUACGUCGUAGCAGUCGUUUAAUGGAUGUCGUUAUAUUAUCAUUCGCCAGUCAUCACUAGUCUCCAAUUAUUACAAAGACGUAUCAUCUACUAGGAUUCAUCUUUCUACUAUACAUGCAAGGUGGAUCCAAUAUGUUCUCUUGAAACUUUGUUAUUGAUGUAUCUUCACAGUUUACCUGCUGAAUUCAACUGUCAAAACUUUUCUAAGGCCCUGUUUGGAUCAUUGGAAUUGAAUUCCAUCCUAAUAGUCAUAAUUUAGACACAAAUUAAUUAAGCUAAUAUAAUUGUAUGUGGAAUAUAGUUGUAUAUUAUAGUUGGUGAUAUAGGAGAGAUACUUGUAUGCUGCACUUCUACUAUAGAGAAGCGAGUCUAAGAGCGUGCUAUAAGAAUUGAAUUCCAUUCUAAUAACCAUAAUCUAUAGAAUCAAUUUCCAUCUCCCACCCCAUGAAUUUAAGAUAGGCUUAUAUCUAAACUUUGGAAAGUUGUGGAAUGCCACAUUCCAACAUAAAUUAGCCUACUCCAUUAAAUAGAUUCCAAUUCCUUGGACCCAAACGAGGCCUAAGCGAAAUGCAAGCGUUCGUGGUAUAGCACUUGGAUCAUCCACGGCCCGAUGAUCGAUUGCCCAGGCGGCUGAGAUCUCUUUAGUCGUCUAGAGCUCACGGGGGAAUUCCGAAGAUGCGUUCGGGGCAUUCGAUAGCUUAUCCGCGUCCUGGUACGUCAUGAUUCAUGAACAGUUUGAUCUGGUAAAUUAUGAUUUCAUUGAAGACAUUGCCGUUCCAUUUUCUAUUGAUGAAUUUUUUUAUUAAUCUUCUCGUAAAAAGUUUUUGACGAGGCACUUUAUGCGAUCCAUUGCUUACGAUAUACAUCAAGUUCAACAAAGUGGUUUGGCCUUUUUUUUAGAUAUGCAAAAUAUAAAUCUAUUGAUGCAACUUUGAGACAUGAAAACAUAUAAUUUGACUACUCUUGGAGUAAAACCUACAAAUUAAAGUAUUGACUAUUUGAUACAACCUACGUAAAGAAACAGAGUAAGCAAUGCACGUCAAGCAGACAAAUGAUACGAUCAAGUUCAACAAAUUAAAGUGGUUAGUGGUGAGAAGCAGAUUUUGGUAGGCAUAUACUUCCGUCUCAUCAUCGAUGCGUCGAACAACAAUGGCACGGAUGGCAAGUAUGAGGCGGUGGUGCACGAGAUGGAUUGGGGAGAAAAACUCUCCCUUGAGUCCUUUUAAGUCGGCUAAUUGAUCUACAGUUAGAAUGACCGUCUUAAUGCAAUUAUCCUAAAUAAUGAUGUCAAGGUGUAUUUUCAUGCCUUUGGAUUUUUUUAUGGUUAUAUACAAUUGUCUCAGGAAGCUUGUGCCUCAAGCAUGUCUCUCUCCUAGGAGUAGAUCACUGCCUCACUGGAGACCACAAGAUCAUAGAGCUUCCGACUAAAGUGAGCAGUUUCUUCGAGCUUCUGAGUUCACCAGAAAGAGCGAGGUUGCUACUAAAGGGAGCAGUUUGUUCGAGCUUCUGACUAAAUCGAUCCAAAAUUAUGUCAAACAAUUUCCACUAAAUUACAAGAUAACUAUAUAUUGCAGGAGCUGAUGUGAUAUGAAUCCACUAAAUCACUUCCAAGUUGUAUUUGAACAAACUGUCCAUCGGUUUCCAUCCAUUUCGCCGGAAUACAAGCUCUUAUUAGUAAGGGCUGCAUGCAAGGACUGUCUUAAUUUUUUGCUGUAAGGUAAAACUAGUUGUCAAUUAAUUUCAGGCCAAUCAUUUUCUACUAAAAAUUGCAAGAUACUACUUAAUUUGACACAUCCAAUUAAUAUUUUCCAAAUUGUAUCGAACACCCUGUCCAUCAGCCAUUUGUUGGCAACGUCACGAGGCUAAGUGCUAUUAAAUGCCUCAGUCGUGUCUCCAAUCUUCAGCAAAAACUAUGAACCUGCCAAUCUUGUUAGUACUUCAAUAGACUUCCUCGAUUCUAAAUUAUAGUUCACUUUAGCGUUGUUCUAAACCAAACUAUUCUCUCUGACUAAAUGUAUAGAAAAAUAGAACAAUAUCUACUAUCAGCAUAUUUCUUAGCAGAUUCAAUGAAACUAUAAUUUGACGUUAUAGAUCUUAAUGCCUUUUUUAUGAACUUGAUCAAAGUUAAAGAGAUUUGACUCAGAACAAUACUCGUAUAUACUACUUACAUUUUAAAAGAAGUAUAAAAUAAAGUAGUUAUUGUAAUGAAUGUAAAAUAAGCUUAGAAGAAACCUCAAUGACCAAAUUGGGACUGCAGAAAGUACUUUCUCCACCCUAUUACUGGCUCCGCACGCACAAGAGAAACAAAAGCACGAGCUUGUGGCCAUUAUUCAAACAAUAAAAUUAGCACUAGUCACUUGGAGAGAAACCGGCAAAACAUCCAGAAAUAUACCACACAUAGGGGUGGUAAUGGAUCAUGCCUCCUUCACAAUCCAACUCAACCCUAUUUAUUUUUAGUUCAAAAUCAUAUAUUAUUAUAGCCCGAUACAUAUUGAGCCUGAUCCUUAAAUUUGCUAAGUUAAAUUAGAGGGCCCUUUACCACACCUAACCACGCCACAAGAACAAAAUUCAACAAGCUGUUGGUAACUCGGUACUCUACCGGUUGGAUACAAAACAAUAUUAAAAACUGCUGCUACUAAUAUUCUCUUAAUGAAAUACAUGCACGUUUAUAAAAAAAAUGACUCACAUGACCCUCCUAAACCUAGAGAACAGACUCGAUUGAAACUAAUCGGAACGUAAUAAUAGUGAGCAAAGUCACUGGCAUGUAAAUAAACUAAGUCUAAGUAAGAGCUGUAUAUCUAGAAUAUGAGGUCUUGAUGGACUCCUCGAACUCGUUGACGACGGCCUUCCAUCCGGCAUGGGUCGGGUUGAUGUCGUCCCAGUAGAAGAACUUGUCCGGCUUGGACCCCAGGCUGUACUGCGGCUCACCGUCCUGCACCUGCCCGCAGAACCCGCUCUGGUCGAAGCUCUCGCAGCACGACUCCAGCCUGUACUUGAACUGCUUCGAUCGCGGCGACGGGCCCGCGUAGUGGCUGAAUGCGGCUUUCAGGUCGAGGUUGAAGACGGCCUCGUCCUGGAACACCUUCUCCUCGAGGUACGAGUUGUGGAUGCUCGCCACCUUCUGGCUGUCGCACUUGGCAUCGUAGACGCCGUCCUCGGACCUCGACAGCCACGGCGUGCACCCGAGCGGGGGCAGCGAGGUCACCACCACCUUCUCGACGCCCAGGUCCAUCAGCUGGUCCACGGCGUCGGCGAUCUUGUCCGUCACCUCCUGGGCCUUGGCCUUCACCUCCGUGCUGGUCAUGUCGUUGAAGCGCUCGUAGUCGCGCCUGCCGGAGAAGGCGAUGAGCGCGACGGAGUCCGUGAGGUCCUCGUCGAUGAUGCCGAGCCUGACCAGCCUCUUGAACUUGUCCACCUGCCUGCCGAGCCUGGGCGCGUCGCUCGUCCCCUCCACCACGCCGGCGCCGCCGACGGCGAAGUUCAUGCCGGACGGAUCGACGCCGUCCUGCUUCCUCUUACUCUCCGCCGGAGGGGACUCCUUCCGCCCCAGAAUCCUCGCUGCACAAAUUAUGUAUUGAUGAGACAGGGCCAGGAUUUAGAAUAUUAAGUACUGAUCCGAGCUUAUUAUUACGUACCGAAGAAAUCAGAGAGGACCAAGCCGUUGGAGAAGCGGCCGCUUGGAGUGGCGCCGUGCUCCUUGUCGUUGCUGCCGUACGGGUAGUACCAUGCGCGCGUCGUCUUGGUCAGGUCUGCUAGCGGGAAGUUGCCGGCGUCGGCGAACUCGUCGCCGAACACGAACAGCUUAUACCGCCGGCCCGAGUCGCUGUCGCGAUGGCGUCGGGACUCCACAUGAGCAGCUGCUAACAACAACGUUAAUUAAAGCUCCGAUCCGAGAGCAGGACAAUGCACGACAGCAAGCAGAACAACACAUACCGUUCAGCAGGAGUAGGAGGCCGCAGACGGCGGCGAAAAGAAGCUUCAUGUUGGCUGGUUCCUUGGAUUUCGAUCGAAGGCGAGUUGCGCGGGGCGCGGGUGUUGAGGUGAGUCAAUUGCUGAGUCGUGGUGCCAGGACGACGGCGAGCGUCGCAAUUUAUACACGGGAGAUCGAGUUCCGAGUCCUACUGGGGGUGGGGGAGGCGCGCUUGUUUGCCCAGUCCGCCGCCGACUGUAACUCGUUUCCAAGCCUAGCUGCUACACUGACGAACAACAAGUCAGAAAGCCGACGAUUCCUGCUCGGAGUUGGCGGGUUGGCGGGCCUUUUCUCUCUAGGAUCUCACCAGGCCUCAAAAUACCCGGGCCAGUACAGCAGAAGAGGCCCAUCGCUACCACCCCAAUACAUGCAUACGACCAGCGUUCACUAAUGGGCCCCAUCCCUGUCUGCACGGACGACGAUAGAAGUUGGCCCGAAAUCAACACGGCUGGGCCUGGGCUGUGCAUCACAGAACCCUUUUUUUCUUUGGCGACGAACAAAACCCCUCGCCACUACUACUUAGCCACGCAUGAUGAUGAUGAAUUUACGUUUGAUGAUUGCUUGUUGAUCAAUCAGUCGAUCGAUCGAUCUGCGGAGUACUCUGACGGAAGGAAAGCUAACCCUCUCCGCCGGCGCCGGCGCCACCGCAAUGUGGUUCACCUCCCGUCGCAAACCCAACGCCGCCGAACCUUCCGAGGAUGCACCGUCGUCCUCCUCGCCACGCAGCUCGCAACCCCGCGGCUACUCCCUCCGCAUCUCAUCCUCCAACCCCUGCCCCCAAACCCAGAGCUCCCGCGACGGAGCCCUAGCCUCCGCCACCUCCUCCUCCGCCGCCGCCUGCGACCUCGGCGGCGGAUGGGGGAACUCCGUAGGCCGCGGCGGCGGCGGCUUCCUGUGGUGGAUCUUCUCCGCCGGAGCGGCGCGCGCGGACGAGGGGAAGCCGGCGGGGGCCGACUGGGACGCGCACGGGCUCCCGGUCACGCGCACGCCGGUGCCGCUCUCCAGGCUCGACGGGAGGAAGCGGUACAAGGUCUCCGAGCUCAACUUCCUUGACUGCCGCGCCCGGGACCGCGCCAGCGCCGCGGAGAAGAACCCCUUGUUCGACGACAUGGCCAAGCUGCGCCCCGGCGGCGUGUACACCCGGUCGCAGCUGCUCGGGCAGCUCCAGGCGAUGACCUCCUCCGGCAUGUUCGAGCAGGUCAGCCUCCAAGGGAAGCCCAAGCCGGACGGCACGCUCGCGCUCACCGUCACCUACGCCGAGAACAUCUGGCCUGGAGCCACCAAACGGUUCAAGUGCGUCAACGUUGGACUCAUGGCGCCGCCCGACGCUGGCCCUGCUGAGGACAUGACGGCGAGGGAGAAGAUGGAUUACAUCCGGAGGCAGGACCAUGACUACCGGCAGCGAAUCCGCAGCGCCAAGCGGUGCAUUCUACCGGAGUCUGUGCGCGAGGAGGUGCUGGGGAUGGUGAAGAAGCAGGGGAAGUUGACCGCCGGGGUGCUGCAAAGGAUGAGGGACCGCGUCGAGAAGUGGUACCACGACGAGGGCUUUGUGUUCGCCCUGGUGCAGAACUUCGGGAACCUCGACACCGACGAGGUUGUGUUGGAGGUGGUAGAGGGGGACAUCACCAUGGUGGAGUACCAGUUUCAGGACAAGCUUGACAAUAUCGUCGAGGGGAACACUCACAUCGCUGUCGUUGACCGGGAGCUGCCCCAGCAGGUAUGUAUAUAUAUAUAGGCAAUUUUCCUUACUACAUCAACAUCAGUUCCAUGGUUAAUUAACAUGUUCUGUUCGAGAUGUCUAUGGAUGAAUUGUUGUUUAAUGUGCCACGAGUUGAUUGGUUCGAUGUAUUCUAUUACGAUUCUCAAACACAUUUACUCUGACCUGAUAUGCUUUCUUGCAACCAUGUAAUUUACCUUCUGCCUUUCUUACACUGUGCAGCUUCGACCUGGCCAUAUCUAUAACAUUGGGGCAGGGAAACAAGCUCUGAAGCAUAUCAAUUCACUCGCUUUAUUCUCCAAUAUAGAAGUGAACCCUCGCCCUGACGAGACAAAAGAAGGGGGUGUAGUGGUUGAAAUAAAACUCAAGGAACAUGAACCAAAGUCGGCCGAAGUAACUACAGAGUGGAGCAUUGUGCCUGUGCAUCAAGGGAGACCAACUCUUGUAAGGCACCACUUAUUUGUAACCUUUUUUCCUUCUUCUCUGCAGAAUCUGUACCUUGAAUGAUAGAAAACAUCAUAAAUAUAUAACCGCCAAUCAUUAUAAAUCCAUGUUUCACAACCCAUCUCACGGAAACUUUCUUUUUAGGCAUCAAUUCAACCUGGAGGAACUGUGUCAUUUGAGCACCGCAACAUCUCUGGUUUAAACAGAUCUCUUGUCGGUUCUGUUACUUCCAGCAACCUGCUCAAUCCUCAGGUGAGUUGGUACUGAGUUCUUUUAUUGAAAACAGAAGCUUUGAUGCAAUGUUGCUUUGGUUUACAAUUACAUCUACAUUCGCUCUGAUCUGCUUGUACUAAAUUAGCUGAAUUGUCACUUAUAACCGUCUCAGUCUUCCUUUGUAACUAUAUGUUUCGAGUCAUAUUUCAAUUAUCAUUAUUACAUGAAGUGUGGAACUCAGUUGAGUGUCUUCUGCAUUGAAAUGUGAAACAUUGCAGACUUUAAUUGCCAUUCUGCUGCAAUCUGAAAUAAGUAAAUAAAAUUAUACCCUUGUUUCAUGAUUUAAAAACAUUUAGUUUAUAAAAUGUACUGGUAUGGUUUACAAGGCAUAUGUUUCAUUUUUAACUGAUCCGUUAUAUUUGUAUUUACGGCAUGUUUCUUUUGGGAUAUCAGGAUCAUCUCUCAUUCAAGCUUGAGUAUGCCCAUCCUUAUUUGGAUGGUGUGGACGACCGUAGUAGAAACCGCACCUUCAAAGCUAGCUGCUUCAACGUCAGGAAAUUAAGUCCUGUCUUUGUUGCUGGCCCCAACAUGGAUGACGCUCCACCUAUCUGGGUUGAUAGAGUUGGAAUUAAAGCCACUAUAACAGAGGUUUGCACAGAUUGAUAUUACCUUCUUCAUCUUUUGAUUUUCAUAAAUAUCUACUCCCAAGAUAUAUUUUUAACAUGAGGAAACUGCAUUUGGAAAUUUUUUUCAGAGCUUUACAAGGCAGAGCAAAUUCACUUAUGGCCUCGUGUUGGAAGAGAUUAAAACACGCGAUGAAGAUAACAACAUAUGCACACAUGGUUCUCGAGUAUUGCCUAGUGGUGCAUUGAACAUGGAUGGACCUCCCACAACCUUCAGUGGUACCGGUGUAGAUCGAAUGGCAUUUCUACAAGCUAAUAUAACUCGAGACAAUACUGAGUUUGUAAACGGGGCAACUAUUGGUGACAGAUGUAUAUUCCAGGUGGGGUGUUUUGUUCUCAGUGAAUUUUCAAUUGUUGCUGGGUGUUUAAAACCAAAUUGACUGCACUGUGCCAAAAGGAGAAAGCCAGCUCCUUACACAACUGAUGUUUCUGUUUUCGUAUGAGGCUGCUGCACAAUGCAUAAUGCUGACUGUUUAGGCACAUUUUAGCAAAUGUUAUCAUUACAAUUUUUUUAGAAUCAAGGUAUUCUUGUUUAUGUUAUAAUUGCUUUUCAGUUAUAUUUUAAAUAUCUGGGUUAGUUCUUGUUUAACAGCAUCAUGUGUUUAUAGAAAGUUCUCCAUGGUAAAGUAAAUCCACUUAUAAUUUUCUUGUGGGCCGCAGUUGGACCAAGGUCUUGGCAUUGGAAGCAAAAAUCCAUUCUUCAACCGUCAUCAGCUUUCAGCGACAAAGUUCAUUAAUUUGAAUAAGCAAGAUAAAGGUGCUGGCAAGCCACCACCAGCAAUUUUGGCGAUUCAUGGUCGCUACGCAGGCUGUGUAGGAGAUCUGCCGAGCUAUGAUGCAUUUGCAAUCGGAGGACCUCACUCUGUUAGGGGCUAUGGCAUGGGAGAACUGGGUGCUUCCAGGAAUCUUCUUGAGGUGAGCAUCAAACUAUCGAUCCUCAGGGGGAUUUGGCACUUACUCUGAAUCAUGAUGCAUAGUUGUUAUCGCUGUUCAUGUCGUAGUCGUGGAGGUUUUGCUUUUCUUCGGAUUUGUUUUGAAUCUUAUAUCCAUGCAGGUUGCCACUGAGUUGCGUGUCCCCAUCACUGUGAAGAACAAACAAACGCAGGUGUAUGUAUUUGCUGAGCAUGGCACUGACCUCGGGAGUUCCAAGGACGUGAAGGGCAACCCUACAGAGUUCUUCCGACGCGCAGGCUCUGGGUCCUCCUAUGGCAUUGGUGUCAAGCUCGGCACGGUAAGGGCGGAGUACGCUGUAGAUCACAAUGCUGGUACGGGAGCCUUCUUCCUGAGAUUUGGCGAAAGAUUCUGAAGGCCGCGUCUCUGUCCAGCUUGACGAUCAGAAAGCCCUAUGUAAAUUCGACUGCCAACUUUCUAGAAUAAAAUUAACUCGUGAAGAUAUAACGUCACUGAAUCUUGUAGCAGCAAGGCCCGCGUUAUGAAUGGUUGAGAGUAAAGUCAGAUUCAACUGGAAUAAGAGUUUCGUUUUGAUGGAAGGAUGUCAUUGUACUCUCUUCCUCCGUGGAACUGUACUAGAUGGUAGUCUCGGAGUAUUAUCUUGAACUUGGUAACUAAACCUAUUGAGUGUUAGGAGGAUAAAACUCUUCUCUCAAACUAGAACUUGUGCAUUCACGAUGCAUCCGACAGCUUGCAUCUGUCGGGUGCACGAGAGCACCAGAUGUACUCGGAGCACCCAAUCUUCUCUUACAUCAUUUUUUAAUCUAAAUUGCACAAAUUUGAUAAAUUUGGGCUUUGGGUGAUUUCGAAAUUGCUAUCGCAUUUUCUAGAAUUUAAAAAGUUAUGAUUUAAUCAAAAAUUCAUAACUAACUUAUUUCAAAUCUAAAAAAUAUGAAGUUGGUACAAAAUUUUUCUAAAAAUGUAGGCUAUUUGUUCAUACUCUAUUUGAAAUUGUUUACAUCAUAUUUGUUACUAAACCUAAGUGUUAUAUUGUUUUUAAUAAAACACAAGGAACAUGAACAAUCUAGUUUUAAAUAAUGCUAAAUAGUACACCAACAGAUAGUUUACAUUUUUAGAAAAAUUUUGGCACCAAUUUAAUAUUUUUCUGAUUUGAAAUGAAUUAGUUAUGAACUUUUUAAUUAGAUCUAAACUUUUUAAAUUUCUAAAAAAUUGCAAACCACUCCUAAAACUAUCCAAAUGGCUAAAUUUAUCCGGUUUUGACAUAUGAAUGGCCCUCCGUGUCCAGUUUUGUAGUUGUCAGUAUAGACAUGUGUCACAUCACUUUAUUAAUGAAGUAAAAAUUCCUACAAAACCUUCGCUGCAAAUGGCCUUACCGCCUCCCGAUUAUCACCGUUUGUUGUUACCUUUUUCUUUUCCAUUGCUAUGUUUGUCCUCCUCGCCUUUGUGCUCCCCACGUUAGGUGAAUUUUCAAACCUUUAAGGCUAAGAUUGGGAGCCCUUUGUUUUCUCAUUUUUUUAAAACAAAAGAAGAAGAAAAUGAAAAGCGGCUUUACCUGCACAACUGCAGUUUUGGCUAGAAUUUACUCCUAUGUCGAGUAAUUGCUCAUGUAGUGUCGCGGCAUCUUCCAUCGCUUCGACUCCUAUGCAUUAACGCAUGGGAACGCAGCAAUCGGAAAGUUCAGUCUUGAGUGCGGCUGCCUUGGACGGUGCAGGGUGGAGAGCGGGGAGGCUUUGCAUGCAUGGAGUUAAUUAUUAAUGGGCUAAUGGCCGCCUAACCUUCUCCGUUCUGCUUGUGAUAAAACUGAAUCGGCGGCGCAUGCCGGACACCCGUUAUAUAGACCAAACAUGCUUAUGACUAAAAUAAGCUGAAGCUGAAACUAGUAGCCAAACGGUAUACUUUUUUCAGCUUCUUCUGUCUGCGCUUCUCUCCACAGGUUCCAUUUGUUUUCCUAUAUUAGUACAGUUUAUUUGAGAAGCAGCUCCCGCAGCAGUACCGUCGUAACCACACGCCCGGCGGAAAGCCUGGGAAAGCAUAGUACCAGCAAAGGAGUCGCCGGAGCCGCCCGCGAUGACGAAGUACGUCACGCUCUCCGUCCGGGACGAAGAGUACCGCGAGAUCACCCGCACCAUGCGCACGACCGACAAGCUGCACACCCUCAUCGAUUUCUACUACGACAUGGUGCCCGCCGUCGCGUACGGCGAGGGGGCCUUCCUGCACCGCGGCGAGCCGGUCGACAGGAUGAAGACGCCGGCGGACUACGGGAUGCGCGAUAGGGACGAGCUCGCCUUCUCGUCGCAGAUCGACUCGAGCACGUUCCUCACGCUGACCGUGCGGGAAGAGGAAGGGCUCGGGUCCUUCUCCCUCACCUUGCGAACGACCGACCAGCUGCGGGACCUGAUGGACUUCUGCUACGAGAUGGUGCCCACCGUCGACUACGGCGACGGGGUCUUCCUGUUCAACGGCAGGCGGGUUAAAGGCCACCGGACUCCGGAGGAGCUCGGUAUGGUGGAUGGCGAUUGGAUCGGUGUUACUUUCAGAGUUCGUUACUGAACGUCGUCGGGCUGCUUCCGCUGAACCGGCACCGCCCGUAUGUUGCUGCACUUUUCGUUGUGUAAGCAGCUGCUACUUGCGUGCAUCUAAAUUUCACGCAUCUUUUGUUCCAAAAUUUAUCGAUAUCCAUGAAUCGAUCCCUCUCACUCAUCUCACCGUGCUUAUGAUGUACUGAAAUAUGUCAUGGUUACCUAUUCUAGAGUAUCGAGUUUAAAGCCAAAAAAUAUGUAGUAUGUCAAUGUGACUUGAAGUGACAUGAUUCAACACUUUACACAAAAGCAUGGUCGUGCAACUUGAUUGAAUUGAUUCACAUUUUGUGAACAAAAACUAAUUCAACAAUUUCAAUGACCUGAUCUAGCGUUUUGUUAAACUAAUCGAUUCAACAUUUUAUAUCAAACUGUUUAGAAUGUUGAACUAGCGCGCUCAAACUUCUGAACUUCCUACGAUCGGAUCGGCCCAACCACAGCCCUAAACGGUCCGGCCCAGGGCGGCCUCGGUCGGUUGCCCUCUCGCCCAGCACGGGACCAUACCCGGUGCAGCGAAUCGGGUAUCCUCCCGCCGCCGCACUCUCUUCGUCCCGGAUCGAUCCCCAUUCCAUUCCCCACCCGGCUCCAGCACGGAACUUUCCUCUCUCUAGGGUUCCCCCCCUAUCCCCCUCGAGUCUCGACCGUACAGGUAAAUUACAGGUCCACCCGUCCCGCGUUCGGUCCGAUCCCGUGAUUCGAGCCUUCGCGCAUCGAUCCGGGACUCUUCCGCCCGCAAAUUUCCCCGCGGCGGAGUUUCGCGGCCUCUUUGUAUUUGGGCCAUUCGAGUUGAUUAUUUUGGAGGAUUGAGUGUGCGUUGUUAGAUUUUUUGUGCGACGACUGCGGUGUGUUAAUUGGAGGUUGAAAGAAUUGUAGCUGUUUUGAGGCGGCAAGCGAGUGCUGCAGAAGCAUCACAUCUGCGCCGAGGCAUGGAUAAGGAGCUCUUCGCCAACGACGGCUCCUUCAUGGAGAGGUUCAAGCAGAUGCAGCAGGAGAUGCAGGAGAAGGAGAAGGCCGCUGCUACUGAAGCCUCAUCGGCUCCCAAGCACGGGAGCUCCAAGCCGGGGUUUGCUGUUGCGGCGAACAAGAGGCCGUUCGAGCUGAAGAAGGCUGGUCCAGUCGCCACGGGCGGGAAGCUGGCCUUUAGCCUGAAGAAGGCCAAGGUCGCGGUCGCCCCUAUUUUUGCGGCCGACGAAGAGGAAGAGGAUGUGGAGAGGGAGGAGCCUGCCAAGCGCCACAAGUCUGUGCAAGCUGAUGCUCCUGUGGCAGCUACCCCGGCAGGGGCUGUUGGUAAUCAUUUAUUUAUUAAUUAAUUCAUUCAUUUAUUGCUGUUAUAAUAUACAAAAUUAUUAGUGGUUUCCCAUUCUUUGGAUUUUUUGUUGGCGUUCUGUGGGUGUAGUUGCUAUCAAAUGAUAAGAUAGAAAUAUGCGACAAGAAUUUUAAUUCAAUAAUUGUCCUAGAACAUCAGCUAUAUAUUGCCUCUUAUCUUUUUUGUUUUUGAAUUCAUUCCCCAUAUAUGUGACAUAUCAUAGGUUUUACUCUUGAGAUGACUUCUAAUUUGGAAUCCCAUACCCCAAUUAAUACCACCGACACAUAUGGUUAUAUUGUCAUUUUUUAAUACAUUUUUCUGUUCCAUGCAUUUGAGGGUGUUAUCCUGAGUCCUGACAGUAUUGCAUUCAUAUUGAUAGUGAAACGAACUAACUAGAUACUUUUUAUUUCAUUUGUCACAUACUGAUUUAACUAGAAAGUAGCAUUGCGUUGCAUAUGCAUUUUUAGUGAAAUUAUUACUUAUAGGACUGCUUGGAUGUCAAGUAUAUUUUGGUUUCGUAUGGUUUCUAUAAUAUGUCAUAGCAUAAAAACUUUUAGGUGUUGGUAUACAACUAACAGUGUACAAAUGUAGUAUUCCAACCACCAUGUUAUUUUGGAGUUUAUGAAGGAAACCCAUUAAACACCUCUUUUUCCUAAAAAGUAAACACGAGGCAUGCUACGAUUUCCCUUUCUCACCACAUGCGAAGUAUUUAGCAUUCCUGUCUAAUUUCAUGCAGUACUAUCAGUAAACACAUUCCUAAUGUGACUAAUCUGUAUUGCAUACAUUCAUUUUGGAUUGUUCACAGUAUUACUUUAGCCUUUUUUUAUCUCCAUAUAUAUAAAGUAUUGUUAUAAUUAGCCUACCCCAACUUGCUUGGGACUGAAAGGCUAUGUUGUUGUUGUUGUUGUUGUUGUUGUUAUUGUUAUAAUCAAAGCUAACUGCAUUCAAAUAGGCAAAUAGUAUGUAUGUAUGUAUCAUGCUUUAUUUAGUUUUCCUCUGUUGGAUAAUUAUACAGUGUAUAUGUUUAUAAAGGAAACAUACUAUACCAAAACCACCAAACGCAUUAUAGUUCUUUUAUAUACUGUAGAAAAUGGUGGUUUUCGCAAUUUAUGUUAUUUCAGUUCCCAUGUAUUAAAAAGAUGGUUUUCAAAAACUCUGCUUUGAAAUGUUCCUGACAUCAAAACACAUCCUUAUAGUAUUGAUUUCAUGCAUUUACAAAUGAUAAAAAUGGAUCUAGAAAGCAACAAAUUGCAAUGCACAUUGGUGUUGGAAUCGACCAUCUAACAGUGUUUAAUAAUUUUUUAAAACUAUCCAAGAAAAUUGCUUGCUGUUGCACCACAUGAUUUAAACCCUCCGUUUAUGCUUGGCUCAUACGUUGUUAGGUUUACAAAAGAAACAUCUUUCUCUCAGUGUUUGGAUUCAUUAUAAGUCAGGCAGCAGAAAGUCGUGAAGGUUUUGUUUUUUUUUUUCCGAUAACUGCAGCUUAUAGAUGAACUGUAUUGGCAUUGCCAGGAAGGAUAUGAUUGAAAGAGUUGGAGACUCUACUGCAGUAAUUUGCAUUGCCUUGUCAUAUGCUUGAUAUUAAUAGUUCUUUAAGUGACAUGCAGCCCCACCCCCACCAAAUGAUAUGACAGUGAAGCAAGUUGCUGACAAAUUGGCAAGUUUUGUUGCAAAAAAUGGGAGACAAUUUGAGAAUAUCACACGGCAGAGGAAUCCUGGAGAUACACCAUUCAAGUACGACUGCACUACUUAUUUUUCUGAUAAACUCUGUUUUACUUUUAAAUUCUAAAAUCUGACUUUAAUAAAUUAUUGAUAUAAAUCUUGGGUUAUUUGCAGAUUUCUAUUUGACAAACACUGUCCAGACUACAAAUAUUAUGAGUUUCAGCUUGCUGAAGAGGAAAAGGCUCUUGGUCAGUCAAAGGAUGCUGAAGCAUCAAAAAAUGGUUUGUGGCACAAUUUUUUUAAUCAUUUUCUAUAUCUAAAAAUUCUAUAAAAGUCUUGAUGCUAUAUACUCUUGUUAAUGUAGCUAGUUCUAGCACUGCAAGCUUCAAAGCACCAAGUGGUCUGUAUAAAAGCUCAUUUGAACAAAAGUCCAACUAUCAGACACCUGCAUCAGCUUUGUAUGGGGCAUAUGAGGGUAGUUCUUCCCAAGGAAGCUCAUCUAGUUAUGGUAAAAUAUACAUACAUGGUUUCCUUUAUCAAAUGUUAUAUAUCUACAUUCUCUAUGUUCCUGGACUGUUCUCCUGUUUACAUUUGUUUGAGUUUGCAUUUUGCAAGUCAUCCAAAUCAGGCACUUCUAUUGCCUUAGUAUCUUAUUGUUAUUUCUGAUGUCUUGAAUAUUAUGUUUCAUCCUUGUAGCUUCAAUGAAUAGAUAUAUUGUAGGGUUUCUGUUGUGAACCAUUAAAACCCUACUGCCUGUCAUCUCCCUGAUCUAUAGUUUGCUUUAGGAGUAAAAACCAUUGCUUCCUAUCUUGAACUGUUUCUUGUUAUUAUAUGUGCUUAAUGCUAGUUCAUCAUUUUGCAGGUGAUCACAAUACAUCUGCACCGUCAGAUCCUGUAGCUUUGAUGGAAUUCUAUGCGAAAAAGGCUGCACAGGAAGAACGGAAGAGGCCACUAAGACAGUCAAAAGAUGAAAUGCCGCCACCUCCUUCUCUUCAAGGUACAUUUUUUGCAACAUGAUUUGCCGUACUGGAAGAACAUAAAAACUUCAAUAUUUGUUCUACAACUAAUUCUUGUUUUGCAGGUCCUCCUAAGAAGGGACACCACAUGGGUGACUUCAUUCCUCAAGAAGAACUUGAAAAGUUCAUGGCACGCUGUAAUGAUGCUGAAGCACAAAAGGCUACGAAAGAAGCUGCCGAGAAGGCUAAGAUUCAGGCAGACAAUAUUGGCCACAAACUUCUAUCUAAGAUGGGUUGGAGGGAAGGUCAGUCAUUGAUGAAUACUAAAUAACAUAGUCACCAUUACAGUAAUUCUCUGAUCAAACCCUGUCAGAUCUUUUUUCAAAGUCCCAGAUGUUUAUGGCAACAGUACAUCAACCCCUCUGACCUUGACCGUCAUAUUAAUCCAACAAACCUUCAAAUAUUGUCAAAGUAUGCUGUUAACAAAGCCUUCCAUCCCAAAUACCAGAUAUAAGAACUAUUUACAAUGGAUCCUUUUUCCUCAGCAUUGUCCUGCAUGCAUUAAUUCUCAAUAUCCCUACCCGGUGGAACCUUUUUUGUCAGGCACAUAGGAAGGCAAUUAGCGAUAAUAUGCACCAUUCCACUUCCAGGUGUUAAAUAUAAUUUACUGUGCAGGUGAGGGUCUUGGUAGUGAGAGAAGAGGCCGUGCGGAUCCCAUUAUGGCUGGAGAUGUGAAGAAGGAUCAUCUUGGUGUUGGUGCUGUCAAGCCUGGUGAGGUCACAUCUGAAGAUGACAUCUACGAGCAAUACAAGAAGAGAAUGAUGCUUGGAUACCGCUAUAGGCCAAACCCUCUGGUAUAUUUGCUGCCAUUGUCUACUUCCAGGAGUUGUAUGUUAUUUCUGUUUGCCUAAACACUUCUGCUAUUUUUGCAGAACAAUCCAAGGAAACAAUAUUACUGAUACAGGUUAGUUCAUCUAAGAUGUAAGACACCAAUUUUGCUGUAUUUUUGCUCACAUAACUAACAGCUAGGGAGUAUGACUAACAGCAUUGAAAGUUUUUGUUCAUCAGCAGAAAAACUAAGAAGCUCAUUUAGUCAGCAUAUAUCUUGGAAUGCCACAGAUCUGAGGCUUACGGGGGGUUCAACCGUAGCUUUGUUCUUUGUGUAGUGUUGAUCUUUGUUGCUUUAAAUUCACUUCCAUGGUGAUGUGUUGAAACGUGGAGCAUAGUUUCAUAAUGUGAUGUAUUGCCUUCUUGGAUGACAACAUAUCUUUCCUGAUUAUUCAUCUUUUUGUUGGGAUUUAUUGCCGCAAUAUCAUAUUUCCAUACUGGGAGGCAUAAUCUAAAAGUCUGUUGCAAUGGUUCUAUUUUAUUCUGGAUUCUGGAAUUUGAAUAGCUAUGUGGAACGUGAGUGUCGGUACGGAAGCUAUUACUUACUGGCAGCAUAUAACUUGGCGUUAUUUCUGUAGGAGUUAAAAUUCUGUUAUGCUCUCUGCCACUCUGAUGUGCUGAAUUAAUAGGUUACUUUGAUUGUGAUCUAAGCGCUUAUGGCCUGUUGGGCUAAUCUCAGUACACGGUUUUAUUGCAUAGUUACUUAGAUUGAAAAUUAGGUAAUAGUGCUAGAUGAGUAUUAUGGGGAUUAAACUCAUUUCUUGUUUGAUGAAACUAUCUUUAUUAAUUACCUUGCCAAGUUAGCAAUUUUGGUGUGGCAUGAACUCUCGUGAAACAGACUGACCUUACUGUUAUGCUCUCUGCCUCUCGGUCUCGGAUGUGCUGCAUUAAUGGGUGACGUUGAUUGGAAACCACAGUAAGGGAGACAUAAAUUUAUAUUUUAGGAAAAUAUCGUAAAGUUUGCACAAGCGUAUCUAUUACUCUAUAUUAAUGUUGCUAGACUAGACGAAAUCUCAGAGGCUGAGCUACUGUUCACCGACGCUGGUACGUGGGUCCGAAAUCCAAUCAGUUAUGAAAAAAAAAAAAGAAAGAAGAAGAUUCGAGAGUCCACAGGUCUCGGUCCUCCACGACCACGAAGAAUCGGCGAACUCCAUUUGCCUAGCCGCACCUAUCGCCGUUGGUCCGCUCCGCACGCUGGGGCCGCCGGCUCGCUCCGGCGCCCGCUCCCUCGACCGGCGGAUCGCACCGCCGCCCGCUCGAGCAGCCGCAUGCGCCGCCCGGUGGGAAUGUGAGAGCACAUCAGCAACCACCGGCGGCCGUCAACACCACUUGAAUCUUGGCAUGGAGAGAGAGAGAGAGAACAGAGCUGUGCAGCGCAAAAGUCUGGACAACCAACCGAAUCAGGCCACCGGCGUCGGCUCUGCCAUUGCUUCCACUGAUAGACUUCCAGGGCAGUCUGCCACCGUGGCCUCUCACUACCCUCUCUAGAGCAACCAGCAGCGGUGGCUCCGCGCUCACCGAGCCCAAAAAUGAUGGCCUUCUAGCUGCAGGCAAGACCUCAAUCCGCAGGAAUCAAAUUCACUCUCCAAGUCUUUGUAGCUUUUGUGGAUGGAUGGGGGAGAGAGAGACAGAACAAUACGAGAGGCAGGAGAUUGCCAUGGGGAUGACCGGAUGACUAGAUGAAGAGAUAAAGGGCACAGUGCACUUAAAAAAGAGAGAGAAUAGGCCUUUUAGACGCUUUCCUCACUGCCUUUUUACAAAACAGGAGGGAAUCCCUUACUAAUUACUAUAUUAAGCAAAACAAAGAGAAAGUAUGUACAAAAGAAAAGAUAUUUAGAGAAUGAAAGAAAAAUUACAGCAGAGUAUGCAACCGUCGUACUUCAAUGGGAAAAUAGGAUUUCUUUGCUAAAUAAUGAUUCAGAGCAAAUAAAUGCAUAAAAAUCUCUUUCAUCUAGAGGAACGGCAUGAAUUUGAAUUCUGGUUUCAUUCUGAUUUGUUUCCUAAUUUUGUUCAAUACUCAAUACUAUAACAUAUACUUAUAGCAAAGUAGAGAGAUUACAUAUGUAACUCUUUCCGUUAUUGCUUUGAGUUAAUAUUUUUGUACAGGCGCGCAUCGCGCGCCAAUCUAUCUAGUAAAUUUCAUGGCACUUGGUGAGAUACGAAAGUUGACAAGUAGGGCCCAUUCUUGCCCCCCUUGUCUCACCAUCUCGUAUCUCGCGGGUGGCUCACUUGAACUACCAUGUGCUGGGCACCUGAAGCUGAAAUGCUGAAAGCGAAGCGCCCGCCGCCCGCAGCGAUCAGAGCGCCGGUACAGGAAUCUCUCACGCAGUCACGCUGCUGAUCGCCUCCCUCCCCAGUCCUCACUGAUUGCGCUUUGCCUCUGGCCCGGCCGGGGCCCCGGGCCUCAUGCAUGUCCAGUCACGCCCACCAAACGGAACGCAGCCAUCUUUUUGUAAUAAGCACCAAGUUGGCGGCGUUAACAAUGCGGGAUAAUCCGCUGGAUCAUCAUCGGGGACGCUGGCCUGGUUUGAUGACCUGGACGAAUAUCAUCGAGCUACCAAUCUUGGAAGAGAAGUCUGGAGGCGCAUGCUGUCGGGUGUCAGCCUGUCUCCACCGCUGGCCGCCUCGCUGUCAGCUGUACUGCACUGCACCCGGUCACUCAUUCACUGGCCGGUAGGCAAGCUUGAAGCUCAAGUAGCCGCCAUAAGCCUCCAUUGAGUACUCCUGCUGCCCAGGCCUCCAGAUUCGUGGAGUGAUGGUAGUUAACAGGUUACUUCUGGUAGGAAAUCGAAACCAUUCAGGACCAACGCCUGUCCGCUGGCGACAACGAAAAGCCGUUAUGGCGAGCGAUCGAUCCUGGUCUGGUUACAGUAUAAGCGCGCCUGAUUCUGAUGACAGUAGAGCGUCCCAUUCCACCCGUCGUCGGUCUGACUGCUCCUGAACGUUGUCGUUCCACCGGCCCCGAGAUCAUUCCCGGCUGCCUCGCAGCUGUGCGCGCGCUGGCGACCGCCUACCGGCCGCCAUGAUACGAGCCGCGCCGCGGACGUCUCGUGGCGGCCGGUGGAGACUGGAGAGGUGACCUCGAGACAUACCAAUCCAGGAGGCCGCGGUGGUUGGCCACUCGCGAUCCGACCCGCGCGGGUCCCCCCGUGAAGUUCCCCCUUCGAGAUCGCGAGCCAAAAAUAUCGCAUCCCCGGCCGGCCGGCCCAGCUCCAACCUCCAACAGGAAGCAAAAAAAAAAUCAACGGGCUUGUGGCGGUCGCGGUCUCGGGGAUCCGUCGGCCGGAGCGGCCGAACGAUCGCGUGUGGCGGCACGCCGCGCCGGGGACAUGAGGCGUCGGGCCGCGUGGAAGUGGAGGCGUGCGUGCUCAUAAAUGAGCACGCCUAGAAGCGGCCAGGAGUCCAGGACGGCGUGGUCGUCGUGUCACGGGCACUGCGCGCACGCCAGUGCCGUCCAUCACGUACCGUCGGCCGUGCGUUCUCUUUGCAGCGGCACAGUUUGGACACCGGAGGAAGUACGUGACAGGAUUUGGCAUGCGACCACUCGCACCGUACUUUGCAAAAAAAGAUCAAGUAGCGUGGCGCAUUUCGGUUCCAGGCUUGGAUUACUCGCCGAGAUAGGCCGGGUGACAAGAUUAGGCUAGCUAGGGUAUGAAUGAGUGGUCGCAUUUUUCACUUAUGGGUUUUUUAGAUCGCUUCCAGUUCAAAUUAUUCGUGAACCGAUCUAUGGACCGUCGAGAAGUUCAAACUGGAUUCCCAAGUAUUCGAAUCCAAAUCUCGGCGUGGCCGUGACCGUGACCAAACAGCCCAAGUGGGCGAGCUGCUGCUGCUGACCCGGCCGCGCAACCGCCUCCACAUGACCCAGCUCAUCUCAGGCUCUCCGCGGCUGGCACCCCACGUGCCGGCGCUGGCCUGACACCUUGGCGCAUGGGCGCGGCGCCCACCCGGCCAGCUCCGGUUGGGUACACCCGGUCCUUGCUUGACGGUGGAACAAAAACACGGCCGGCCCGGCAGCGUACGCGCUGCUGAUAAAAAGGCUAGCGGCCGGGUAAAUUGUCGCGGCAUUUUGUCGGGUUAGAUCGGUUGAUGGACCCCUGGUGACCUAGCGUCAUAGCUCGUCAUUUAGACAUAGGAAAAGAAGAUCUUCAUAGAAGAAUGUGUUAAAAAAAAGGGAAAAACUCCAUCCUUUUUAUCAGCCGCUUGGAAGCGUGCUACGACAAAUAAAAAAGGAUGGCAAGCGACAGAUAAAAAGGGACGGAGAGAGUAUAUGGUAACAGAGAUGCAUGCUGUUAUGUUUAUUUUGCUACACUAUACCUAUCAAGAUCUUUAUGACAUUUUCGGAGUAAUAAAUGUAACCCUUAUUUUCCAGCUACCAGGUGACUCCUAAAUUUCGAACACAUAUUGUUAUAUUGUUGUACAAGGUUCAUUUUGCUCUUAUGAACCUACAUUGCAAAUUACAAUAGGGAUUUAUGUGUGAUUGUAUGACUUACGGACACAUGCACCAAAGAUUAUUCGAGCCAGUGAUGACCGAACUCACUUGGAUGAGAUGCAAGGGGAAAGAUGAAGUUAUGUUUUGGGGAUUACACCAAGUGUCAUUGUACGGACGAUGUAAACGGCUCCGUGCAGUUUUUUUUUUCUUUGGCACAAAGGCAUCAUCUUGUCAUAGAUAAAAUAAGUGUUUGUUUAAUUCAAGGGUAUGCAGCCUCAACAUUUACCUUGGUUCGUAAGGAUUUUGAUUCAGUUCCAUUCCUGUGAAUGCUUCUUUUUGUUCGAAAAAUUAAAAUGCAGAUAUCGUGCUUAGGAAGAAUACCGGACGGCUGGCAGUAACAAAUCAUACAGUAUUUGCCUUCUAUAAAGGCAGCUGGAGACUGUUCUCCGAAAUAAAUCAUAGCAACUUAGGAGUGUUUGAUACGAGGCGCUAAACUUCAGCAGGUCAUAUCGGAUGUUCGGAUACUAAUUAUAAAAGUCAACACGAGCUAAUUACAAAACUAAUUGCACAGAUGGAGUCUAAUUCGCAAGACGAAUCUAUUAAGGGGCUGUUUGGAUACGAGGUGCUAAACUUUAACAGUGUCACGUCGGAUGUUCGGAUGCUAAUUAGGAGGACUAAACAUGAGCUAAUUGUAAAACUAAUUGCAGAACCCUGUGCUAAUUCGCUAGACGAAUCUAUUAAGCCUAAUUAAUCCAUCAUUAGCAAAUGGUUACUGUAGCACCAUAUUGUCAAAUCAGGGACUAAUUAGGUUUAGUAGAUUCGUCUCGCGAAUUAUACUCCAUCUGUGCAAUUACUUUUUUAAUUAGUCUAUGUUUAAUACUCCUAAUUAGUAUCCAAACAUCCGAUGUGACAGGUGUUAAACUUUAACAGGGCGUUCCCAAACACCCCCCUAAAGCUAAUUAAUCCAUCGUUAACAAAUAGUUAUUGUAGCACAACAUUGUCAAAUCAUGGACUAAUUAGGCUUAAUAGAUUCAUCUCGCGAAUUAGACUCCAUCUGUACAAUUAAUUUUAUAAUUAGACUAUAUUUAAUACCUCCAAUUAGUAUCAAAUAUUCGAUGUGACAUGUGCUAAAGUUUAGUAGGGUAUCAAACACCCCUUCUCUCCUUUCCUCUUGGUAUGUUUAGCAGUUACCCCUGGCUCUUGGCAUCCGUUUCGUCGACGUGCCAUGGUUUAACGGACGGGACGGGGACGGCCGGCUCACGUGAACAACGCCCACGAGGCCGCGCUGGCUCUUGUAAAAGCAACCGCUCCCUCCCUAGACGCUAGUGCCUCUUUCCUCUCUCCUCCGCCCCUUUUUAUCGCCCGAUCUCACACAUUUUGGAAAGAGGAGAGAGAGAACGCCCAGCCAAACAGCCAAGGAAACAAACCGCGGCGAGAGGCGGAGGAGAGGGAGGAAGGAGGGCAGAGGACGAGCAAGAUGAGAGAGAUCAUCAGCAUCCACAUCGGCCAGGCCGGGAUCCAGGUCGGAAACGCCUGCUGGGAGCUCUACUGCCUGGAGCACGGCAUCGAGGCCGAUGGCACCAUGCCCAGGUGAGUGACGAUCUCGAUCCGCGAGUGCGUUGCUUUUGGUUCCCCAAAUUUUUUGCUGCGUGCAUCCGCCUCGCGAUCUAGGUUCUCGGCUUGGGCCGCCUCGAAAAUCUGGCGGGCUCGUUGCAUCUCGUUGUUUCCUUCUUCUCGAGAAAUCCUUGCUUCGGCGGAGCCAACGAUGGGCGGGCGGGUGGGUGUGUUAGAUUGGAUGGUACUGUCAUGGCAGUUCCGUGUUCGUGUCUUCCUUUUCGUUCUACUUCUCGUUGCUCCUUGGCUCCUUGUAAUGGGUUUUUUUGGGUGGGAUAUGUUGCGCUUUGUUGGGCGUUGGUACAUUUCUUUGCCGGUUGUUGAGAGAUUCCCAGCACCGGACGAGAUGCGACAUUUCCUAAUUAAGAGUCUGCCCUAGCAUUUUCGGACUAUUAGGCCUUUAAUUUGGUGCGUUUGUUCUGUUCCUACUAAUUAGGCAGGCGUCACAGAGGGGAUGCGUUUGGCUUUUGUAUAGAGGAGCGCACGUUAACAUGUCGUGGGACAAAUUGGGUUUCCAACUCCGUAAGACGCAAGAUCUGAAGAGUUGAAUCUGUGGGGAUGCUCAAUAAAUAAUGUAACUGGUUAGCUCUGGUGGAUGUCAGACCAUGGAUCUCCCUAGAUUCAAAAUAUCUGGUCCAUUGUUAAAAGUGCUAUGCUUAUCUCAGUUUUGCGUAAUCUUGUAGCGCCAUAGAAAAUUGUGCUGAUGCUACUGAGAAUAGAAAUCAUGUUGGGGAUCCUGAGGAGGCAGGUUACGUAGGCUCUAAUUUAUCUUUUGGCGCAUAUGCCAAUGACUCUUGAUUGCAUUAACUGAGUUAACUGAUUUAUAAGUUCUUACUGUGCGGUUUUUUUAACGCUGUAUUGUUUGAUUGUGAUGCAGUGAUACCUCGGUUGGCGUCGCACAUGAUGCCUUCAACACUUUCUUCAGCGAGACUGGUUCUGGCAAGCAUGUGCCGAGGGCCAUCUUUGUCGACCUUGAGCCCACUGUCAUUGAUGAGGUGCGCACUGGCUCAUACCGCCAGCUCUUCCACCCAGAGCAGCUCAUCUCCGGGAAGGAGGAUGCGGCUAACAACUUUGCCCGUGGCCACUACACCGGUAAUUCACAUUGUGCCUUUGUGAAUAUGUAAUAGGAGUGAGUCUUGUGCUUCUGCGACUGCGGAUAUGUUCGAUUCUAAUUAUGUUUGUGGAAUGCAGUCGGAAAGGAGAUUGUCGAUCUAUGCCUGGAUCGCGUGCGCAAGCUGGCAGACAAUUGCACUGGGCUGCAGGGAUUCUUGGUGUUCAAUGCUGUUGGUGGUGGUACUGGCUCUGGACUUGGUUCACUGCUGCUGGAGCGCCUCUCAGUUGAUUACGGCAAGAAGUCCAAGCUUGGGUUCACCAUUUAUCCUUCCCCACAGGUAUGGCCUUUCCAAGAGGAGGUUGACUUAAGUAUCUGAGAAAUUGAUAAAAUCAAGUAGGUCUUGAAUCUCUAUUGGGCAAUUUGCUUAGGCUUGUAUAUAAUUAAUAUCCUUGCGAACCCACGCUAAGAUAUGGAUCAUGUAACUUGGCAGCGCUGUUAUUGCCUUCUGAAUUGCACAGAUACACUGGUUAUUGGAUCAGCCUAGCAUUAAUUAAAUCAUGUGUGGACUAAACGAGCAACUGUUGUAGACUUCUGGAGUUCUGGUUAGUGAGGAUCUUCCUUUAUAUGGUUAAGACCAUGAUAGCACAACUGUCACAGGCUACAGGCUUUCUUUAUUAGUGUCCCUAUAAAUCAUGCACUGCACAUGAGCCAACAUUAUCCUAUAGUGCUUCUCCCUCCUGUCCAUUUGAUUGUGGGCCAUUUAGUUUGUUCAUGUGAGUCUGCAUCUUAGCUGUUGUGGGGGACAGUGGGUAGAGAUGUUGUUUAAUGAUUUUGGGUAUGGUCCAUCGUUUAACUUUUCAUCUAAUGCCACUCUGGAUUGCAGGUGUCAACAGCUGUCGUAGAGCCAUACAACAGUGUCCUCUCUACCCACUCCUUGCUUGAGCACACAGAUGUUGCAGUCCUCCUGGACAACGAGGCUAUCUAUGACAUAUGCCGGAGGUCCCUUGACAUUGAAAGGCCAACCUACACCAACUUGAACAGGCUGAUCUCACAGAUCAUAUCUUCGCUUACCACCUCCCUGAGGUUUGAUGGUGCUAUCAACGUGGAUGUUACUGAGUUCCAGACCAACCUUGUUCCAUACCCACGUAUCCAUUUCAUGCUUUCAUCAUAUGCCCCUGUAAUCUCUGCCGAGAAGGCCUACCAUGAGCAGCUCUCUGUGCCUGAAAUCACCAAUGCUGUCUUUGAGCCCUCAAGCAUGAUGGCCAAGUGUGACCCAAGGCAUGGGAAGUACAUGGCUUGCUGCUUGAUGUACCGUGGUGAUGUUGUUCCCAAGGAUGUCAAUGCUGCAGUUGCAACCAUCAAGACCAAGAGAACUGUCCAGUUUGUGGACUGGUAAGCUGUCUCCGUCACAAUUUUAGUUAGUUGCACUUAUUUGAUGAUGUCACAAGCACCUGUCCACUUGAUUGGCCAUGCUAACUAACCAAACUGUGGUGCCGCCAUACAGGUGCCCCACUGGGUUCAAGUGUGGUAUCAACUACCAGCCACCAUCUGUUGUCCCUGGAGGCGACCUGGCAAAGGUCCAGCGUGCAGUGUGCAUGAUCAGCAACAACACUGCCGUCGCUGAGGUGUUCUCACGCAUUGACCACAAGUUCGACCUGAUGUACGCCAAGCGCGCCUUCGUGCACUGGUACGUCGGUGAGGGUAUGGAGGAAGGCGAGUUCUCGGAGGCCCGUGAGGACUUGGCCGCGCUCGAGAAGGACUACGAGGAGGUCGGCGCAGAGGGCGCGGACGACGAAGGUGACGAUGGAGAAGACUAUUGAGUAGCUGGUUAAUAAGUAGUUCGCUGGUGGUUAAUGGUUGGGUUGUUGGGUAUACUCUGUAUGGUUCCAUUCCAUUGCGUACUGCUGCCGUGUGUGUUUCCAUUUUGUAUUAUGUGGUAUAAAUUGUUCGUAGCGCCUGGUUGGCCAUGAUUGUUCAUAUCGUCUUGCUUUGGUUUGCAAUGCUAUUCGACGAAUUUCGGUGUAUAUCAGUAUAUGGCAUUCUGUUGCAAGUGUUCUGUGCUCUCAACCAUUGGGGAGUAGUUUGAUCUGCCCCGCGGCGUGUUGUCAGGUGGAUAUCAACCAAUGCAGGAUAUGGUUUGCAGGUUGCUCAUAGAUGCCUGAUGCUACGAUCACUGACCAUCAGUCACCAAUGCAUUUGAGGUGGGCAUGGUGUGUCUGAGCUGCUUGAGCCAUACGCACAGGGUAUGAUGGCAUGUGGAGAUCGCCGUGCACGUCUGGCACAUCCGGCAAGCGCUGGUCGCGCACAUUCCCCCGGUUUGUCCAGACUUGGUGUCGCGACUCGCGAUGCAAGAGGGAUGAUAGGUGAGACAGCUUGGAAAGUGUUUAGAUCUGUGCACGAGAGCCCCGCGACCUGGUGCCAGUCGAUGUGGGUUGGUUGGUUUGGCAUCUGGUAGGUUUGGUGGCCUCAUGACGCUUUAACUUGGGAUGUCUCGUUCAGGAUCUCAGAAUUAUGAUGUGUCGAAGAAGCAUAAGGCCGGGUAAAAGUUGGAACUCACCCGACGAGCGUGAGUGCGUGACCCUGGAGUUUCAUUAUCGAAAAAAUUAUCUGGCGGACUUCCUGACCCGCCAUGGAUUCAGGCCAGGUAGGCAGCAUCAUUGAAGUACUACCAUCUGGAGCAAGAGUCGGUAGGUUUUCUGCAGAUCAGCAGAUGUGCGUCCCAGUAGCUAUGACUCCACUGGAGCAGAAGCAAAUUGAGCCCAACCCGGCAGCCCCAAGAAAAAAAAUUUGGGCUGGGAAAUUGGGUUGCCGGCAAGGCCUUGUUGCGUGACCAGACUCCGGUCCAAAGAGGUGGCAUUACAAUCACCUCCAAAUAACGUAGCUUAGCUGCUCUCCAAAAAAAAAAAAAAAAUAACGUAGCUUAGCUAGCUUGCUGACUGACGAUGCCAUGGUUACAAAAGAUGCCAUGGUUUGAUUUGAUGACAACAAUGGAGCCGUUGCCGAAGAUGGAUCCACUCGAGCGAGGGCACAGGCCGCCACUCAGUUUUUCUAAUUUCAAUGGACUUAAAGCUUAUCUAGUAAAGUUAUAAAGGCACACAUAUUAAAAUGCCGUCACUCAUUUUUUUCCAACUAGAUCCGCCAGCUAUGGUGUCACGGAGGAAUUGCCACAAAGACGAACAUCCAAUGUGUUGGGGGUUGUCGGAUGGGAGAGAAUUUCCCGCAUAUUAUUGGAUGCAUGGACAGAAGUUCCCACCGUUGCGUGAGUGCUGACACUACGAAAACUGACACCGCCCAUGCAGCAACUUGCAUUGCGUUGGUUAGAGCAACUGUUCCGUUCGUUGCCAUUUUGUUCCCUCCUCCGGCCUGUUUAAACUAGCAAAGCAUAAGUAGCCAGGGGGGAUCAACUGCAUCUGCCGCCUGCCGAUAACACGGCCGAGUCACUCACAUGGAGGAGUUCUGAUGCUUUUGCCCACCCUGCUGAUUCCUGAUCCCUGAAUAUUAUCGCGUGUCCAGGAGUUCCGGGACCCAUUGCUCACCUGCUCCGCUAAAAAAAAGUUGCAAAAAAAAAUAAAAUAAAUGGCUCUCCCCUCCUUGUCCUCGCAUUCCCGUUUGUUUCUGCCGCUGUCGCGAGCGCUCAGCACAAACUUUCUCUGCUCAGCUCUCGUGCAGGCUGGAGUUGAAGUGCUGAACCAUCGUCCGCGAGCUGCAACCGAGCCAAAAACCAGGAUCGAUGGGAUCGGACUCCGUUGGACGGGCUCGAUUGGAAGUGAAAGGUGAUUGGGGGGGCCCGCGACGACAAAAGCUUGGUAAAUGUGCCGACACCUGGCAGCGCGGCGGCAUGUUUGGCUCAAAUUUGAGCGCUCCAACCCCAACAAGGCAGGCUCGGGCUUAUAUAACCUUGGGCCCCAGAGAACGCGCCAUAACCUGCAUUGAUCGUGCACCAAUCCUCGAGGGAAGUUCGUUUAGCGAGUUCUUGGAUUUCCCCGUUGGAGGGACAUAUCCAAAUCUUAAUUUUUUUUACGGGAACGCCAGGGAAGGCCCUACCCUAUUUUUGUUAUAUAUAAAAAGCAAUAUGUACAGUCUACAAGGCUUCAGGCUCAAGGUAAAAAAGAGAGAGUUCACAAGAGGCUACUCAGCCAAAUAUUAAUCUUCUGACUAAUGGAAGGUUUUGCCCUAAGGCCCCGUUUGGGUUCAAGGAAUUGGAAUCUAUUUAAUGGAGUAGGCUAAUUUAUGUUGGAAUGUGGCAUUCCACAACUUUCCAAAGUUUAGAUAUAAGCCUAUCUUAAAUUUAUGGGGUGGGAGAUGGAAAUUGAUUCUAUAGAUUAUGGUUAUUAGAUGGAAUUCAAUUCUUAUAGCACGCUCUUAGACUCGCUUCUCUACAGUAGAACUGCAGCAUACAAGUAUCUCUCCCAUAUCACCAACUAUAAUAUACAACUAUAUUCCACAUACAAUUAUAUUAACUUAAUUAAUUUGUGUCUAAAUUAUGAUUAUUAGGAUGGAAUUCAAUUCCAAUGAUCCAAACGGGGCCUAAGGGUAAACCUUUUCUAGCUCCGCUACAAAAACAAGCUCUCCAGCAGCUGAAUGAUAGAGUACCACCAUCAAAGAUUAUGCUGUUCCUGUGACACCAUAAGGCCCAUGACGCAAUUAUCACAAUCUCCCUAAAAAAAUACUGGAUGCAAACCUCUCCCGUGCUCUGUCAAGAGGUUGGAGGCUGAGGUCCCAUUGAAUGUCCAAAUACAGCGAACAGGCCUGGCUGAAAAGGACAGUAAAAGAAUAAGUGACUGAUUGUCUCCUCUACAUUCUCAAUGCACAAAACACAGUUGUAGCUAUCCAAGUACAUGUUCCUUCCAUGUAGGAGGUUUCUGAUGUUAAGCUUAUCACGAAGGAGGAGCCAGAAGAAGAACUUGUGUUUGUUUUGAACCCUAGACUUCCACAUCUAUUUGAAGAGAGGGGAGGCCCGUAUAGAACCCUGGAGGCUUUUGUAAGCUGUUUUGCUUGUAAAGACUGCAGAUCCCCAAAUAUAAGUCCAGACAUCAUUUUGCAAAUCCCCCAUGUGCAAUUGGUCUAAAAGCUGCUGAAGUUCAGUCAGUUGGGCAGCAGCAAUCUGAGCUAUUGUCGGAGGCGAUAAACUUUCUGACCGAAAUAGAAUUUCUCUUUGAGAAAGAGGAAAGCUGCGGAAAUCUCCAUUUGAGCACACCUAAGUCUUAGAGAUCAUUCCAGAAGGCAACUGAGUUUCCUUUCUGAGCAUUGCAAGUAGCUAUCAUGGAGAGGUUUUGCGCCAGAGAUAUGAUGUCCUUCCACCAAAAGGAUCCAACAUUCUGCCUUUCAAGGGGGAGUACCAUUCUUAUACAACCACUGCCAUGUGAGAUGCACCCAGGGUAUGUCCACUUUAUUAUAAAAUUUGUGAAGAAAUUUGAGGAGAAGCGUAGUGUUGUCAGUCCUUACUCCUUAGGUUGAUAAUGCCAAGACCACCAUCUUCUUUGCUCCUGCAAGCAUGCUCCAAGCCACCAAGCAACCACCCUUUUUGUCAGAUCACCACCAUUCCAGAGGACAUGUUUGUAGUACUUGUCAAUUUUGUCCAAGAUUUCCACAGGUAUCUUUAGAGCACACAUGUAGAAGGUGAGCAUAACUGAGUAUAUAGAAUUUACAAGAAUUAACCUACCAGCAUAAGAUAGCAUCCUUGAUGUACCCAUGAGGUGCUUUUCCAUACGUUCAAGGAUAGGCAUGAAAUCCACUACCGAUGUCCGAGUGGUUCCAAGAGGAAGACCGAGAUAAGUGAAGAGCAUGCUUCCAAGCUUACAACCUAAGGUUUCUGUUAACUCUGGCCAUUAUUUUGAUUCCUCCACAUUAAUGGGUACCAGGAUAGAUUUGUGGAAAUUUACCUUGAGACCAGUGGAAGUGGCAAACGUAUGAACUUUUUUGUAUAUAAGAUUCAAAUCUUAACUUUGAAAUACCAAUCUCAUUUGAUUAGUUUUGGACGAAAAAAUCAUACUACUUCGACCUUCUUUAGCAAGGCUCUACUUGGCUUUGGCUCCAGCUCUUUGCUACAGUGAUCGAUACUGUGCAACACCAUUUUGAGCUGUAGCGUGAAACCAAAACGCAAAACGAGGAGUAAAAUGGACUAAGGAGAAGAUAAAGUCGGUGAAGCAAGUUUAUUGGACUUCACCGGCUUCAUGCUACAGUGAUGAACAAUACAUGAAAAGUGCUAGAGCUGUAACCGAAGCCACGCCAAAUGCACCCUUAGAAUCUUAGCGUACAGGUAAUCUGACGAGAAACUGAUCCCUCGUCUACAGCCACAAGGCAAUCAGCUAAAUGCCUGUGAAAAUUGGCAAGUUUUGAGCAACACAUAUCCAUUGAAAUGGGAUAGAAAUUGAAAUAUAAACUCCAUUCCGCUUAUAUACCAGUGAUGACUGACGACUACCUCUUCUCCACACUCCAUUUUUAUGUACUUAAAAAAAUUGAAUGGAGGUUCUUCAAAAAGAAAUUGAAAUGCAGAAAAGAAUUUGAAUGAAGAAGUCUCAGACGAAAAUUUCUUUUUUUUUAGACGAAAAGUUUCUGCUACCGAAAAUCUUCAGAAAAUUCGAGUGCCGGAAAUUUGCGCAAGAUUUGAGCAACACUGGCGAUCUAAUCGACCGUCCUGAUCAAAUGUUCGUGGAAAAGGGAAGAAAUAAAAAUUUCUUCACCUAGAGAUAUUAGAUCCAGAGGAUCGAACUACACCGAAUUUAUCUCCACAAAGGGUACACCAAAAGAAUUGAAUUCCGAGAUCAGGUGCCAUUAUGCAGCUCAAGAAGAGAUACUACAUCCUGAAAAUUGGAAUGCACAAUGACUUGCUUUGCCACACGGCAAAAUUCGAAGCAUUUUCGCACAAAAAUGCAUCCACUGGCUACAACGAGUAGGAUCCUCGAUCUUCGUCUUCCUCUUUACACCGCGCACGCACACAUACACCUGACACCUGUUACUUCCCCGACAAUGGCCAACAUCCAGGAGGCGAAAGAGCAAGAACGACGACGCACGCACGCAGUUGAGGUGAGGCUAGCUACUAGCUCAGUGGCAGAGCGGCGAGAGAUCCCAGAGCGGGUCGCAGGCGGAGGCGUCGAGCACCCGGUCGAAAUACUCCUGCAGGCCGUUCAUGGCGUACAGCGACGCCGAGAUGCGCCGCUCCACCUUGAUCCGCUCGAACUCCGCCAUUUCGCCCGGCGCCGCGGUGGCGACCGGCUCCUCUUCCACGGGUGCGGCUGGGACGGCGGUGUCGACAGCGGCGAAGCUGUCCAGAGCCGGGAACUGGCCGAACGCCGAGUCGAACAUCCAAGAAUCGAACUCUUCGGCGCCCACGGCGGCGAACUCCGGCCGGUACACCUCACUGGCGUCCAGCGCGCCGCCGCCGCCAUUUAGCACGGCGUCGUCGCAGCUGACUGCGCUGCUGGAGCUGCUGCUGCUGCUGCUAGAGCCACCACAAGCACUAUUCGUGCUAUUACUAUUAUUAUUGCUAUUGCUAUUGCUAUUGCUAUUGCUCGUGGUGGGAGCAGGGGAGAUCGCCGCCUUCUUCUUCGAGACGGCGGCGGCGGCGGCCGAGGAGGAGCUCGCCGCGGCGGCCUUGGCCUUCUUGACCUUCUUGUGGUGGAGGAGGCCGCGGAUGCGGACGGCGAGCGGGCAGUCCGGGGAGAUGCGGGGCGCGAAGUUGGUGCGGGCUUCGUUGCCGCGGAGGAGGCGGGCGGCCUCGUCGUAGGCCUUGGCGGCGGCCUCGGCGGUCUCGAAGGUGCCGAGCCACAUGCGGAUCUUCUGCGUGGUGUCCUUGAUCUCGGCCACCCACCGCCCCGACGGCCGCUGCCGGACGCCGACGAACUUGCUGUGGUUGUUGCUGCCCUUCUUCCGGCCCCGCGGCUUGGACGGCUUGGCCUGCGCCGCCGCCUCCUGCUGGUAGUAGUAGUAGUAGUAGCUGCUGUAAUCCUCGAGCUGGAACCCUGAUGACUGCGGCUGGAAGUGGAGCUCCAUUGGAGGCUUUCUUGGUGUUCGAGCUGAUGGUUGGAGUGGUUGGAGGGGAGAGGAGGAAGACAGGUGUCGAUCUGCCGGGUGCUUGCUCUGCUUUGGUUUUGGUGGUGAGCAGCUGAGCACAAGGGGAGAGGAUUUAUAGAGGAUUUCAGGUCACUUGGCAAUGGAGCCCUGUGGGGUUACUGUCAUGGGCUGGUCAAAUGCUGGUCUGCCUAUGAUCAUGUGAAGUGAGUGUUUGGGGGAUAAGGCAUCUUGUUGGGUUCUUUUUGUCCUUUCAGUUUGUUUUUCGGCUUUGCCCUUAUGCAUUGUCACUGAGCAAACAAAGCUAAGCUGGUGUUCUUUCCAUGAUUAUUUUUUUAACUAAGUUUGUGCUAUUGCUGGAUCAACAAAUCGGUGAGCUUGCAGCCAUAGUGCAUCACCACUCACCACUAUUUGACCUUUUGGCAUUUUCUUUCAUUACUAUAUAUCAUAAGAAAGAUAAUCAUUUUACUUUUGACUCAGUACAGUGGAAAUUCCUUUUUCAAUGUCUCAAAGGGUUCAUGCCUGCAGGCUGCAGGCAGCAAGCACACUAGAGUUCAGCAAGUACAUGCUCCCCACUACAAUGCCAAGCACCGAGUAAAACUUGGAAGCAGGGGUCAGAGGGUCUACUUCAUCUAGUAACUUAAAUUACCAUGUCUACACCUGCAUGCAUUACCUUAACCGAAAUUUUUAGGACACUGAUUGGACUAGUUCUUCCAUAAUUCGCGGUUAUCCCUCUGGUCAAGCUACUUACAUGAGACCGGGUCCGAAUUGCACCAUAACCCGCCACAUGGCAGCAUUAGAGAGAAUGGCGACGAGCAAUUAGGAUACAAAGUAGAAACGGCUAAACAUCACCUUUUCAUCGACCACGCCCACUUGUGCUUUGUUUAUCUUGUUUCUUGACAAAAGCUGCUAUCAACCAAGUCUUUCUCGUCACUGGAUGAUGUACUCGUCCUUAGCUAGUUCAAUUUUGGGCGCCCAUGAGUUUUUGAAAGAAUCUUUGCACAGAUAGCAUAUGAAUAUCAUACAAAACAGCAGCCCGAAUUGUUUUCCGCAGUAAUAAAAUGCUUACUACCAAGCAUUAGUACUUCAACACAUCACAAAGAAAGUGUUACUUUGACAUGGACACGAGUGCCGGAAUCCGACUUCCGACUAGGGUUCGAUUCUUCGACUAGGAAAAACUUUAUUGAAAAUAGAUAAUGGUUAUUGUCUCUUCGGAGACGUCCAACAAAAUUACCGGGCGUAUGAAUGAGUACCGGAGUCCAACUCGGAUUUGUGAAUUGGCAUGGGAGUUGAGUAACACACACAAGAUUCUAGAUCCAGAUAUAUGAUAGCAGUUUUUCACUUUUUUGGAAGUUCCCUUUGACAUGGAAGUUGAGCUAACAGUUGACCACCCGUUCAGGCCUUCUUUUUGCAGAAUGAGCACUUGAGGAGUUCAAGGUAACAAUACGUCAAUAACUGGAGUGUUAGCGUUAUGAUUUUUACACUAGGAGACAAAUCUAAACCCUGAAGCAUCUUUGCUUUACCUUUGAGAAUAGCAACAAUUCUCUAGCCGGUUGAAACUGAAGCAAGCAUGAUGGCAAAGGCUUUCUUGAUCUCUCGGAACUAAAGAGACGGCACUGCUAGUUUAAUGAAACAGGUCUUCUCUUUGCAUACCACAAUGUACUGUUAGGAUUAACAAAGCUACAUUCCUUGGUAAGCAACGGGCAUAUUUUCCCUUCAUAACUUGAGAAAAGGUCAUCGUCAUGACUCAUGAACACGGACCCCUUCAACUCCAAAGGCUUGCCUACCUCACCUAUCAAAAAGGCAAACUUUGUCAAAUUGUGGCGCGUCAUUCCACCAAAUAAACUAUGUUCAGCUUGCUGAUUGAGCAAUAGGAUAGAGCACCCACAUUGGCCAUAGUUUUAUAGUCAGGAUGACUCCAAGAAGGCUAUGGCUCGUAACCUCUUGUUUCGUAGCAUGGCAGAUGCCCUGUUUGUCGCUGUCAAGGUGCAUUUCUUUGUCGAGCUCGGUGGGGCUACCUGCGCCAACAUGACAAGAGACCACUUUUUGGGCAGCAGCAAGGUCAAGAAAGAUGGCAUCUUGGCAUCGGUCCCGGGGGUUGGUUUCAGAUUUGUCUUUGUGUGAUGGAGCCGCCAUGGAGCAGGAGGAGAUGGACAUAUUCCAGCCGUGUUUUGGGAGGUAACCCUCUCGCGACCAAUUCUAGCUCAUUGCUGACGUCAAAACUUUUCGCAGCGAAGAUUAUCUGAAAGCUACCUUUGGAAUUUUUUUGCCAUUGAUUCCUUUACGGUGACGAAUGCACCUGCUAUGUGGUUGUGUACUUCUAUUGAUUUGUUGAGAAGAAAACCCAAACAAGGACUAUCUGGCUAUAGGGAGCUGGGACGAUAAACAAAAGCAGCAUCGUAAUGCAUGCUCCUUCAAAUCUAGAAAGAACAUGAUACGGCUGCAUAUAUCUAAAACGAUUUCGGUUGGGGCUGCCAUUUCCAGCUCCCCAGCCGUCGGGAAUCUUCAAUUCCGCCGCAGAUUUCUCGAUGCCACUCGUAUGAAGACAAGGCCGCCAUGCACAUGUGCGGGCAUAUCAACGUUCAACGGAUAGAAUCGUGAAGUUAUUUUUCUUUCAACACAUGUUAAGGUAGCAAAUUUCGGAAGCCACACAAAAGGUAAAGCCACGUUCAAACUACCAUCUGUUCGUAGUGGCUUUUUAACUCGAUGCCAUGCUCGACGGCUUUAACACAAGCUGGUAAACGUUUCGUUUUUCUCAAUUACUAGCCACGGAGCAUGCACAACUUCAGCAUUUCCAAACUGGGCAUAUCUCAAAAGUUUGCAAGAAAAAAUUGGCAAAUAAAAUGACUACAAUUAACGGGCAUCAAAGCGAUGCAGAAGGCAAUCUCACUCAAAGUACAAUGAUCUCAUUACCAAAACUGAUGCAGCAUAGGUCCAACCCAACCGACAACAAACCUCACCAUUUCCCUUACACCUCUGUUGCCAGCACGUCUCAAAACCAUAUUUUGAGUACAUGACAAUAUACACUCUACAUCAAAACCAUGUAUGCAACUUCCAAUUCCUCCAAGCGACCGAUGCAUUCACAAAUUACCCCACCCAGAAAAAGAUUCAACACAAAAGAAUUGCCUGACAGUAACAAUGAUGAAAUAUCAAGAAGAAGAAAAAAUGCAGCCCGGACCUUGCAGCGGCAAAAAACAACUAUGUCGAUAAGAUGGACUGUAGCAGGAGCUGCUGCUGCGGUUGCAAGUUGGAAAAUGUUGACGCGAGAAAAUCUGGAGGUAAAGUCUGCUGGAAUCGCCUCAAGAUAUUGACCAUCUUGUUUUUUGUUUCAUCUGUAGCAAGCUCUGUCCCAGGGCACAAAACCUGCAGAUUGUACAAGGACAAUCAAUGAGUUCAUCCAUAACAGUUAAGUCAAACAUAGUUAUCGCUACAAAUUUACAACCCUACCAAAUUAGAGUACACAUAAAAAAAUUACCUCUGCAAAUAUUGAAAUAAUUUUCAGAAGAUACUGAUUCUGAGGGCCAAGAAUUUCUCCAUCCGACCUGCAAGCAGAAAUGGUUAUUAUAAACCGCAAAUGGGAUCCACCUUAGUUGGCAGAUUUCCAGUCAAGAACAUACCUCUCCACCAUUGAGCAAAGUUGCUCAUGUACAACUUUAGCUUCAAUCUUAUCAUCUUUUAUAGGCAAGCAACUAAGCCAUGCUGGAAUAACCUGAGAAGACUGUAUAGGUCAGUUUCAAAAAGUAUCAUCCACAAGCACAAAUAACUAUCCCCUGGCAAAGCUACAAGUGCAAAAUUAGGCUUCAGACACCACGCAGUACAGUUAGAAGCUGAGAGGUGUUCAGUUUGAGAAAUGGGUGGUCCAUCAGACCAUAACCUUCUCACUCCUCACAUUUUUGUUUGGUUUGGGAAAUAGGAUGAGUUGAUCCAUCACCACCUCAUCCCAACAAGCACAUGGUUAACUUAAUAAUGAAGAAUUGGCUUAACCCACCAAAAUUCAUGGGAUGACUCCAUAGACCAUUCCAUCCUAGACGAGAAGACUCCUCAAACCAAACACCCUAUUAGGGUUUCAGUGUGUCCCUUGCUCCUCACUCUCAGUGUCCACGCUCUCAGUCUCAGUGCGGUGAGAAGAAAGGAGAAAAAGGGUUGACCCUUUUCAGGAAUGAAAGAGUUACAAUCAGCACCGUCUUAAGAUUUUCAAUUCCAGAUUUCAGGCUUCACGCUGCUAAGCCAGCCUAGUACUGUGCCUCAGCCUCCAAGAGCAGGUACACCUUCCUAUUACCCCCCCUCCUUCCCACAUGAACUACUGCCUACGGCACACCGAGCAAUUUCUGGAAACAUGCCGUCACAAUCGGUAGGCAAUAGAUACAACCUCCAAAUAUUCAUCCAUUACCAACAACUAAGCCCUUGUCUCUAGCAAGUUGGGGUAAGCACAUAACAAGAAAAUGUUGGCCAUAUCAUCAGAGGAAAAAAAAAGACAUUGAGAAUAGAGCAUAUACCUGGGCCGCGUCAAUGCCAUCCCGAUGAAAUUGACAUAUUUUUCCAAGUGCCGAAACAGCAUUGUCAUAGGCCAUAAUAUUGUCUGGAAGUCGUGCUUCAGGAUGUCGGAUAACAUUGUUUAACUUUGAUAGGGCCUCUGAAUUCAGAAGCAUAACAUGGUUGGAUUAGUUGUAGAAUGUUGAAAAAAAAGCAAAACAUGUAAAUACUGGAAAUAUAAAGAAACUACCUCCAACUAGAGGGCGAAAAACAUGACCACCAAACUCAGCACAUACACCCACACCAUAGACAGCAGCCUAAAUGAAGAGGUCCAGCAUUAUAUCAGUGUCCAAUGAGACCGAGUAAAACGGGAGAAUGGGUCAAGGGAACAUGAUAGAACAAAAAACAGACCUGCCGGACAUCUGAAUUUUCAUCGUUUGCUGCCUCCAAAAGGAAAGGAAGGUAUGUAUCAUAAUACCUCAAAGCUGAUUCACGGCAUUGCUCCGCAACAUCAUCAAAGAUACAGAUAGCUAUCCUUCUCUCCUCGGGUGUUUUAUCUUUUCCCUGCGAAUCAAAACAUAGGGUACCAAAAUAAGUAGGAAUAAAACAUCAAACUGAAAAAAAGGUUGGAGCAUAACACUGCACAACAGGAAUAAGCAUGAAAAAACAUGCCAAUAACUAAUGAGAAGAAACCCAUUCGAUUCAUGUACAUAAACUAGCAUGCAGUAACUGAAUGCUCAAUAAAUAACAAUAGAGAGCUCACACAAAUAAACAAUCAGGUCAGGGUUCAGUUAGCUUACCAACAUUGGCGUAAUGUACACAGAGAGCUCAUCAAAGAACGGCAAGAAAGAAGCUUUGAAGGUUUUAAUCAAAGUUCCAAGGCACUCGCUGACCUGAAAGUUUAAAUAUGUUAAAAGAAAAUUAAUAGGUAAAUCAUUUAACAUAACAUGCCAAAGACAGUUUUCUCAGUAUGACAAAACAGAUAAAACUUCAAAUCAUUUCAAAACAAACAAACCUGAUCAAAUACUUCCUCCUCCUGUUCAUUCUCUUCUUUGAGUAGCUCUCCUUCAUCAGCAUCAAAAUCUUCCGCUUUUGUUCUUUCUGUACGUUCCCUUUUCCUGGUUGCGCUGGCUAUAAUGACAUUUUUAAUCUCAUCCGAAAUAGCUCGUACUUGGGUUUCAUCGAGCAAACGACCAGAAAGCUGCUCAUGAGUGAUCAAUGGAAAAUUGAGUCAUAAAUAAACCAUUCAAGAAAAUAGAAUAUUUAAAAACCCAUGCGAAGAGAAACCAACAGAACUAUAACACAUAUUCUUUCACCCACUGAACAUAGUGAAAUGAUCCCUUUCUUGUCUUUUUGUGGUUAUAAAGUGAUAAUCACGGGCAAGCACAUGUUCACAUAUGCAGAUGCACAGAUUUCAGAAUUGUAAAAGGAGCAAAUCUGCGAGCACAACUUUCAGAUAAAAUCUGCGUGCACUUUAUAAGUUUCAUUCUAACUAGACAACUUUCAGAUAAAAUAUGCUAAGAUAUACUUAUUUGAUAACAUAGGGGUAGGUUAGGAAAAAAAAGUGAGGUCCUAAAUAUACAAGUGAAGCUUUAGGAAGAAUCUCAAUCAUGGAUUCAAAUUAUGAAGCAUAGAUGGUGUAAAUGCACAAACCUGCAUGCACUCAUUUAAUGAGUCCAGCAUGGAUGAGCACAUUUCUGUUUCUGGCUCCUGCACAAAGGACGCAAAAAGUUCAGGUGUCAGCAUGGGUAAAAGAAAUAAUAAUUCAACUACUGAGAUAUCUUUAAAUAGACCUUGUGAAGUGCUUCAACAAGAGCUGGAAUUACGUAGUCAGACAACUGUUUAACAUAAGACUCGUCACGGCCUUGAGCCUGUCCUUUCUCAACAGCCAACUUUGCCGAACGUAAGAGUUCCGGCAUUGCUGCACAGAUGUUCAGAAUUGUAAAAGGAACAAAUCUGCAAGCACAAAUAAAUCAUAGUGUAACAUGAAAAUACCCGCAACAGCAGCUCUUCUGACUUCUUCAUGGAAGUAAAACUUCAGCAGAGGGACCAACGUGGGGGCAACCUACACGUAAAUUUGUAUCCAAUGAUAUAUGCUGGAAAGGGGCAGCUGAAACUUGAAAGAAUUAGAUAUUGGAUAUGUUUAGUGCAAUAAUGAACCUGAUCAAUCCAUGGGAAGAAACCCUCCUUAAGCUCAUCAGCAUAACAGCACAGCAUGUUGCAAGCUGUUGCUUUCUCUUCCAGCACACUAGUUCGGAUUCCUAUUCUCUUGUCACCAAGUGUGAUUGUUUCAAUGCUGUAUAAAACACAAAUUAAGGGUAAGGGUAAGUGUAAAAAAAAUCAUACAAAGUUAAAAGUAGGAUGCUCUCCUUGUGUCAGCAGAAAGGUGAAUGAAUAGCAAAAGCUUGGCAUCAUCAAUGAAAAAAAACAAAACACAUGAAAAAACUCCAUAAAUGACAGUGUAAAUGUUCUACCGACUAUAGGCACAGUAAAUCUAAAAGCUUGUGUACGGUUCAUAUCAUUUCAUACUGCAAAUAAGUUUAAAAUUAGAAUGCUAAACUGAUGAUUUUGCAGCUUAAAACGAAUUUCUUCUAAAUUUUCUCCUUUGUACAUUCUCCUGGAUACUUCAGAUACGGGCAUAUAAAAAGUCAUUUAAACAAAAAAUUGUACAUUCUCCAGGAUACUUCAGAUACGGGCAUAUAAAAAGUCAUUUAAACAAAAAGACAAGCAUCAACCAUGGAAUUAAAAAGAUUCCAUAUUUGCAACUGUACAAGAGCGAGAAAGGUAUAGAUAUUUCUAAGUGGAAAUAGUCCAACAUAGUUGUCAGGUUUGCUAACCUAAAUCUCUAAUAAAGUAGAUAAAACAUUGCAACAGAAUGAUAACAGACCUAUCGUCAUCUGAUUCUAUUUCGUCAUCUGAUUCGGCUGAAGUAAUUGUCACAUCGGGCUUCAGCUGAGCAGACUGAAGCAAUGGUGGCAUAACAACACUCAUGUAAGGAAGGAAAUCCUGCCCAAGACAUUUGCAUAGCCUGGCCCAAGCCUAUCACAUGUGGUGGUAAGUGUUAGAUAUAUAUUUGAAGUGUUGUUAAGCCUAGUUUCAGAUGCUUUGAAACAUACCUGCAACAUGUAGCUGGUAAUUGGAUCAUCAGUUUCCAUUGGUGUUCCUUGCAAAGCCAUAAGUACUUCCAUAACCUAGUAAAGGGCAGAUGAUUAGAAUAAUAACACUUCCUCAAUUAAAUAAAAUAUUACAGCUGAUUGCACAUUUAGACUUAAAAGUGCAAGAAGAAGAAAUGACAGCCAUAAAUAAUGAUUUUAAUAAACAGAAAUAGACAUAAUUUUUCUGAAUUCCGAUAAAUUAGCAGGAAAAGCUUGAACAGUGAAACGGUUCAAGAAUACGAACAGUGGUUACAGAUCAAUCACAAAUUAUUUGCAACAAAAUAGAAGUACAUAAUUUGCAAGCUGGAACAUAACAUUACAAGUGAAAGAAAAGGCUAACCUGCCUCGCGUCGUCUCUGAACUUGUCCUUACCCACAGCCAUUCCUACCAAACUAAUACACUCCAUGGACUUGGCACGGAGCAUCCUAUUAGACUUGUCAGUUGCAUUCAUCAAAAUAGCUUUUAGGUAUGGCAUGACAGCAUCAUAGUAUUUCUUGAAGUGCUCCUGCAAGGCAAACAAACAAAAAGUUAUCAUAAUGCUAUCAGCUUGUUAUCAACAGCAGGCAAGACAGCACUAAAACAAUUUGUUAUAAUUGGUCAGCUAUAAAAAAGUUAGUCAAAUGCUAUAAAUUUGUUAAUAGGUGCUUCUGCCACUCAGGAGCAGACAAAUAAAAAGUUUAGUCAAAUGCUAUAAAAUUGUUAUCAUUACCAAGCUAUACAGCACUAAAACAAUGAGACAACCCCAUGAUACAUGUGAUACAUGACAACAGAAAUCCAUUAUGCACAUAACAAAAAAAAAUGUAUCUAUGCACUCCCAGGCGAACAGUUACCUGUGAUGAAUCUGCCACUGAAGCUAGGGCUGUCAAUGCUCCCUCUUGCACCAUUUGCUUGCCAUUCUAGAAAUAACAUGAGAAGUUAGCAUGUUUACUACCCAGAAUAACGAAUAUGCACAAAGCAAAACUGAAAUGUAAAUCAAUACAAGUAAACAUAUACCUGAAGAAGGACAAGUAAUUUGUUGACGAUUCCAUCCAGGUAAGGUGUCAAAAUUUCCGGUGUACAGUUCUCACUGAAGUUCAGGAUCGCAGAUGCAGCAUGUGCCUGUCAACAAGAAGAUUCAUACAGGAAGUCAAUAUAGGUUGCUUUUUCCUAAGAUGCAUGACAUAAUAGAUGCACAUGACUUCUGAUUGAGAAUAGAGACAUAAAGAGUUGCGUAGACUUAGCAUCUCAAUAAACGCAAAACACUUCAACAGCGUUCAAUUCAAGAGUCUUAGUUUUCAAAAAGAAAUGAUAAAAUAGUCAAAGUUAAUCAAGCAUCUACAAAAUGCUACCUUCUAGUAACAUUUACUUGUAAUGGUGAUGAUGGACUUACUAACUUGCCAGGUGAUUAAAUUACUAUUUAUUAAAGAAAAUUAUUAGCUUGAAGCUAAAUAGAACUUCGUUUUUAGACAUUCAUAUGUGUUAACUGCCCACAACUAUUUACAAAGUUUUGUUUCAGUAUGCACGAACAAUAACUUUCUUGAUCCACAUCAAGCCAAUUGAUGCAACAUUAAUUCUAAAAUAAGCAUUAACAAGUUGAAGAUAUGAGAUCAAGUUUUGCUAAAAUAAUAGAACUAACCUGAACUCGUGGGUUCUGGAAAUCAUCCAUAGCGUUCGCCAAUGCAGGCAACACUUUCUGGUGGUAAUGAACUUGCAAGUCUGGGCCCAAAUCCGUAGAGAGCUGACCAAUGGCAUUGAUUGCAGCCCAUCUCACACGUGGGUGAGGAUGUUGGAACCCAUUCAAUAUCAUCGAGACAACUUGUUCCAAAUUUUUAAGCAUAACCUGCCAGCAAAAACAGCAACCAAUGAUAAGAUGGCCUUGUCCAGCUAUUUUCCUAAACAUGAAAUCGAGAACAGAUAGCAUAAUGUGGUUUAAUAGUAGCCAACAGCUCUUAUAGAUUUGGCAAUUUAGUAUUUGUCACCGCUUCUACAUGUAGUGUUCAUUAUCCCAUUUUCCCAAUUCCUAAUUCAACAUGUCAGCUCAAGAAAUCCAUUUUACCUAUCCAAAACAGCAACACUAAAUAUCUUUUGAGUUGAACAAAUUGCUGUAUACUAGCCAUACUUAUAAAGUUAUCAUGCUAACCUUUGCACAUCCUUCCGCAAUCUGUGCGAGUGUUAUGAGCGCAGCAUGGUGCUUCUGCCACUCAGGAGCAGACAGGUACUGUGGAAGCAGCUCAGAUGCAAUUGGCACAAUUGCAUUUCCACCAAUGGCGAUGGCAAGGCGGUCAAGGCACUCCUGUGCCACUCCAUAGUUGUUCCCUUCACCUGCAUCCUCAUCUUCGGUUUCAGCAGAGUGCCAAGCAGGGUCAUCCUCGACAUCAAGCAGCAUCUGCAUUAGCACUGCAAACAGCCUGCCGACAAACUGCGGGAGUCGACGCAUCAUUCCCGGUGCACGCUCCCUUGCCUCAGCAAGAGUAAUGACAAACUCAACCGCCAAGUGCCUGGUCCCAUCUUCCAGCUGUGCAGCCUCAGCAACUUGUAGCAUUGCUCCCACCACGUCCGCAAUCUGCCUCCGUAGGAACCUUGGCUCUGCGCCAGCCAGCUCAACGAGCAGCUCCAGCGCCUCCUGCGCCGAGGCCUCCUGGCCAGAGUUCAGGCAAUCCGUGAGCGCCCUCAUCAUAGCCGGGAGCAAAUCCUGCAUCUUAUCCCGAUCGGCGUUGGUUGGCAGGCACUGGACGAGGUUGACUGCGGCACCCAGGGCCGCAAUACGCACAUCAGGGGAUGUGGGGUGCGCCAGAGCGGCGGCGAGCAGGUUGUGGAUAGUCAUCAGAUGGUCGAGGAGCGAUUCAGCGAUGUAAUCCGCCAGCCUCGCGAAGAUAAGCAGCGCCGACUCCUGAAGGUUGGGCGCCUCGGGCCCCGACGCGGCGCGGAAGAGGAAGGGCAGCAGCUCGGCCCAGGCGUUCUCGGGCAGCAGCGAGGCAGCGAGCUCGGAGAUGGCAUCGCAGACCUUCUUGGCGAUGGGCUUGGGGGGAUCGGACUGGAGCGCGGAGAGGAGGUGCGCCUUGAGCGCGGACUGGCCGGCGAGGGAGAGCUGCGGCCAGAGCGGCGCCGGGGGCGAGGCGUUGUUGGCGGACGCGUCGGAGGACGGGGUCGGGGAGAGGACCUUGCGGAGCAGGACCCCCGCCAUGGCGCGGAGGUCGGCGGCGGUGGCGGGCGACGCGAGCGAUGAGGCGAGCCGCAGCGCGAGGGGCUCCGGGUGGGAGGCCCGGAGGCGGUGGAAGGCGGCCUCGGCGGCGGAGCGGUCGGUGUUGGAGGACGACAUGAGGGUCGACAGCAGCCCGUCGAACGCCGCCGGGUCGCCCCCCAGCAGCGCGGCGGCCGCGGCCUGGUCCUCGGCGGACGCCAUCGGAUCGGGGUCGAAUCCGGGGCGCGCGGCGGCGGCUAGGGUUUGAGGGGGGAUAGGGGUCGAGCCGGUGGUGGCGGCGGCGGCGGGAAGGGGAGGAGGGUGGUGGAGAGAGAAUUAGAGACACGGCCUCGGGUUGGGUUUAAUAUUAUAUGGGUAGGGUUUGGGAGAUGCGUGCGGCUCGCUCGUCGCGGGCGGGCGCGGCGGGGAGAGGCCAGGCGACCUGGUGGCUGGUGCGUUUGGGGUGGGUGACUGGGUGGGGCAACCGCCGCGACGCGAGAUGAGAACGAGACGAGAGCAGCGCGCUCGCCGUGUGGUUUGGUUGCAGGCCGCCGGGGUCGGGUCCGGCUUGGCGGGGUUCGGGCACCGCACGACGGUUUCGCGGGAUUCCCUUGUCCCCGUCAGCUUUUCCCUCGUCCCCCGUGGAUUUUCGCAUCGACUCGCCGAUUUCUGCGUCCGCCGAAACCGACCGCUCGGCUCGUCUCGGUUCGGCACCCGCUCGUGCCCCUAUGGCAUCCGCCGCUUCGCCGAUGCUUCCUUUUCCCUGCCGCGCCGCGUCUUUUCGGCGAGCGGGCACGGGGGGUUCUGGGUUUUACAGCUGGGGGGUGUGAGCUGGGCGCGUGGAUGGAAUGGAUGGACAGGAGAAGGUGGUGACGCCCAUGGAGGGCCAUGAUUGGGCAUUGAUGGGUACAGGCAGGCGGCCGGGCGCCAUCUUCCCCGCGUCAUCAUUGAUGCACGGCUCAGGGGAACAGCAGCGGCCCAACAGGGCUCGUGCAAGCUGCUGGCAAUCUUGUGGGUUGACUGAUUUCCGGUACGAAGAGUGGGAAUGUUUUGGUUAGCUACCAAUGGUGUGUAGCACGUAGUACAAUAGUUACGUGUGCAUCACCGUAUCAAUGCAAAACAAGUGGUGAACAAACGGUGAUUGAGAUCCCGUGUGUUCAUUCCCAGGGAUUAUGAUUUCGUUUUUUGAAUUUUUUCGGUCCUCAAUAAAAACACCAAAUUUCGUGAAAUUUCAGCCGAAAUUUGGACUAAAAAGGUAAAUCUUUCGACGAAGAGAAUAAAAUUCUGGACAAACAGUUAUUUCAGUCACCAUCGAAAAGACCAAAAUUUCACGAAUUUCGACCGAAAAUUCACGAAUUUUGACUGAAAAUCUACGAAUUUCAACCGAAAUUUUGAACCCUGUUCAUUCCAUUCCUUUUCGAUAGAGGUGUUGUUUGCUCCAUAAAUUGCGACGCAAAAGCACGCACAUCCCGUAAAAGUUAUUAAAGUAAUGAGAAUUUGGCAUGACGUCAACAAAGUAACAAGAAACUGACGUAACGUUAAGCCGUUAACAAAAUAGCGGAAACCGACAUGGCGUUAUGCUUUUAACGAAGCAGACAAAAACCGACGUAACGUUAAACCGUUAACAAACAAACAGAAAAACUGGCAUGGCGUUAUGUCGUUAGCAAAGGAACAAGAAACUGGCAUUGCGUUAGGCCACCGACAUUGUUCGGUUCCCAAGAAUAACAGAAAUGGAAAGUGGGGAGCUUCCACUAAAGGAGAAGACGACACAUAGAAAGAGGAAGGUUGUUGUACGUAGUGGAGCUGCAUCUUCUGACGUGUCGUAGCUAUCGUCAUCGACGGCUAUCACGCAUUAUGUAUCACUUCUGCUUUGGCGGUAUCAUUUAGCAUCUGUGGUAAUCUGUAGAAUGUAAGCUCCGUCAAACUACCACCAAGCAAAUUACACAUGCUACCCUCAAGGUAAACCAACUUGCCCUCUUUAGCCUCCUCAUAGCCUCGAUGAGUUCCAUUUCCCUAACUAUUGCAUGCGGAUGCUGGUAAGCAUCACACAUCAUAACUACAAAAGCUUUCUAUGAAAGCUAAUUCACCGGUGCCACGUUCUCGCACUAGUUGAAUAUUUCAUAUUAAGAUCGCAAGAUAUACAUUGGCUUGGAGGGAUUCACAUAUUAAAAAAAGGCUAGGCAAUGCAAUCUAAUUACAUUAUAAAAAAAAGGUGACCAAACAUUACCGUAAGUUAACCGUCAUGAUCAGAUUUGGCCUAGACGCGCCCCUUCCCCAAGGGUUUUUGGAGCCGCCGCUGCCGUCGCAACCUCUCUCACCUCCACCACCGUUGGUCCCCCCCUUCCCACCUCCGUCAUCUCGCCAGAGGUCGGAGGGAGUGGGGAUCCAUCUCUCUAAUAGUUUUCUUUGUAGAUCGAGUUCAGUUUAGGGUUUAGGUUUCUCCAUGCUGAAUUUCUCGAUAUUGAAGAUUUGUUACCUCCCUCUCCUUUCCGUCAACGGCGAGGAGGUAGGGUGGAUUUGGUCUCUCAUAGCGACUCCGAUGAAGAUGAUGGCGGCAACUACGACGUUAGCAACUUCCUUGGUAUGACGACACAGAGAAUUAGGUUUCUGGAUGACGACAUCGAGGCGGGGAUGAUGUUACCAUCGUGGAAUAAUUUUCUCAGCCCCUUCUCCGUUUUCUUGUGGUUAGACCUAGCCACGAUGAAGGACUUGUGAGAAUAAAUCUGCUCCUCGAGCCGAUUAUAUUUGGUUUUGAGUUGGGAAGAUCAGGUGGUUUUCCUUAUUCUUCAGUGGCAGAAGGAAAAAUAAGGAAGACACAAGAAAAAAGAAGAUUAUACUCAAUUUCGCCUACAGGAAUGUUGGUCGCCAUUCUUUGGGCACCUAUUCUCAGCCUGUUUGCUGAGUGUUUACUUUCGGGCGUACACCCCAGGUCCACGAGUAGGCCUUGGACGGCCCACCAAAGGACGUACUCGGACAAGAUCAGAACAAGGAUGGGUGUAUCCUACUCGGACUAGUCAAGUAUGUUUAUGGAAAACUACUCGGGCCAUUACCGGGUUUCUCUCUGUAAUAGUACCCGACUAGGACUCAGACUUGUAACCCUGCCCUCCCGUGUAUAUAAGGACGGGCAGGGACCCCCCUCAAAAGGACACGAGGACAACUCCAGUUCAUCAAAUACAAACCAACACACAGGACGUAGGGUAUUACGCGAUCUAGCGGCCCGAACCUGUCUAAAUCGUGUUCCUUGCGUCACCAUUGAUUCCUUGAUUCUCGACGACCCUUACCGCAUAAAAGACCACCUAGGUACCCCCUAGGCGGGUUGCCGGUCUAAAACACCGACAUUUACCUGUGGGGUCAUCCAUAUGGAUCUUCAUAUAUGUUUGGAAUUGAGAUUUAGAGCUAUAUGUUGCAUAAGUACCAUAGAGAUGAAGAGCAGUUAAGCAGUUUUAUGGGUACACUUGUAAUCUUUGUAUUGGAGAGUGCUUGUAACAUUAGGAUGUACUCAGCUACAAUUUAAUAUAAUUCUUCUUUCACCUAAGAAAACAUUAUCGUAAGUUGAUUGAAAUUUGGGCACAAAUGUCCAAUGUGUGUUACCAACCGCAUAUGUGCAAACCGAAAUCUGUCUCAUUCACUAUGAUGAAUCAUUGACCCCGUUCUUGCGUUCUUCAAGCUCUCAACUUGUCCUUCUCAAAGAAUUGAGGGGGCUUUGAAUCAACUUAAGAAAAGAGUAGUCUAGAAUAUGUUUGCUUCUCUCAACACUGGAGUCUUAACUUUUAAAUCUCAAGAUUAAUAUGUCCAUUUGCAUGUUGAGAUAUAACACACUUUGAAGUCUCGAUAAAUCAUUAUUCAGUUUUGCAACUUAAAUAGCUCGAAUCAUGCCAACCUAUCUAUCAACCACUAAAAUGGGCCUCCUCAAACAGGAAAAUGAAAAAUACGAUGCUAGCUAGUUUGAUUAUCGCGUUCCAAUGUCCCUUUCCAAUAAAGAGGUCUUUGGUUUGGAAAAUGAGAUUAUCCAUCAAACUUGGUCAAAGUUAGACGAUUUUUACUUGAGACAAAGCUAGACUAACCAAUAAUUUGAAAAAUACAUUUUUGAAAACAGUUUUAUUGAAAAGCAUAACACACCCAACUAGUUUUUACUGAAAAUUCCCCUGGAAAAUAACAUAAUGGUCAAACAUAAAACACCUACUAGUUCCUUGACUCAAUCCACUGUUCAUCCCACUGGAUUCACUAAAAACGCCUGCAACAUAUUCCAGCUGGUCUGAAAUCAAGCUGGGUUCAGGUCCAGAUUUGAACCAGAGCUCGGUUGGAUUUUCGCCUACGUGCAAAGGCGAUCUCGUGGCAACAGACCACUCAAUCGAAAGCUCCAAACACUGGAAUACGUCCGAUACGCAUAGCUCCUUAAUUACAAAAUCACUGUCAGUCUGUCAAUAUAUAUAUAGCAUAACGUAGGGGUAGAUGCGGCGGUGAGCCUCGUACACCUAGUGAACAAAUCUGGUUAGCUUGCCAGCCCUUGGAUCCCUCUUGUCCACGUAUUGGUGUCCCCAGCUGAAAAUGUGAAAAGCAUCACAUGUCACACUCAUACCAAUAAAAAGCUCCAUUCUUCAAGCCAAGCAGCCAGCCAACCAAGUGAUAAUGCAUAAUUUUCCACAAUGAAGGGCAUAAACAUUCCCCCAAACAAAUAAUUGACACAAACAAACAAGCAUAUCGGCACUCCCCUGAGGUACAAAACAAUUCAAACGUUGCAUCAGCACUCGAGUUCUUUAAUCACAUCGAGCUACAAGCAAUGGAGCUGCUAAUAGCUGGAUGGGCCCACACAUAAAGCCGGCUUUCAAGGUGCACAAACUCCACUUAACAAGAUAACAUGCCGUCCACUUCACUUAAAUAUAUGAACAAAAGAACAAACAAAUGGUGUUAUCUCCCCAACAUCGACACGAGAACGGAACAAACUGUAUGAUCAGCACUCACACUUCAGUUUUUUUUAAAGAUAAUUUGACACGUAGGAUGUGAUAUAGUAUGAUGAAUAGUUGGCCAACAAUUGUCAAAGCUUCGCUUGCCGGGUCGUUACUGGACCGCGUUGCACAUCCCGGGGCGUGUCCGGCACCAGAGCGGCUGGAUGGGCUCGGCCCGGACCCCUCUCCCCACCAUGCGGUUGCGCCAGUCGGUGAGCCGGUCCGUCGCCUCGGCGUACCUCUUCCUGCCGGAGGCGUCGCGGUUGCCGGACCAGAGCGCCUCCGCCAUGGCCGAGGUCCUGGGCCAGACCCGGCCGUCCAGCACCGUCGCGUCGACCUGCUCCGUCCACAUCGCCACCUCGCCGCCGAUCACCAGCCGGGCCUCCUCGGGGGUGAGCCCGUACGCGAUGUCGUAGUCGUAGACCCGCUGCCACGUCUUGUAGGGCCCGCACCAGGACCCGCCGCUGCUGUUGAAGUCGCUGUUGGGGUCGUCGUAGAUGCUGUUGUUGCCGAGGAAGUCGCCGUGGCCGCAGUCGAGGUAGUAGAAGGACGCCGAGGAGACGAUGGCGCGGUACCCGGCCCGCACGAUGAGCUUCGUGUUGUUGGGCCCGUUGUUCCACGUCUGCAGGAUGGUCGUCGCCGGCGGGAUCGCCGACGCGCUCACGUUCACGGCCGCGUCCAGCAGCACGUCCUCCCAGUACACGGCCGUGCGGUUCCGGGACACCACGAGAGGGUGCACCGCGCUGACGUAGCGCUCCAGGAGCUGGCUCAGCGUGGCGCCGCGAUCCAGGUCGGCCUGGAUGGUGGGGUCCGCGUGCCAGCAGCCCGGGGUGACCUCGUCGGCGCCGGCGUGGUAGAAGCCGUCCGGGAAGAGGGAGGUCAGGUCGUUGACGACGUUGGUGAUGACCUCGUACGUCUUGGGCGCCAGCGGGUUGAGCUGCCCGGCGCCCGGCUCCGCCGCGAGACGGUUGUUCCAGUCGCCGCCGGGAAGCCAGAACUUGCCCGCGCAGGACACGGCCUCCGGGUACGCGCCGGCCCACGACGCCGUGUGGCCUAACAACAAUAAUGUCGAGAGGUUAAUUAAUUGGGCCGUAGAAACCAAAAUCCAUGUAAUAGAGUAACUGGGCCGCAGAAAGCAAAGCCCACAAAACAGAGGCAGCCGGAAAAGACGGAGCAGAGGAAGCUGGAAAACGAGCAGCGCCCACGGCUUACCCGGCGAGUCUAUCUCCGGCACGACGCGGACGCCGCGGCUCAUGGCGAACUCGACGAUGUGCUUAACGUUCUCGACGGUGUACCGCAUGUCCUCGCCGUAUGCGCCCUUCUCGGCGAGUUGCGGCUCGGAGGGCAGCUCGAUGGGGAACGACUGGGAGUCCGUGAUGUGCCAGUGGAACACGUUCAUCUUGUUGGCCGCCAUGGCGUCGAUGGUCCGCAGGAUGUCGGCCACGGGGAAGUAGGUCCUACCGGUGUCGAGCAUCAGCCCGCGGUGAGGGUACAGGGGCCGGUCCUCGACGUGCACGCCGGCGGCCAGCACCAGCAUGUCCCGGCCCCGGUCCCGGCCGUGGCCGGCCCGCCACGCCAGCUGCGAGAACGUCUCUAACCCGCGCAUGGCGCCCCACGCGGUGACCGCGGUGACCGUGGCGGCGCCGCCCGUGGCGGGGACCUCCAGCGUGUAGGACUCGUCCACGCCGUGCUGCAGCGGGGCGGCGAGGUCGGACACGGCCAGGGUCAGCCUCGCCAGCGCGCUCCCCGCGGUGACGUUGACCGCCGGCCGGACGACGGGCCGGUACCGCUCCGUGACCAGCAGCUUGGCGUAGCGCUCCGCGGCGGAGGCGAGGUACGGGUUCCCGGACGGCGCGACGAUGCGGAACGACGGCGACAGCGGCACGGCCGCGUGCGGCUCCGCCCACGACAUGGACACCGGCUUGGGCCAGACAUUGACAGGGAACGACGCGUCCGCGGCCGCGCGCGUCAUCAGGAGCAUCGCCGGCCAGCCGAGCAAGAGCAGCAGCCGGAGGAGAAGCGUCGCCAUUAGAGCUCUGGAUCGAGCUGCUCCGCGCUGCAGAUUCUAAUUGGUGCACUCCUCGACGUCAAGACUCUUUGCUGUAUAUAUAAGUGUGGGUAUUAUCUUAGGAGAUAAUUGCGCGAGCGGCAUAGUGGUCGCUGCUGCCUCCAAGUGGCUCCAUCUCCAUCAAGUGUUCUACUGUUCUUGGCGCUAGCGUUCGUCUGUUUAUGGGCGCUAACUUCUUUAAUUAAGAUCUUCGUCUCCGGUUGCGUUUCAUAUCUGAUGCUGGCUUUGGAGUUUACGCUUCUCCGGUUAACUUGCACGGCGGAGUUUUCAGGCCUAAACAACUCGCGUUCAGGCUCCAUUUGUACUCGUCCAAGCAGAGAUCGCGUUGAUUUGACGUGUUCGUCGCGUACCCACUUCGCUCUAGACUCUAGUCUCUAGAGGCGACGCUGGGGCAUAGCUGCAACGGCGGGAGUAGUUUACGAGGAAGCGGAUAGUGGAAGGCCUGCUGAAUUUUGUUUUUAUGGGCUGGGAACUGAGUAUGAUAACACGUUGGCUUCUGCUAGUGUCUUUGCUAGUAAAGUACUGGAACGGAGUUGUUUGUCAUCCAUUUGGACAAAGUGAGCUUGAUUAGGGCUGUUUAAUUUGGAAGGCGAAACAAGAAAAACAUACAGUAGGGAAUCACAGAAAUUGGAAGGUAGACUUCUUAUUUUUUUUUCAGGAUACUCUCUGUUUCUAUGCAAAACGUGUCAUUCCAGAGAAGUGAAAACACGAGGAGCUACAGAAAUAACAGGUCACCUUCCCUCCGACAGAACACUCAUAGAGGAUACACCAAUGCUAGUCUCUGACUGAUUAGAUGACAUGACAUACGAAUCAAACCCUUCGUUCUGCAUCAGCGACAUCAUGCUGUAGCUCGUAUAGCUCGGGGACAGUUCAGGGACCGGCUGGUUGGCGUCCAAGUACUGCACGACUCGUCGCAUGCCGGGUCUCACAUUCGGCAACGGGUGCGCGCACAUCAAGCCCAGCUUCAGCACGAGGGUCACCUCCUCCACCUCAUACUUCCCCACAAGCCGCGGAUCCACGGCGUCAAGGAUCGAUCCGUUGCGGUGAUGCUCGAUCACCCGAUCCACCAGCACGACCCUGUUGUUGCGGUCGUCGCGGUCGAUAGGCCUGCGCCCACAGGCGACCUCCAGGAGGAACACGCCGAAGGAGAACACGUCGGUUAACGGCGUCGCCUUCCCGGUGCGCACGAGCUCCGGCGCGAGGUACCCCAUGGUCCCGACCACAUGAGUGGUCUGAGGAUCGGCGCCAUGGUCGUAGAGCCUCGCCAGGCCGAAGUCACCGAGCCGGCCACUCAUCUCGUGGUCCAGCAGCACGUUGCUGGCCUUGAUGUCUCGAUGGAUCACGACCUGCUCCCAGUCCUCGUGUAGAUACAGUAGGCUUGCGGCGACACCCUUGAUUAUCUUGUACCUCUCGUGCCAGGAAAGAGUGGGCAUAUGCUGAUCGUGCAGGUACUUGUCAAGGCUACCAUUUGGCAUGUAGUCGUAGACCAAGAGUAGUUCGCCUUGGCGUCUGCAAUAGCCUAGCAGUUGAACAAGGUUCCGGUGUCGAAGGCGGCCGAUGCUCACAACCUCGGCAACGAACUCCCUCACUCCUUGCCUGGAAUCAUGUGACACUCUCUUUACUGCGAUAUCCAAACUGGAUCCUGGAAGCACUCCUUUGUAUACUCUUCCGAAUCCUCCGACGCCCAGCAAGUUCUUGUCCUUGAACCCGUUGGUGGCAUGAAACAGGUCCUUGUAUGAGAAGCGGUGCGGGCCGAACUCGUCCUCCCAAUCUUCCCGAACCUCGGCGUACCGGCGCCGCCUCCAUACUAUCAAGAAGACGGCUGCGAGCACUGCGGCCACGAGCAACGCAGUGGCGAGGGGAAGCAUGACAUCCAAGACCUUGGACCGUGGCUUCGGACCCACGCGUGGCAGGACGGGGAGCUUGGAGAAGUCGAGAGGUGGAGCUGGUCCGUCAAAGCUGAAGCUCCACCCGAGCACGUAGUGGCGUGUGAUGACGACUCCAGUGGCCGAGGAGAAGCCGACGUACAUCGUAUCCGCCAUGAACGUAGAGAGAUCGACGGGCACGGAGAUCAGAGGCUUCUUGGGCUUUUGCACUUGCACCGGAGCUAGCGUCACGUUGAGCUGCCCGGCCUGGCCGUCGUAGUCGAUCCAUACUUGCAUCGGCUUCCGGCUGUUCAGCUGCAAAUCUCUCCAGGCGCCGCCGGCCGCGUCGUCGUAGUAGCCGGCCGGCUGGGGCUGCUCUGAAAUCAGGCUGUUGACGUCGACGCCGACGUGGUUGCUGUUGAUGUCGCGGAUCUCGGGGUUCAUGAUGGUGUCGAGCUCGACCGCCAGGACGCGAUCGCUCGCCGUGCCGUUGAUCGCGCCGAGGAGGCCCAGGUACUGCCCCGCUUUGGCCGCGGAGAAGUUGGUGGUCGGGGCGACCACGAAGGCGAGGCCGUGGUCGCUGAGCCCGUCGUAGGCGGACACAAUGGCGAACACGAAGCACGUCGAGAAGGACCGCGCCCCCGCCGCGGUGGCGUUCGCCGCCGCCGUUGAGGAGGAUGACGCGUUGAGGAAGUGGACGGGGGCCGGGUGGAAGGCGUGCGCUUUCUCCUGGAACGUGGCGUUGGUGAGCGCGAGGAGGCCGCUGGGCGUCACGGCGGCGAGCCCGUCCAGCGUGAGGUUCGCCGAGGCGAAGCCUUGGUAAACAAACUGGCCAACGUCGGCGGACGACGAGGCGACAUGGAUCAGGAGGAUCGGAACGACGAAGGGUACGAUCUUGGCAGGCAUCUUGUUUUUUACUGGGACACUUCUCCUUGACACCCUCAAAGAGCUUUGCUUAAGCCACAACUUCAGUACUGAUAUGCUUGCAUUGGCGAAAUAUACCUACAGUGUUUGACAUGUCGAGAUCCAGGGUUGGUUGGGUGUUGGACUGCUGGACUUGUGUCCUGGUAAAGAGUGGGUGAUGACUGAGUCUUGAGGAGCAGGAGAGCUGAAAAACUGAUUGAAAGAUACACCGAGAGGCACGCGCACGCGAUGUAUUGACAGGUACUGCAACUUCCACGCGUGGAUUCAUUGAUGUCAACGAAAGACCUGUCCGACGCGACAAUUCUGCCGUCAGGAACUUCAAAGAUGGCUGCUGUUCGAAGUGUCCUGCGAACCUAUCCUGGUAGAGUGGUGUUGCCGUGCCCAGCGGGUGAGCAAUCGUUGCGCGUGCUAAUAUCGAAAAGUAAUAGCGACGGCUAAAAUUAAUUAUUUAUCUGUGAUAUGGUAGUAUAUAUAAAUAAAUAGUAUAGAUAGUAUAAAGGUAUCAUGGUAAAAAACACAAAUAGCAUCACUAUAAUUUUAUUUUGACACUAGCAUAAACUUUACUAUUUGAAAUAUCAUUUUUUACAAUGUAAUAAUUACUAAAUUAUGCAAUGAACAGUUAGAUCUUAUAUAUACUAUAUACUACUAAGUAGUAGUAUUGCGUAACGUAAAGGAGUCUGAUAAAGAAGCAGGUUUCAAUGAAACCAUUAGCGUUGCUGCCCGUCACCAGCAAGAAAACGAAAUCUGCGAUGUGCUAGUAGGCAGUAGCUGAACAUCUGGAUCGUUUCGGUCGUAUGUGUUCAGCUGACACUCUUCAAAAAAGAAGAAGAAGUGUUCAUCUGACUGUUGUACGCUGCUGACUAAACGAUGCACUGCUUUGUCAAAUAGAACGACCAUUCCAGUCAGAAGUGUUUGUUGGAUGGACUGCCCGAAUUCUUUCACUGGUACUGGUGCGAUUUUACUGGUUACACUCAAACACCUACUCUCCGGUUGACGUUUAUUAGGAUUCCAUUCCAUGGACUGCUAGCUCUUCUGUCUCGUGACAGCGAAGCAUUUCGACUUCACUCAGCAACCGCAGAAGGAUCCAUUCUCUCGCGGGUCAAUUCUGGAGUCCCGAUCGAUCUUGACACGGAUCACGUUUCUUUUUUGCUUUCUGAGCAUGCGCAUUUGACUGGUUUCAUGAACAGCUUCGUGUGCUUGUGAUAAGGCCACCCGAAAAUGCAUGAUUGUUCAUUGCUGUCAUCAUCUGCGAGGUGUACCUCAUCCUUGAAUCCUUUACACGAGUAUAUUACUAGUCUUUAAACGGUUUCUUUUGCAAAUAAAAAUCAACUGUGUUUAGACAAAAUAUCUCAACUACACGAAUGGUAUUGACCAGGUCAGCAUUUCAGGCAAACUACUACUGAGAUCCUUGACAAGAAAAUUUCCAGGUUCAUGCCAAUAAUCCUGCCAUUAAUAAUUGUUUUUAGAUUACGGCACCGCGUUUAGUACUAGUUUCUUUUGUUGUUUUUGUUAAGCAUAGAGAUGUCUCACUGAUCCGUGUCAAAGAUAAGAAGAAUACAGUACUGUAUGACAUAAGACGCACCCCCCCCCCCCCCCCCCUCCCCCUCUUAUUAGAGAAAACAGAUAAACGGUUACAGUCCCUAACUGCAAGAUCAUAUCACCUUCCUCCAGUGAAAUCAGAAACGGCACCUAUGCUCGUUGACGACACGCAUGACAUCAUAUUCUUGUUGAACUCCCUGCUGUACAUCCGCUCCAUUCCGGUGAAGCCGAAAUACUCCGGUGACAGGUCUGGAAGGACCAUAUCUCCGUCGAGGUACUGCAUGACCUGCCGCAUGGUUGGCCUUGCGUUGGGCAAUGGAUGCGAGCAAAGCAGCCCAAGUUUCAGUACCAGAGAUACCUCAUCAGGAUUAAAACCGUCUGGGAUCAUCGUGUCCGCCGCGUCGACCAUCAAUCCCCUACGCCAGUGCUCAGUUACCCAAUCCACGAGCACGGUGUGGUUGCCGUGCUCGUCUUGCUCAAUUGGCCUUCGUCCACAGGUGACCUCCAGAAGGAAUGCCCCGAAGGCAAAGACAUCGGUCGCCGGAGUCGCCUUGCCUGUGUGUCCUAAUUCAGGGGCUAGGUACCCCAUAGUCCCGACCACAUGUGUAGUAUGCGCAUCGGUUCCAUGAUCAUACAGCCUCGCAAGGCCGAAAUCCCCUAGUCGUCCAUUCAUUUCAGCAUCGAGAAGCACGUUGCUUGCCUUGACAUCUCGGUGGAUGACAACUUGCUCCCAAUCCUCAUGGAGGUACAAUAGCCCAGACGCCACUCCUCUGAUGAUGUGAAACCUUUGAGGCCAAUCCAAUAGUGCACCCUUGCUUCGAUCGUACAGGUACUUGUCAAGGCUACCGUUUGGCAUGUAAUCGUAGACCAAGAGAAGUUCACCUUUGCGCCGGCAGUAGCCGAGUAACUGAACAAGGUUGCGGUGCCGCAACCGUCCCAUGCUCGCAACCUCGGCGAUGAACUCCUUCAUGCCCUGCUUGGACUCGUGAGACACCUUCUUCACCGCGACCUCCGUGUUGGACUUGCGGAGAACGCCCUUGUAGACGCUUCCGAACCCUCCUGCUCCGAGCAGCUGCUUGUCGCUGAACCCUUUGGUGGCAUGGAACAGGUCCUUGUACGAGAACCUGUGCGGCCCGAACGCGACCUCCCAGUCCUCGCGCACCUCGGCGUACUUGAUCCGCCGCCGCACCAAGGCGUAAAUCGCGACGCCCACGGCGAACACCAGCGCGGCGGACGCUAUGGGCAGCACAAUCUCCAAGACCUUGGACCGCGGCUUGUUCCCCGCCGGCGGCAAGGUAGGCAGCGCUGAGAUGUUCAGCGCCGGGGCCGGCCCGUCGAGCGCGAAGCUCCAGCCGAGCACGAAGUGGCGCGAGAAUAGGAUGCCCGUGGCCGAGGUGAACCCGACGUACGCCGUGUCCUGGACCACGUCGGAGAGGUUGACGGUGGUCUGCAGCAGCGGUUUCUUGGGCCUGGACAAGCCUACAGGGGCCAUGGUCACCGUGAUCUGCGUGGCGGCGCCGUCGUAGUCGACCCAGACCUGCAUGGCCUUCCGGCUGACCAGGCUCAGGUUCCGGAACUGCCCGGUGCCGUCGUCGUAGUACCCGGCGUCCGCCGCGGCGCGCGACACCAGGCUGUCGACAUCGACGCCGACGUGGUUGCUGUUGAUGUCGCCGAAGUCGGCGUUGAAGAGCGUGUCGAACUCCACGGCGAGGACGUGGGAGCUCCGGUUGCCGUUGUUGUUGGUGUUGAGCAGGCCCAGGAACUGGCCCGGCAGCGCGGCGGAUAGCAGCUCCUUGUCGGAGGCGACGAAGAACGCCAGGCCGUGGCUGCUCAGGUCGACGUACGGGCCGUAGAUGGCGAACACGAAGGUGGUCGAGAAGGACCGGGCGGCGGUGGCGUUCCGGGCGCCCGGGUCCUGGAACGGCAGCGGGGACGGGUGGAACGCGUGACCCUUCAUCUGGAUGGUGCCGUUGGUGAGCAUCAGGAGGCCGUUCGGCGUCACGGAGGCCGCGCCGUCGAGGGUGAGGUUCGCGCCCUUGAAGCCGUUGUAGACGAACCGGCCGCCAUCGCCGCCGGCAGUGGCGUCCGCGCAGCGGCCAGCGGGCGCAAGGAGGAGGAGGAGGAGGAGCAGUGCGGCCAGGUGGAAAGUCUGAAGCGGCAUUGCUCCGACGUCGCCGUUGGAUUUCUGAAUUGUAAACGGCAGGCGCCAGUUUUGGUGCGGCAGUAAUACGCAACCGUCAGCAUAAAGUUUUUGGAAGUGUCCGAUGGGAGGAAAAUUCAGGGAUCCUCGUGGCGCGUGAGGAACAUCACCUACCAAUUAAGUUGAAGAUUGCGGCGGACUCGGGACUGAAAUGCAUGGACGGGGCGAUUUAGCUGAUGGUGUUUCUGUCUGGACUCAGGGGAAGCAAUAUUUGAACAGGGAAAGGGGACAGCGGGGGGGGGGGGGGGGGGGGACGGAGAGCGUUGACCCUUGUCGGAUCCAACACCACGAAGAGUGCCAUGUGCUAGAAUUGGCAACCCAGACGCGACUCGCGAGAGCAAUCAAGUUUGUGUGCCACAGCCUCUACGGGACUACGCAAUCUCUUCUCUUAGUCCCUAUUUACUGUCACAUCAAUUAAAUAUAAAUUAAUUACAAAACCAAUUGCAUAAACAAAGACUAAUUCACGAGAUAAAUCUAUUAAACCUAAUUAAUCUAUGAUUUGACCAUGUGAUGCUACAAUAAAUAUGUGCUAAUCAUGGAUUAAUUACGCUUAUAGAUUCGUCUCGCGAAUUGGUAUCAAACAUUCGGGUCACAUCGGAUGUUUAUAUACCAAUUAGAAGGACUAAACAUGAACUAAUUAUAAAACUACAACAAGCAUGCUGUAGGUUCCACUGGCUACACUGCUCCUCCUCCUCGCAAGCAUGCUCAAAAUGAUGAUAUCUACUACAGCAAAGGUUCGACAAGGGCAGCAUUACUAGCAGCAGGGGGAGCUAUCAAGAUAUUUUCCUCUGCGAGCAUAUUAGAACUGUAUAAGUAAUUUGCUCCUAUGUAAAUAAGAUUCAUUAUGUUGCUCUAAAUAAUUAAAACUCAUCGGCGUGUACGCUUGUGGCUGAAGGGAUCCACAAAUAUGCUUUUGCACUUGUGAGACCACCGGGACAUCAUGCGGGAACAAGUGGCCCAAGUGGCUUCUGCAUAUUUAACAAUAUUGCUAUUGCAGCUUCACACUUGUUGGAGAAAUACGUGAGUUUUGUGUGCUGUGUCCUGAAAGUAACUAGUCAAUGGUUAACUUUCCAAUUUCCAAGCCAUAAGAUGCCAAAGUAGAGAUAGGAUACAAACUGAAAUCUUUUUCUGAUUCUUUUUUUUAUACAUGUGUAGAAAAUGAGAAAAAUACUGAUAAUUGAUUGGUAUGUACAUGGUAAUGGUACACAGCAGAUCUUCUAUAAAGAUAAUUGUGUCUUACUCGUCUCCUUGCACAGGUACAAACUUGAACACUAUAGGCAGUGCUUGGGUAAAUUGUUAGGGUGUUUUAUAAGUUCUUUAUCUUACAGGCACGGACAAUUCUAUCCCUCAACUGACCUAGGAAGUCUUGGCCAUAUUGGUGAGGGGAAUGGCAGGGGUUGUGUUGGACUCAUGAGGGUAUAAGAGAUGCAGAUUAUAUCUAUGCUUGGGACCAUAUUGUUUUACCCAUGGCCGAUGAGUUUAGACCUGAUAUCAUUCUAAUCUCAGUUGGAUAUGAUGCAGGUGUGCUUUGGCUAGCCCCUUUGUUUCUCCUUUUCUACCUUAAUGAAAUGAUACGCAGCUCUCUUGCGUUAUUCGAGGAAAAAAAAAUUGUCCAUACACACAAAGAAACGUCACCUAAAAGCAAACCUUAUUUUUCUCUACCUUGUCUUCCUCUCUCCCAACAUCAUAUGCUUAGGAGAGUAUUUCUAUUUCUACCCACAAGAAUACUGUGUAUUCUGUUUUGGCAGUUGAAGGUGAUCCUCUGGGUGAUUGUAAGAUGACUCCAGGUGGAUAUGCAGCCUUGCUUGAUAAGGUAGUUUCUUGUAGUCUAUUUUUAUUCUCUUUUUAUUCUUACUCUUGUUCUUCUGACAUCCCCCUCUCUAUUUAGUUAAUUAGGUUUGUUCAUGUCGCCAUGGUCCUUGAGGGUGGCUACGGCUUGGAUCAGCUAGCCGAUUCUGUUUCUGCAUGUGUGAAGGUGCUCCUGGGUGAUAGGAGUGAUAUCAACUCUCAAAUAACAAGCUUACCAUUCGACACAACAGUAAAUAUGGUGAUGGAGGUAUGCAUUUUUACAUCAUUAAAUAUACAAAAUAGUAUCUAGAUUAGAAUUCAUAAAUUUCAGAAAAGAAUUCCAUGGCCUAUGGCCAAUAUUGUAGAUAAAAUUAUGACAGAACAUGCUAAACGAAAUUCUUUGAUGCAGGUCAAUUAAUAAGAUUGUUUAUGUUUUUAUGCAACCCUUUACAUCACUUGCAUUGCUUUGCUUAGUAUGCCAGCAAAAUCAGUUGCUAACAACAUCCCAACAGUAGUUACCAAAAUACUAGCAUAUACAGGGGUGGAUCUAGGGCUUGGGCUGGCGGGCUGGAGGUAUUGCAGUACGGGUCCAGCUCAUGUAUUCGCCUACUAUAUGUAUGCUGCUGUGCGGCUUGUUCAGUUCGUUCUUAACUCUCUCUUGCAUAUAGAGGAACAAACUGUGGUUUAGCCCGAGGUCUAUCCCAUUUCUGGGUCCGCCCCCGGGCAUAUAUGCUAUCACAAAGACUUCUAAGAUGCCCGUAAUCUCGUUUUAGGACUAGCAAUUAUGCAAUGCUUCUUAUCCUGGAAAUAAACACCAAAUAUGUGUAAAAUGCAUGAUGCUAACCGACAAAAUCCUAAAGUUUCAUGCCAGCAUAUUGUUAGAUGCAGAUGAAUGAUUCAGAGCUUUUGCCUUCUCGAUAUAAAUAAUGCAAAUACAUCAUUCGUUUUAUUUUAUUUUUUUCAAUUGUUGUUUCCCGGAAAGGAAAGUUACUUUCCGUGAACUACACAUAUAUCUGUUCCAGGCUUAUAGGUUGCCGUUUAUCAUUGGUUAAAGAACUGUUUGGUGAACUUUUAACCCUACAAAGCCUUGUACUUUGAGAUGAUGUUUGCAGAAUAAGUAGCCCAGAGGAGCAAAAAAACAAGAAAAUAUAAUACUUGUAAAUGUUGUGAUUGUAAAUCUAAAUGUUUGCUUUAUCAACAAAGAAAGCAGAGGCGGCUCUAGAGGGGGGCUGCUAGUUUGUGGAUUAGUGAUAAGAAUAUUCUGCUAGUACUUGUGGUUUUCAUUUUUAUUUAAUCACAAAAUAAAAAUAAAGUUUGUUUUUAUUUGUUUGCAGACUUGUCAAACACAUAAACCAUUUUGGAAGGCUUUCAAGAAGGAUAUCCCUGAAGAAAUUACAUCAAGGAGCAUACCAUUCACAAGAGACAUAGAGGUAAAUACGGCAGUUUGUAUAUUUUAGUAGAUGGGAAGGCGUGUCUAACUUUAUUGAUUAUGUUUGCAAUAUAAUAUACUUAAAAUUCAAUUUUUUUGUUUACUACUAUAAAAUUUUGGAAUUGGCCAAAUAAAUUAUGCAAAAGGAACAUGGACCAUAGAUCUACCUCCUGUAAUUCUUUAUAAUACCUUUUAGUUUUCGUGACACACAGGGUGGAAGAAAAGUCUGAUCUUUCAUCGGCCAAGAAACUGGAUGCGAUAAUUUGUAUAUAGGCUACUUCUUCCUUUCCCAGCAUUUGCUCCCUGGCUUAAGAUAUGGAUAGUCGUUACAAUACUUGUGUAUAGGGUGUUUGUACUUCUUGCACCAAUGCAUUUCGGGUAACCGAGUUACAGGCUGUUAGGAUCAUUCCUACACACAGUGGCGGAUCCAGAAACGGGCUUCGCCCCGGGCUAACUAAUAUAAGGCUUAAAAUCUUACUAGCCAUACACUAUUAGAUAUAAUAUAUUUUUCAAAGAGCAUAAUUCAACCAAUAGACUCAAACAAUACAUAGAAUAUUGAAGGUAGAAAAGUACCAAAUUAAGAGUCUUCCAUGAUAAAAAAAGAACCAUACAUGUCUUCAUGAAUUAACACUACUUUCACUUGUUCCGACAUCCUCAAUUCUACAUUAAAAUUUUCAACAUAUCAGCCCUAUAUAAAGCAAAAUAACAUUAUGUAUUGAAAUAGACUAAUACAAGUAAACAACACGCACCCUCGUUUGGCAAAUUCAUCUUACGGUUUCUUAAGCCUUGAAAGUGCUUUAGAAUUUUUUCAUCUUCAAUCGACGCAAACAAAUCUCGCUCAAUAUAGCACAUCAUGCUAUUAUUCAACCAAUCAUCAUUCAUUUUAUUUCUUCGUUCAGUCUUGAUAAUAUUCAUAGCAGAGAAGGCUCUUUCAACUGUUGCUAUUGCCACCGGCAAAAUCAAUGCAAGUUCAAUGAGACGAUACACCAAAGGAAAAAUUGUAUCUCUUCCAGUCUGAACCAUCUUCUCAGCAAGGUUACCAAGAUCAAUACAAGUGUCAAAAUUAUCAUCAUUUCUGACUUCAUCAAUGAAUAUAGGAAGGUCACCCGCAAGCUUUAUGCAGUCAUAAUCACAGAAGUCAUCUUUAUAAAUCUUAGCAAGCUCAACUAACUUCUGUACUUCAAAGUUGGCAAAAGAAUCCCUCGGAUCAAGACAAGCAACGCAUCUCAAGAGUUGAGUUGAUCUUUCUGGAAAUCGAUUGUUUAACUCACAAUAAACUUGAUCAAUCACAACAUUGAAAAUUCCAUGAUGAAAAUGAUGGUAGUAACUCACUAGUUUAGCACCACGACAUCUCGAACGACCUCUAACUGGUAUCAUAUCUUCCAUAUUAGGAAUUUCUAUGUUGUUGAGGAGGCAAAACUCCUUUACUUCUUCAAAAAGAGCAUCCCAACCAUUUUCCCUCAUUUCAUUCAUAUUUCUCAUCACAGAGCCAAUUAAUCCUAUUGCACGAACAAUAUUUUGAUUUUUCUUUUGCAAACAUUGUGACAAGUCUUGAGUCAUCCCCAAUACUCUAAUCAUAAGAUGUAAUAUGAACACAAAUUCAAAUGACUCCAUUCUUUGAAUCAAUCCAGAGGCUGUAGUUUUUUUUCCCCAUCAGUUCCAUCUUCACUAAUAUUCUCCAAUACCUCCAGUACAGAGGACCACAUGAUCAUAAGACAUGCCAAUGUUUUGUGAUGUGUACCCCACCGUGUAUCACCAGGCCUAGCAAGACUAGUUUCUUGGUUUUUCCCUCUCCUAGAAAAAAUAGCACUACUAUCUAACUGCUCAACAAGCUUAUCAUGAUGACUUUGAAGGAGUUGAUCUUUCCUCUUGCAAGAAGCACUAACAACAUUGACGAUUGAAGUGACAUAAUUGAAGAAAUCAAAAGUUGAGCCACAACACUUGGCUACAGAAACUACCACAAGCUGCAAUUGAUGAGCAAAACAAUGGAUGUAAAAGGCAUAUGGAAUUUUCGUUCAAUACCAAUCUUUGUAACCCAUGAAAUUGUCCUCUCAUAUUUGAAGCUCCAUCAUAUCCUGGCCCUCUAAUCUUGGAAAUAGAUAGACCAUAUCUUCUAAGCAUAGUAUCCAAUGCUUCUUUUAGUGAAGUUGAUGUGGUGUCAGAAACAUGUUCAAUGCCAAGAAACCUCUCAAUCACACUUCCUUUAUCAUUGACAAACCUACAAGAGAAAUGAGAAAAUAGUGUUACUUGAAAGCAACAAAACAAAACUAAUAAAAUAACCAAAUAGAGAGAAGGUAUAUACCUCACAACCACAGCCAUUUGUUCCUUAAUAGAUGCAUCACGAGCCUCGUCGACAAGAACCGCAAAACAACGAUCUCCUAUUUCACUUUUAAUUAACUCACUUGUCUCCUCUGCACAAGCCCUAGCCAAAUCUUUCUGAACCAUUGGACUACUCAUUUGAUUAUUCCCUGGAGCAUUUUCACCAGUCACAAGUGCAGCCUUAGGAUCCUUCUUUCUGUACCAUUCGAGCAUCUCCAUAAAGUUCCCUUUAUUUUUUGAUGUUUUAGACUCAUCAUGUCCACGAAAGGCUAGAGCUUGCAAAAGGAGAAAUCUAGCAAUGCCUAACAUGAUACUUAAACGAGCUUUAUAUGCCUCCUCUUCUGCUGCACUUGUAACAGACCAUACAUGUUCAACACUUUGCCUCUGAUUUUUGAAAUCAAGUGCACGCUUUCUUGCAUUAUUAUUAAAGCCAUCAAUUGAUUGAGCAUGCUCCUUGAAAUAAUUCUUUGCAUUCUUCCAAUUUCUAAACCCAACUUUGAUGAAUGUAUCAUUACUAUGAAACCCAGCUUGUUGUGGCUUAAAGAGAUAACAAUAAAAGCAAUAAGCUGCAUCCUUGGCUACACUGUACUCUAACCAAUCAAAUUGAUCAAACCAUGAUCCAACAAAUCCUCUUGAUUGGCCUUUACCAUCUUUUUUCGUUUUUGGAAACUUAUGACCAGCUGGCCUAUAUGGACCUAUUUGUAGAUAUGCUCUCCUUGCCUCAUCCCUAAUGUCAUGAUGAAAAUCAUCAAUUGGCUUCCUUUCUCCUGGAUCAGCAACUAUAUCUCUCAUAUCAAGUUCAAUCCGUGGUCUUUUUGCUCCAUCUUCCUAUUGCCUCNNNNNNNNNNNNNNNNNNNNNNNNNNNNNNNNNNNNNNNNNNNNNNNNNNNNNNNNNNNNNNNNNNNNNNNNNNNNNNNNNNNNNNNNNNNNNNNNNNNNGGAUUCUAUAUAUAGCCAGUACAGGACCUCCACUCUGUAUCCUCUCCAAAACAUAGGAGGCCCUAUAAUUCCUAUCUCGGCAGAGGGAGAGACAAGUUCGUUCCUGAUACAUUAUGAUUGGCGGCGCGCGGAUGACGGCGAGCUGGGCGGGCGGCCGGGCGCUGCCUGGCGCCUGGCGGCGAGUCGGGCAGGAGGAUUGGAGUCGGGGGAGCCGGGAGGCCGCACCGCGCACGCGCACAUCAGCACAUGGGCCGGCCGGAGGCAGUGCUAGGCUGCUAGGGCAACGGCCAACGGGAGUUGUUGGGCCGCCUGGGCGCCUGGGCUAACUUCUCUUCGGGGUGGGCUAAUGGGCCAAAAUGGUUUUUUAUACUAUUUUUAUGAAGAAGUUUUCCACUGCUCUUGGGCCUCGCCCCGGGCUGCAGCCCGGGGCCCAGAUCCGCCCCUGCCUACACAUGUGGUCAUGUGGAGUAUGUAGGCUCCAGAAACAGAAAGUGGAUUGGCCCUUGUUCCCGAAAACCUGGAUACUGUAAAGCAUCCAAGAAGAUUGUAAGGUUUUUUGUUGGGGUAAUAAUUGCUACCUGAGUUGAUUGCAGGGGUAAACCUGUUGACUUGUCCCGUGUUUGUUUCAACUCUUCCGUACUGAGUAGGCGAAUAUCGUGUUUGGUCUACCCACUGUCACCGCCUGUUUGCCCAUUUCACACCCGUCCCCAACUGUGACAGUGAGUAGGAACAGCUCGCCCCCUCAGGCCUCCAUCUCCUGCAGUCCUGCCUAUGCCUAGGAAACAGUACCGAGACCAAAGCUUAGGGGGGUGUUUGGAUACCCUUGGGCUAAUCCAUCACAUCGGACGUUUGGAUGCUAAUUAGGAGUAUCAAAUAUAAGCUAAUGAUAAAAUAAUUGCAUAAACGAGGGUUAAUUCACGAGAUGAAUCCAUUAAGCCUAAUUAGCUCAUGAUUAGCACAUGUGAUGCUAUAGUAAACGUGUGCUAAUUAUGGAUUAAUUAGGUUUGGUAGAUUCGUCUUCUAAAUUAGCCAUGACUUAUGCAAUUAGUUUUAUAAUUAGUUUAUAUUUAGUCCUCCUAAUUGGCAUCUAAACAUCCAAUGUGACCCGGACUAAACUUUAGCCCAGGAUCCAAAUACCCCCUUAGUAUCAAGUAUCAUGUGCUGGGAGGAUGGCGAACAGAUAAUUGAAGGUGUGUGGGUGUUGACAUAUGCAUCACCAUCCAUGAACGGUCCCAGCAAUGCUGCAUCCAAACUCGGGAAUGCUUCUGCAUUGCGGGGUGUAUUUGGUGAAUACAGAUACUACCUCUAUCUCUUUUUAUCUGUCGCUUGGGAUUCCCAAGCGAUAGAUAAAAAGGGAUGGGAGGAGUAGAAUAUAAUCGUUGGUGAAGCCUGAAGAUGGGUCAGAUUUCAGAUCUAUCUUACAUCUGCUUCGCUAAUGUUAUGUCGUGCCUUUUUUUUCUUUCUUCUCGUAGCUUCGUUCGCCUUGAGGCGGCCAUUCUUCAUGGCCCACGUAACAUGAAACUCCAAAACCUUGAGUUGUUGAUUGUGCUCAGGUUUGCGACUUCUCCAAGAGGCCAAGACCCAGUAUAAUUGUAGGGCAAAUACGGUCGGUUUUUUUGUAGGAGCCAAAACCUGAGAUAGUAGAUAAACUGGGCCAAGUCGAAGCUGCAUGUCGCACGAUCAAGGACACAAAACCAAAAAUUUCAAGUGAUGCAUCAUUCCUCUCGAACCGGCAUUCCUCCUGACAGACAAAACAGGGUUCAGAAAAAAGGGCCAUCAAAUGAUCAAAGCCCAAAGCAGCUACACUACAUUCUCUGCACACCCUUGUGCCAGUGGCCAGUGCCACUAGCCCGAAGAGCUCCUUCGUUCCGUCGAGGCAAGCAAGAUCGCAGCAGGGAGGGAGGGCAGGACCUAGCAUCAUCAUCCGUGGACGGGCCCAGCAAAGCUGCAUCCUCUGCCGUAGGCUGUAGCCUUUGCGAGAAUCAUACAUCGAUACACACAUGCGUACGCGCGCGCCACACCGCCCACACGUUAUCCUGGGCGGGGAACGCCCGCGUCUACUCUACACGCCGCCAUGCCGGGGAGCGGUCACGGCAUGUUGCUGGAAUGAUUGGUCGCCCUGGGGCCUGGAAAGCAGCGUCCAUCGCGCCUGCCUCGUGUACGCCGCGGGCACAAGCGCCACCAUUCUGCUCCUGAAAGCGUCUCGAUCAUGGAGCAUGCGGCAUGCCUGCGGAAACCAAGCACGGAGUAGCAGUCCGCCAGUCCGUGCAGGUACCAUACCAUACCGGGAGAGAAGCACACAGGCUCGACUCGACAGCGAAUGACAAGUGCAUUCCCAUUGCUAAAGAAAGCCUAGGCGCGAUGCAGAAACCGGAGCAAGCUCUAGCUCGCUCUAGAGGCGGCGUGCACCAACGUGAUCCGAUGAGUGCGUGCAAGCUGCUGCGUGCGGCGGCUGCCGGCCGGCCGGGCGCCUGGGCGGGCUGAUCCGGCAUGGCAGCGGCGUCAGCCUGACGGAUGUCCAUGUCGCGGAAGCAGAGGUGCUUGAGUUUCUGCAGCUGGGAUGGAUUGGGUGAGUUUCAUCGCUCAACCGUUUUACUGGACAUGGGUCCUCCCUAACUAUGAUACCAAUCAUUUUACCUCCCCAACUAAAAUACCGACAAGUUUUGUGUGCAUAAAACAUACACGUCAGCCUAGCAUGUUAGGGAAAAUAAUAGUUUGUUUAUCGUAGGUUAUAAGUCAAAAUAUUCUUAUUUUGUUUUUUCUACAAAACAAUUUUUAAUGGCUUCUGGUAUAAAAAAAUUCUACUACAUUCAUGAAAUAAAUUUUCUUGGUUCAAAAUGAUUUUUAUUCAACCAGAACAUUAUUUUAUCUAAAAAUAUUUUUUCCAAUGGCUUGGAUAAUUUUGCUAUAUUCGUAGAACAUUUUUUCUUGGUUCAGAACAAUAUUUUAUUUGAUCAUCACAUCUUGAUUUCUACCUAGGAAUUUUUUUUGCUAUUGGUUUGUCGUGGGGUUGUUCCCGAUGGAUAAAACACACAAGCCCACCCCUAGGAGGUGACAAAAAACAAUCUAAAUUUGCGAAGGAUUGUGUGGGGUUUAAAUGGACAAGACUUAAAUAUGGACUAAAAGAGUCAUGGUCUUUUGGAGGAAAAAGCCUAUUCCAGUAGUACAGUUCACUUCCACCACAUUGUACUAUUGAAAUGCUUAGGUCUUGAAUAUUGAAUCUUUCAAGCGACAUAUAGGGUGUUUUUUCUCAAUUAUCUCAAAUUAGAAAGACAGCUAGCCCCGUGGGCACUAUGACAAUUAAAAUGUCAUAAUACUUUCUAUGCUGCAGAGAAAACACAUAAAGCCAUAAAAGAAUACCAGCAAAAAAAGCCAUAAUAGAAAGGUGGAAAGUUUUUCUUUUUACAAACAAGCAUAAGCAGUACCUAUCUCACUCAACAAAGUAGAAAUUUACAAGCAGCCAGCCAAAAUGUAAAACACAGGAGCAUCAACAAAAUUGUCAAAAGGUCCUACGCCCCUGCAAGGAAUAUCGUUAAACGCCUUGCUCCCAUUAACACCAAGGUCUUGCUUCCUCCUGAACCUUCCUUCCGUUGGAAAUUGAAGCCCUAAUUGCAUUCUUUCACAUUGUUGACUUACUGGAUCACCUUCCCUCAAGAAGAAUAGUCACAGAGGAUGAGCCAAUGCUCGCUAUUGAUAGAUCAUCCAAGCUGACGUACGAAUCAAAUCCUUCAUUCCGCAUCAGUGACAGAUCAGGAGGAAUCGACUGACUAGAUUCCAUGUAUUGCAUGACCCUUCGCAUGCUAGGCCUUAUAUUGGGCAACGGGUGUGCGCAUAUCAAACCCAGUUUCAGCACUAGGAUUACCUCUUCCCUUUCAUACUUCCCCACGAGCCGUGGAUCCACGACGUCGAGGAUUGAGCCAUUGUCAUGAUGCUCGAUCACCCAAUCUACCAGCACGAUCCGACUGUUGCGGUCAUCGUGAUCGAUCGGCCUCCGUCCACAAGCGACCUCCAAGAGGAACACACCAAAUGCAAACACAUCGGUUAAGGGUGUUGCCUUCCCCGUGCGUAUGAGCUCUGGCGCAAGGUACCCUAUGGUCCCGGCAACGUGUGUGCUCUGAGGAUCGGUGCCAUGGUCAUACAGUUUGGCCAAGCCGAAGUCGCUGAGCUUACUGUCCAUCUCGCCAUCCAAGAGCACAUUGCUCGCUUUUACAUCUCGAUGGAUAACAACUUGCUCGCAGUACUCGUGUAGAUACAGGAGGCUUGCUGCAACGCCUUUGAUGAUCCUGUACCUCACAUUCCAAGAAAGUGCUGGCGAUUGCUGAUCAUGUAAGUGUCUAUCAAGACUGCCAUUUGCCAUGUAGUCGUACACCAAGAGAAGUUCACCUUCACGCCUGCAGUAGCCCAGUAACUGCACGAGGUUCCGGUGCCGGAUGCGGCCAAUGCUCACCACCUCAGCGACAAACUCUCUGAUUCCUUGUCUCGAAUCAUGUGACACCUUCUUCACCGCGAUCUCCAAAUUGGAUGGCGCAAGUAUCCCUUUGUAUACUCUCCCGAACCCUCCGACGCCAAGUAAGUUGCUAUCCUUGAAGCCAUCGGUGGCAUGGAACAAAUCUUUGUAUGAGAACCGGUGCGGGCCGAACUCAUCCUCCCAAUCUUCCCGCACCUCGGCAUACCGGCGCCUUCUCCGUAGGAUCAGGAAGACGGCUGCUACCACUGCAAUCACUAGCAAGGCGAUGGCGAGUGGCAGCGCGACAACGAACACCUUGGACCGAGGCUUCGGACCCACGGGCGGCAGGAACGGAAGCUUGGAGAAGUCCAGAGGAGAAGCUGGCCCGUCCAAGCAGAAGCUCCAUCCGAGCACGUAGUGGCUCGUCAACAUGAUACUGGACGUCGACGAGAAGCCAAUGUACGCCGGAUCGGCGACGACCGUCGAAAGAUCAAUGUUCAUGGAGAGAAGAGGUCUCUUGGGCUUUGGCACUCGCCCCGGACCUAGGGUCACAUUGAGCUGCCUGGCCUGGCCGUCGUAGUCCACCCACACUUGCAUCGGCUCACGGCUGUUUAGCCUCAGUUCUUGAAAGGCGCCGCCGGCGCGGUCGUUGUAGUAGCCGGCUGAGCUGGCUCGCUGAGACACGAGGCUGUUGACGUCGACGCCGACGUGGUUGCUGUCGAUGUCGCCUAACUCGGGGUUCAUGAUGGUGUCGAGCUCGACGGCCAGGAAGUGGUCGCUCGCCGAGCCGUCGUUGAUCACGUUGAGGCCCAGGUACUGCGCGCCGCCGUUCGCCGCGGAGAGGGCGGUGGUCGGGGCGACCACGAAGGCGAGGCCUUGGUCGCUGAUCAGCCCGUCGUGGACCGGGGACACGAUGGCGAAGACGAAGCACGUCGAGAAGGACCGCGGCGCGGCGGUGCCGUUCGCCGCCGUGGCGGGCUUGCUGAUGAGCAGGUGCAGAGGCUCCGGGUGGAAGGCGUGCCCUUUCGCCUGGCGCGUGGCGUUGGUGAGCUCGAGGAGACCCCCGAGCGUCACGGCGGCGUGGCCGGCCAGAGUUAGGUUCGCCGCCGCGAAGCCGUGGUAAACAAACCGGCCGCCGUCGGCGGCGGCUGACGCGGCCACGUGAAGCAGGAGGAGCACAACGACGAAGGAUACGAGCUUGGAAAGCAUAGUUAGCUUUUGCGGGAAACUUGGCAUUGCAGCCGCAGAAUACAAACCCUUAGGAUGCGUCUGUCGGCUAAAUGAUUGCUUGGUCUGUGACUAUGCUGUGGAGCUUCUCGACGGUAGGCUGGGUGUUGAAUGUUUCGGUCGCGUGCAUUGACUUGUCGAUGUCCUGUAAACUUUUGUCCCGUGCGUUUAGCACCCUGAUUGACAGGGAAGGGUGCUCAUGCAGACCCGGCGUUUUGUAAGCCAGUAAUCUGGCAGAUGCAGGAUGGCUACUUCUCUGCUGUUCGCUCUGUCGCCGUGCCCUGCAGGGUACAAAAAAGGACGGGUGACUGACAUCAUUCACCUUUAUUUUGAUCGAUUGGUCAUUGAGCUUAGUCCAAAUUUGACAAAGUAUGCUUUACCUGAGCUUGUUUAUUUGUUGCUCGUUCGAGCCUGAUUGGAAUAUGGCAAAUUAGUCUCCUACUAGUAUAUAUCAGAUAAUGUGCAUGUCUCAAAUCGAUCUAGUCAGGUUGUGUAGUGGGUCAAUCCUAGAGUUGCAAUUGAUCUCGUCAUGAAUGCAUUUCUAAGAGUAUUCAGGGUCUGGACUUGACUGAUUCAGUGAGGCGUUUGUCAACUCAUGCACAGGUUACUUGUAAAAAAAAAGGAAAAAAAACUAAUGCGCAGCUUACUCUUGACUUUGAUUCAAACAUUUUGUAUCCGUUCGUUUUGUUAUUGUUGCUUUUUUGUAAUCUAACUUAUCGAUAUGCCAUUUGGGGGUGGACAAUAUAUGGUAUAUCAGAGAUAGAAUUCAGUAAUUUCUUAGUACAACGCGAACAAGAUAAUUACUAAUUAAACAUCAAAUAUUCUGAUCACAAGCACCACAUCACCUUCCUGGUGAGAAAUCAGAAACGGCACCCGAGCUCGCUGAUGACAUAGAUGACAUCAUAUUCUGGUUGAAAUCCGUGCCAUACAUCCGGCCCAGCAUGGUAAAAUUUAGGGAUGUUGAUGACAAGUUGGGAAGGGGCAUAUCACCAUCGAGAUACUGUAUGACUUGCCGCAUGCUUGGCCUUGCGUUGGGUAAUGGGUGCGAGCACAUCAACCCUAGCUUAAGUACUAGAGUGAUCUCAUCAGGAUCAAAUCCACUCGGGAUCAUCGUGUCCGCCGCAUCAAUGAUCAAACCCCUGCGCCAAUGCUCAGCUACCCAAUCCACAAGCACGACGCAGUUCUUGUGCUCAUCUUCCCCGACCGGCCUUCGCCCGCAAGUGACUUCUAGAAGGAAUGCACCGAAGGAGAACACAUCAGCUGCUGGAGUUGCCUUGCCGGUGUGCCCUAAUUCAGGUGCUAGGUACCCCAUAGUACCAACCACAUGGGUUGUUUGGGGAUCGUCUCCAUGUCCAUACAACCUUGCGAGUCCGAAAUCUCCUAGUCGUCCAUUCAUCCCGCUGUCGAGGAGCACAUUGCUUGCCUUGACAUCUCGGUGAACCACAACUUGUUCCCAAUCCUCAUGGAGGUAUAGUAGUCCAGAUGCCACUCCUCUGAUGAUAUGAAAUCUCUGAGGCCAAUCCAGUGUACCCUUGCUCCGAUCGUACAAGUAUUUGUCUAGGCUACCAUUUGGCAUGUAAUCGUAGACCAAGAGAAGUUCACCUUUGCGCCGGCAGUAGCCAAGUAAUUGCACGAGGUUGCGGUGACGCAGUCGUCCAAUACUUGAAACCUCUGUGACCAAUUCCUUCAUGCCAUGCUUUGGCUCAUGAGACACCUUCUUCACCGCGACCUCCAUGCCGGACUUGUGGAGAGCGCCCUUGUACACACUUCCAAACCCUCCUUUCCCGAGCAGUCGCUUCUCGCUGAAUCCCUUGGUCGCAUGGAACAGUUCCUUGUAGGAGAACCGGUGCGUCCCCAACGCUGUCUCCCAGUCCUCGCGCACCUCGGUGUACUUGAUCCGCCGCCGCACCAGGGUGAAAAUCGAGACGCCCACGGCGAGCAACAGCGUCACCGACGCUAUGGGCAGCACGAUCUCCAACACCUUCGACCGUGGCUUGGACCCCGCCGGCGGCAAGCCAGGCAGCGCCGCGACGUUCAGCGGCGGGGCGGGUCCGUCCAGCGCGAAACUCCAGCCGGCCACGAAGUGGCGUGAGAAGAGGACGCCCGUCGCCGACGUGAACCCCACGUACGCCGUGCCCCGCAUCACACCGGAAAGGUCGACGGCGGUCUGCAGCAACGGCUUCUUCGGCCUGGGCACGCCCAGAGGGGCCAUGGUCACGGUGACCUGCGUGGCCUCGCCGUCGUAGUCCACCCAGACCUGUAUGGCCUUCCGGCUUACCAGGCUCAGGUUCCGGAACCGCCCCGUGCCAUCGUCGUAGUACCCGGCGUCAGCGGCAGCGAUCGACCUGAGGCUGUUAACGUCGAUCCCGACAUGGUUGCUGUUGAUGUCGUGGAAGUCGGCGUUGAGGAGCGUGUCGAACUCCACGGCGAAGAUGUGGGCGCUCCGGUUGCCGUUGUAGGUGGUGUUGAGCAGGCCCAGGAACUGGCCCGGCAACGCGGUGGAUAGCAGUUCCUUGUCGGGCGAGACGAAGAACGCCAGGCCGUGGCUGCUCAGGUCGACGUACGGGCCGUAGAUGGCGAACACGAAGGUGGUCGAGAAGGACCGCGGCUUCUGGGCGGCGCCGCCGAACGGCAGGGGGUCCGUGUGGAAGGCGUGGCCCUUCAUCUGGAUGGUGCCGUUGGUGAGCAUGAGGAGGCCGUUCGGCGUCACCUCGGCCGAGCCAUCGAGGGACAUGCUCGCGCCCGCGAAGCCGUUGUAGACGAACUGGUGGCCGUCGCUGCCGCCGCCGGUGGCCGCGGCCCCGCGGUGAGCGGGCACGAGGAGAAGGACCAGAGCGGCGCAGAGCUGAAGGAGCAUGGCUUUUGCGUCACGGGUGGCGCAGGCGCAGGCGCAGGCGCGCAGCCAAUGAUACGUCCCCUUUUUUUCCCUCCUUUGAAACUGAAAGGCAGCUUUCUUAGCCUUGAAUCGCUGGUCACCUGAAUUGGAUUGUAUAAUUGCAGGCAGAAAAUCCACAGUAUAUUUAUGUGGGUCACAGAUGCUUUCAUCGUAAGCCUUUUAAAGUGAUUUUAGGGAGGAAAAAGUUCUGGGGUACUCGUGGGCUCGUGGCACGUCGCCACCUAACAAAUUAUACAGUCCUUCAAGGUCAGCCUUGCAGUGCCCUUCUUCAUGGAGCUCAUCACCAUUCUUGCUUGGAGCAUGUGGAUUGUUACAAAUGAUGCAAUCUUCAACAACACAAUUGCAGAUCGAAAUUCAAGCAUGAAUUCGCAAUGCUUAUGUAUCAUGCGAAAAAGAGCUACUUCAUUCGCAUCAGUAACUUGCUAGUCUCUCUAGAUUAAACUUUAGCUCUUUUUUGUUGUUUUUCUCUUUUCUUGUUUUCUGCUCUCUUUUUGGUUUCUUUGUCCUGCAUCAUAAAUCCAGUAGGGAGCUCCUGCUCUUGUUUUUUGAAAGAAGAAAAAAAACGUCGCCACCUACCAAGCUGCUGAUCGAGCAUGCUGAACUGCUGACUGGAAGCAUCAAUGGUUGAGUUUCUAGCUAUUUUUACUCCACAGUGAGAAGGAGAAAGUCAGGUAGACCGGAAAAUUAGGCGGCUCAUUGCCAGAACUGCCGUCAAACUUCAAAGGAGCUUGGAAUUUCUUUUUUUUAAAUGGCGUGCAAAUAUAUGAUUUCGAUAGCUUAUCUCUGCCUGUUCGAACAUGCUUCCAUAACUGGAUGCGGUUGAUUGAGCUCAUGCGGCUCUGUAGCCUGUCCAGUCAAAAAUUUGUUAAGCAUGUUGUUUUGCACGAGGAUUUAGCCAAAAUUUCAAAAACUUUAGUAUAUCAACACAUGUCAAAAUAUAACAAAUAUAUGUAGAGAUUUUUCUCAAAAAGCAUUAAUCGAAUGGGUUUUAGGUAUUAGAUCACAUACUCCCAAACAUGAAAAACUAUGCAAACAGCAAGCAGAACUGCUAAUGGGCCGAGGAAGUUUACCUUAUGGGCCGACGUGUGGAUGCUUCUCUAAAAAAAUGAAGCCCAGCCCACGUGGGAUGUGCAAAUGGGGCUCAAAAAUGGACAUAUUCGUUGUUAAGCACUUUCACACAUGCAGUGUACUUAAAGUAUAUUUGACACAAACGUAGGGACACUUUUACUGUUCCAAAUUGUAGAUCAUUUUGAUUUUUCCAGGUGCAUAAUUUUUCUAUACACUUAAAUAGUGUAUGUUUAGAUGCAUAAUAAUAUCUAUGAACCUAAAAAAGCUACAUAUAAUUUGGAACGGAGGGAGUAAUUUUUUAAAUAAUUAUUGGUUAAAAUAUAAAUAGUAAAAGUCAAAAUUAUCAAGUAUUCGUGGACGGAGGUUAGUAGUUCACGAACUGGAUUUUGCAGCUUGUAUAAUUUUUCGCACCCCUAUUGCUUCACAUGACAACUAUAGCAAGCAAACAUUGACUUAUCCGCCCCGGUUAAUUGAUGACCGAUCGAUAAACUUGUCAAACUCACCUUUAAACUUUCACAUUUCAAUAUUUAUACAUGUAACAGCAGGCCAAAACAAAAAUCGAAUACCAAGGAACAUAUACGAAUACCAAUCUCCACACUAUACACGUUACAUGUACGUAUGAACGCGCCUUCUCUACCCCCCGGCAUGUACGUAUAAACUUGUCGGUGUUUUAACGAUCAACGAGCCUCGUGGCAUGUGCGCCUCACCGGGCCUCCCUCUCGUCGUUCCUCCAGUUGCCAUGCAUCUUGGGCCCCGUCGGCCCAUCGCCGACGAACACCUUCUCCACCAGCUUGGCCAGCCGCUCCCUCACCGAGCGCGGCAGGAUCCACGCCACGCGGUUGAUCACACGCCCGAUGACGUACUCCUCCUUCGGACCCCACCCGCGCUCGAACCCGAGCCACGCCGGCUCCGCGACGCCGAGGUACUCCGCCGACACCACCUCGCACCGCCCGGCGCCGCCGGUGUCCAGCCUGCUCCCCCUGGAGGUGUCGUUCCGGAUCCCGACGCCCAGCCUCGAGUCGCCCUGCAGCACCAGCCCCGCCUUCGGGUACAACGCGUGCCCGUGCCGCGACGCGUACGCCACCGGCCUGUUCCCGCCGUCUCCCGCGUCGAGGUACUCCAGCUGCGACGCCUCCACCCACGUCCCCGCGCUGUGCUGCGAGAAGUACAUCCGGCGGAGCUCGCCGGAGAAGUUGCUCACGCGUAGCGUCACGUGCUCCCAGUCGCCGACGUGCUCGCCGAUCUCGCCCAGCGGGAUCGUGAGGAAGCCGACCUUGGCGCGCGCCGGCCCGUUGAACGGGUAGAAGAUCCACACGGCGAGGUCGGUCACCGUCCCCCCCAGCAUCGGCUUCGCCUGCACGUACACCUUCGCGCUGGCGAGGUCGCUCUUCUUGACCUUCUCCCUCUGCUUGUUGUCCGCCGGCAGGUCGAGCCAGUACCCGCCGUCGUUGCCGCCGCCUUGCGGGAGGUUCGACCCGUCGGCGGCCACCGGCGUCGGGAUCUGGCUUCCCUUCUGGUACAGCAGCGCGCCGUUCUCGAAGAACCAUGUCGCCGACGAAGGGAAGUAGGAUUCGUUCGGGUGCAGGUACACGUGCGGCGCGUAGGCCGCGAGGAGGGAGUUCACCUGAGCCAGGUCAGGCAUGGCGGACGUGUAACUCGCGCUGUUGUUCUUCAGGCAUGCCAGCGACGAGGCGUUCGCCGGUGUCACGCUGCUCUGAGCUAGGAACGUGCCGGCGUGCACUCCUCGGGCGUCGAUGCCACGGACCGCCGGCCUCAGAGUGGCCGCGCUGAAGCCGUCCUUGUCGCUGUUGCUCAGUUCCGGCUUCUCGGUCUCGCACGCGUCGGUGAAGUCGGCGCGGACGCACCGGACCUCGUCGGGCGAAGGCUUGUCAGACGUGGCCGUGACCACCGCGCCGACCGCCUUGUAACCAUCAGGAGCCGUGGGGAGCCAGAAAUGGCCGGCGCCGUCCGGGCUGGACCAGACGAGGUUGUAGUCCACGGGCGCGGCAAGGAGUGCUCCGGUGCCGGACGUGUCCCGAGCGACGAGCACGUGACCGAAGAGAGGCCGGCUGUUGGGCUGCGCGUAGUGGCCGAGCACGGAGAAGCCGGCAGGGACCGGCGAGGGCUUGAAGAAGGUGGCGCCGACGCCGUCCUCUCCACCUUGCGUGGUGGACCAGACCUUAGCGAACGUGGUGAUUUGGCGCACUUCUAGGCCUCCAAGGUCUAUGCUGCCCUUCGCAAAUCCUCCAUCUGAAACUGAAACAGCAGCGCCACCGGUGAGCUAAAAAUGUGUUCAGAGCAGACAAGAUAAAGCUACCUCUACCUAAAUUCGAGGUGAUUUCAGGCAAGCUGCCUCUAUACAAAGCUUAAAGAUAACAUUUGACGUGUGUGUGCUUUUGCCGUCUAAAUUUCUACAGUAACCGUCCUCUAAAUUUCUGCCAACGUGUGGAAGCAAAAACGCCCCCAGCAGCUAGGACAAAUUUUAGUUUCUACUGAUGCUCUCUUUGGACAAACAUGUUGGUAGUAGUAGAACUAAACUGAAUUCUACCAGGAAAUCAACGAGCUUAUGAAGACGAUGUACCUGAGGCUGGCCAAGAUGGUAGCGCAACCGGAGGAACGAAGUGCUUCUCAAUGGGCAGCGCCGCCGUCCCCAUGGGCACGCAAGGCAAGCACGACUUGCUCCUUUGCAUAGCUCCGGCAAAAGGUCCGACUGAGAAGAAGGCAAGCAGCAGGCAGCUCGCCGAUGGCUUGUUUGGCGACGACUUCACUACUGCUCGUGCCUUUAAUGCGUCUUCCUCCGCCUCACGGCCCGUCCAUAUAUAAUGUACUGUAUGUUCCUGACGACACGGAUCUAAUCCACAUUAUCGCUUAACUUCCCACGAGAUACACAAGUACCCUCUGCUCGUAGAGGCUCUACUGUUUAGAGUGUUCCGUCUCGGCUUGGACUUGUGUGGUGUCCGUGUGUUAGUUAGAGACCCAGCGGCCGGCAUGAACGGACAGGGUCGUCGCUUGUGGUAGUGUUGCAUGCUUCCGCGCUGUAUAGUUGGAGGAAAACGUGCGACAAGGCGAGAGGACAGCGACGACGCGCUGCAGGCUGCGUCGCGUAGUGGUUAGGUCAGGGAAGGCCAGGCAUAUACAGCAGCCUGUUUUGGCUUCGUCUUUGUAUCCUAGUUGUACUCUCGUCUUUUCUUCCUGCACUCUUUUUUCUAAUAUAAUACAGAAUCAGUAGGGAUGCAAAUCCCUCCUGUUUCAUUAAAAAAAAGGGACCCUACCAAAUUAGAGAAACGAAUAGAACAGCUGAAAGAUUCCGGUGACGAUGCAGAGCAAGAAAGAUUAUUCGCAAGUGUGCCUUGCAACUUGCAGGGCUCCCUUAUCCUCCCAGUGGGACUAUGGAAGUCUUCAGACCCAUCGAACGAGAGUAUACGCAGUUGUUACUUCACGGGAAGAGGAGCAGAAUUGAACUUGCAAAGAAUAUGCGAUAAUGCAAAGGAAAUAUCCUUUUUUCUUUAGCUGCUGGAAGUCACAUCAGUUUGGAGUAUUGGAGUGUUCCAGCACAAAAUUUUCGUUGUUGCACUUGCACAACAGGCGACUUUCAAUUUUUGUUUCUUUUCAUAUACCGUGGGGUAAUCAUUUAGACGAGCAAAUAUUGUUUUCUCUGUUGCAUGUACAAACGGUACAGAGAUGAGAGUAUAGCUUAUCUGUCCAAUCACGUGACGUAUGACCCCAUGCAUGGUGUAAUCCUAAUCCAAUAGACUAUUGAUACAUCUUGCAUUAAAGGAAAAGCGUAUGAUUAUGGAAGUAAACAUCUCGAGGACGACGUAAGUGCAUAGAAAAAACUAUAUAUAUAUAUUAUAUCUAAAAACUAAAAAAUAACUAAUAUUUUAGAACGUAAGGAAUACAAUAAAAUUGCAUAUUGAACAUUAUCAGCAGAAGAAUGCAAUAGACUGAUGAGGAGCCCAAGAUAAGGCCUAUGCGGCCAUGGGCUCUCUCGAGAAAGGAGAUAGAUCUAGGGCUGAUGCUGCUCUUGGCCCAAGCGAGGUCCGCGAGACGUAGACAAGCACGAGCAUGGGCCCGUGACCUGAGGCUCAGGCCCACGAAACGCCGACACGUCAGCUUGCCUGCGCUCUCUUGAGGACGCGGUUAUACAUCGCCAAGAGGCGACAAAUUUGCGUGGGUGACCUUCUAACCGUCCGCGCAAAGGGAUUAAUGGGCCAGCACAUUUUUCAAUGGUUCAGAUACAAUAAUUAGCGCGUCCGUCCGUUGACUGUGAAUGAAGGGGUAUUCACCUAUGAGAGACAACUACACGGAAAGAAAAAAAGAUUCUGGAUGCAUGCAAAUAAAGAGAGCAAAUAAAGAGAGUAAUGAUGACAUCAUCCAUAUACAUGCAGUUUUGAAAUUUAAAAAAUCAUAAAUUAUAAACUGAGCAUCCAAAUUAAAUUCCGAUUGUACCGCUGUAUUUCUUAGAUCUUUAAAACAAGAUCACACUCGACUAUGUUUGGAUGAUUUUAUAACAAAAAUAUUUUUUUAAAAUAUGAAAUGUUAAAUUUGAUUACAACGAACAAAUACUUGAAUAACCAGAACAAAUAAUUGCCUCAUACGAACAAAAAAAUAACAGGGUGAACAAAUGAUUAUAAGCAGCGAAUGAAAUACUAAACAUCACGAAGAUUGCAUGAUGCAAAUAAAAUAGACGUAUAGUAAACAAAAGAUUGAAAAUUUGAUUGUGUAAGAUAAGAUGGUAGAAUAUGAACAUCAAUUUAGAACAUUCUUUUAAAAUACGUACCACUAGAAUAAAUUAUACGAACUCAAAUGUUAUACUAAUCGAACAAGUUAUAUAACUCAUGGAACAAAAAUAAAUACACCCGGAACAAAUUAUACGAACUCACAGAACAAAAUAGUAGUACACAUCGAACAUAUUGUAUGAACUCACAGACAAAGGAUCUACAUACCUCGAACAAAUUUUCGGAACUCAUAGAACAAGUAUUUAUACACUUAGAACAAAUUACAUGAACUCAUUGAAUAAAAAUUUAUACACUUGGAACAAAUAUAUUUGGAUAUAUAACGGUAUUUUAAUCCACGAGUCUACAUGGUUGACCAGUUUAAUCAUAAAAAGGAAUAAAUGAGCCAGUGUCGCGAAUGAAUGAGUCUAUUGAAUACAUAAUUUUACACUCCAAACUAAUAAAUCUAUGUAGAACAACUAAAUGUACUAAGUAAUAAUCUAAUGUACUUUUUUUUACUGAGAAAAAUAUAUAUUGUUAUAAAAAAAUACAAGAGAAGAGUAAAAAGAGAAAAGAAAAAUGAAUCAAAUAAGGAAAAAAUAUAGAUUACAUGAAGAAAUAUAUAGAAGAGAAUCUGAAUUAAAAUAUAAAAAGUAAUUAAUUAAUAAUAAAAAGGAAAAGAAAUCAAAAGGGAAAAAAGAACGAGGAAAUGAAAAUAAGAUCGAAGAUAAAAAAUAAUAUAAAAUAAAAGAAACGAAAAUUAAAGUAAAAGAAAAAAGAAAAAAUAGUCAUAAUAAGAUAUAUGAGCUUGCGAAAUAAAUUAUAAUAUAAAUGAGACGACUAAAAGAAUAAAAAAGAGUGAAAAGGAAAAGCUUCAGUAAGAAAAAGGAAAAAAAAGAAGAAAAUAUGUUAACCGGAGAAGAGAAAUAGAUAGCGAAAGGAAAAAAAAUGAAUGAAAGAAAACACAGUGAUGAAACAAAUAACGAACAGAACAAAGGAAAAAAACACUAAAGAAAAAGAAACCAGAAGCACCUCUCCGUCCACAUGCCACUGCCAGCUCGCAGAAAAAAAAAACAAAACAGCACGAGGGCGGAGUUAGGCUAAAUCACCAGCGACAUAUGGCCCUGACG